Molecule: long non-coding RNA, 93531 nt
Filed under: Setaria viridis
Lineage: Eukaryota; Viridiplantae; Streptophyta; Magnoliopsida; Poales; Poaceae
Description: long non-coding RNA (SVIR_LNC006237)
Source: RNAcentral
UAAACCCUAAACCCUAACCCUAAACCCUAAACCCUAACCCUAAACCCUAAACCCUAAACCCAAAAACCCUAAACCCUAAACCCUAAACCCUAAACCCGAAACCCUAAACCCUAAACCCUAAACCCGAAACCCUAAACCCUAAACCCUAAACCCUAAACCCUAAACCCUAAACCCUAAACCCUAAACCCUAAACCCUAAACCCUAACCCUAAACCCUAAACCCUAAACCCUAAACCCUAAACCCUAAACCCUAAACCCUAAACCCUAAACCCUAAACCCUAAACCCUAAACCCUAAACCUAAACCCUAAAAAACCCUAAACCCUAAACCCUAACCCUAAAAAACCCUAAACCCUAAACCCUAAACCCGAACCCUAAACCCUAAACCCUAAACCCUAAACGCUAAAGUCGCUGGCGAUCUCCAAGUUCGUCGGUGUGGCUGGCGCGGUGCCCAAGGAGACAUGGGUGUCGCACGAUCUACCUGAAGACACGCCCGGAGCUGGGCGAGAUCGAGAGGGAGAAGGUGUGUAGCGACGCGAGUUUCAUUGCUUACCAUCCCCUGUUUUCUUUCCUCUUCGACCGAACACGGCUGUGAAUAGUGCCAGGAUUGAUUCCUGGCCCGGAUCUAUUGAUGACCAGGUUUCAGUGAACCACCUGGAUUCACUCGAUCCAGCUCUGGAAAGAAAACAGUGGUUCCAAGCCUGGGUUGCCGAACGAGGCCUCAUGCAGUCGGUCGGGAUCUAUACGAAGGAAGUCGGUAGGUUUGCACGCGGAAAACUGUGCGGGCGGAUCACGUCCGCCUGGGCCACUUCUGCCCAUGGCCCACCAACCAGCAGCACACGGUUUGGGCCACACACGCUACUGAGCGAGCGCCCAGCACGCACGGGCCAUCAGCAGCCUAUGGUCCAUGGCUCUGUUUGGAACAGCGUCUUCUGGCUGGCUCGCUCACAUUCUCGUGCUUGCGGCUGCACCAGACGAUGCGGGUCGCAACUCGCAAAUUGGAUGGGAGGCUCAUCUCCAAUCCUUUCCUUUUUCUUCUUUGGAUUGGAAUUUUAUUUUGUGUAGAGAGCAUGCAUAUUCGAGUCAAACUUCUGACUUAAGCUUUAAAAAACUUUGAAAAUAUUUGAUUUCAAAAAAGAUAAACUACCAGUGUGUUUUGUCUGGAAAACAAUUUUUGUUAAACUAUAUUAUUAGACAUUGAAGUUACAUUACAAAAUAGUGGUCCAAGUUACGCUUUGUUUGUAAACAAUAUCGCGCGCAAUGUUGCAAAUCGCGGGCUAUAGAAUUUAGCGGAGUGGUCCUAGAAAAGCUAUAUGAGUUAUAGCGCACCUAUAGCGGCAGCUAUGGUAUUUAGCGUUAUGCAAAAAACCAACAAAAUUUAAACUCAAACAUUAGUAAUUUCAUGAAUUUCAACUCAUAUUUCAUACAUGUCCAGGCGUAAGUAAAAAAAAGUCACAACUCACAAGGUAAGUUAUAAGUCAUCACUCACAGUUCAUAAAUCACAAGUAGAUAAGUUCGUAACUCAGUCAUAGCGGAGUUAGCCACGCUAGGCUAUUGAAUUUAGCGGUGCUAUUUCAUGCAAUAGUGGAGUUAGCGGCAUUAACGGUAAUAUUUACAAUAUCAUCGUGGCACCAGUCUAAAAAAACUAUAGCGAAACUAUAACGGGCUAUUUGCAACAGUGAUUGCGCGUCAUCCAAAAUAUCAAUUAGUUGGAGUAAUUGUCAUCUAGCAUCAAGUAUUUGAUAUGAAGUCAUUCCAGUUAAUAGAUAGUGAUGGAUUUGACGGGGGCAAGGGUACAUAGUGUCUCCCUCGGAUAUGGGUUAGAAGACUUGGCACAUGACAGGCAGCAUACUUACAAAAAAGUGACAGGCCGCAUACUUACAAACGUACCACGUAUAUUGAGCAAUACCCCCCCACCCCCCAACGCGGAUGUAUCUCGUAAGAAGCUAAACGUGCUAGAACAGUAGUAUUAUAAAAGAAAACUGAAUAAACACUAUGAUGCCCUUCAUGACAAUAAUUUGACGAUUCUGCAUCAUCACAGGACUAUCAAAACUUUAUUUUCUUUAAAAUACAAGGCAGGACUGCAGGAGCCACCUUGCUGAACAUCGUUAAUGGCGCGUUGCAGCUUUAGCGUGUAUACAUGAGUGCAAGCCUUACAACAAUAUUUACAUUUUCAAGAAGACAUGUCCUAUUAUCCUCAUCAGUAAAUGUACUAGAAGAUCGCCUGAUAUGCGAACAGAAAGCAGCAGGUGUAGGCCAGAAACCAUAAUUGUUCCUCGCUAUGCUCAGUAACCUUGCUCAAACCGAGGGCAAUUGCUAGCAAGAUUGUCCUAACAGAAAGUAAAAAGCUUUGUAGUAUAACCUAGCAUCUGUGUUAAAAUGAACAACAUUUCAUGCCAAAUAAGAAGGUUCUCAUGAACCAGAUCAUUUUCAGCAAAGCAUUACAGACUACACUGCUUUGCUAGCAUCCUACUGGUAGCGUUUCUUAAACAGAUGGUGCCUCUUUGAUGGCUCCUUGGGUUUUUUCGGAGCCUUCCCCUUCCCAGUGCUGGAAGAACAGGUCACAGGCGAUUUGCAUCCAGUUAAAGAAGAAAUUGAAGAUGCUGAAUAAAAAUACAGAGAAAAAGUGGACACAGGCAGCACCUGUACUCCAAGUAAACCCUUCCACCAGCUCUAGAGAAGGCUAUGUAGGAACUUGAAUUUUUGUUAAUACAAGAGUUGUAAAACUUUUCAAAGAAAACAACUUUGCUUAUUUGUGCUUUGGCUAAUUUGGAGAGGAAGAGGUUCAAAAACUAGAAUCAAUAUCAGUAGCAUUUCAACUCACCUUAAAACUCUGUGCUGAAAACAGUGAAAAUCCUCAACUUGGCAGCCUUGUUUCUUACAAAUUUGUAUAUGAACAUAAGUCAAACCCUUUAUAGAAGUUUGAGUGCUACAAGUCUUUUGCAACUUCACUUAAAUGACCCAGGGACAGAUCUCAACUUAAACCCUUCAAAAAUCAGGUCAAAGUUGGCCAAAAUGGUCAACUCAGCCCAAUCUUGCAAAACCGGCUAAGUCUGAGAAACAGUUCAAAGUGUGCAUCUUGGCGUGCAAUUUAAUCACAAAACUUGAACAAAACUUGAGAAAAAUCCUUUAUAGAAGUUGGAUUCCUCAGUUCAUACAACAACUUUUUCAAUUGCACUUUGACCAAAUUCAAAUCAUAAACCCUUCAAGACGUAAGCUCAAAUUAGCCAAAACCCUGAAAACAGCCAAAUUGCUAAAAUCGCCCAAAGUCUGAAAAUCAGGCGUUCCCUCAAACUUUGGAGCUUUAUAAAUCCAAAUCUAUUUCGAAUUUAAACUUGAACCUUUUGUAAAGUUUAAACUUUGACAUAACGACAACAAAUCUUAUAAAGGAAAAAUUUGAAGUUUAGUUCAAAAAAAUUGCUUUUUAGCUCAGCCCAAACCUCACCCCUCAGCCGGCCUGCGCAGCACAUGCACGCCAGAGCACGCACGACGCGUCCCUGUGCCACCGGCGAGCGGAGCUCGCCCUAUCGCUGGCGUGAUUGUUGACACUGAAAAUCAGCCGAUGACCCUCGGCGUCGGACACACGACCCGGGAGAAUCUGCUUAGCUCCUGUUCGGGUUAUCGUCCUGGUGUGGUUCACGCAGCGUGCCAGUCAAUCUGACCUGUUGAUUGACAAGGAAAAAGCGUUAAAUUCUAAGGUUUCGAUCGGCUAAAGUUCCGAUCUAUUUCAAAGUAUGUAUCAGCGAAUCGGCCGAAUUACUGUAGGGAUGAUCGGCUAUAGAGCAGCCGAUGAUCACGUAGCAAUUGUAAAAGAAAUUGCUAGAGCAACCUAGACAAUGCUACAAAGGCAACACUUGAAAUAGAUCUAAAUUGGCUAUAUGAUAAGAAACAAGUAAUAACGAUAAAAGCCGUCAGUUCGUAUUUCAAGCUGGAUAACUGGUAAUAAAACUAAAACAACAGGUAAAACCUAUAAUUCUAAUUCUAGUUAAUAUCGAUAACUGGUGAAUAAAUCUAAACGAAACGACAGCGAUGCGCCCGAAGUUAAAGCUUAGAUAUUACUCGAUAAACGGAACUUACAAAUUGGCCAGAGGUCGUGUUGAUGCAGUCCUGCCAACUCGUACGAACUUGUGAAAAGAAAAGGGUUUGGCGAAAUCGCCGACUUGAAAGUAAAGUACGAGAAAAAAGUAGAUUUGUAUUGUUGAUUGAUGUGUUAUUUUUACAAGCCUUACAAGGCAGCUAUUUAUACCCUGUUACAACUGAUUUCCUAUUCGACUAGAAUCUAUCUCUAAUUUAAAGAUAACAAAUAUUUACAAACGAACGCAACUCGCAUCGGAGUUGGUUAUUAUUUUCCCACGGGCUAAUCUUCAUCUUCGGCCUAUCGUCAUUCUGGCCCACUUUUGGCCCAUAUCGGCGAAGCCGUUCUGGCUCCCAAUCGGCCAAUCUUCAUUGACUUCCCCAGCUAAUCGGCUGAAACACUGUAGCUCUAAUCGGCCGAUUUCCAACUGUAGCUUCUUGCUCGCCGCAUCGGCCGCUUUCUUCUUCUUUGAUGCUGAUUCUAAACAUGUGUCAAAAUCCGGCGUCAACACAUGCCCCCCAGUUUCAGAGUGAAACAUAUCUUUUGCUCCGAAAUUUUCUCAACUCUGGCUCUUUCCCCAAAGAAAGCGCAACAAUAAACGCGUCAAAAACUCCUUUUCGCUCCGGAGUCUUCUCUCUGAUGAUUGCAAUUUUUUGAACGAAGCGCCCGCAGGCAACCGCUCUUCCCAAAAUUCGCGCAGACGGUGCGGUAAAAAUCCUACCUUUACCCUCCUCUCGAACCGUCCUUUAAAUACUCGCCUCCUCUGCCGCUUCUUCUUCCCAAGCUCAAAAGCUAUUCCUCUCCAGCGAACCAUCUCCUGAUGCACUCCGGCGCCCAUUCAGCUUCUAGCUGCACUUCUCUUGUGACUCUUCCUCAUCCUGCGCCAAUCACGCCAAUCCUUCAACACUCCAAUGGCAAAUCCAUCGGCAACCAUGGCUUUCAUCCCGGAGGUAAAUACCCCGAAACUUUCCCCUUUUUUACUUUUCACCGUUUUAUGAAUCUUUAGAUCUGUUCUUAGUUUUUUUAUAUAUAUCUUCUCAGGAGCUUAAGCAAAGAAUCACCAUCCCUAUAUCUGAUGUGCCUGGUCUUAUCGGUCUUGGCCCCAUGUGUCGGUGUCAAGAAUCGCGGGUCAAGACUCCGUCAAGUAAAUUUGUUUUCUAUGCGCGUAAACCCUUAUCAGAAUAUUGUUUCCAAAGUUUUGGCUUUGUGGGUUUUACCUGUAUUAUUUACGUAAGAAUGCUCCUUGUAUCCAGGUUACUAGACGUGCUAUUGAGUUGGCAUUCCUCAUGUAUUCCUGUGAUCGCCAUGUUAAUAAACGUAGAAGCACCUUGCGCUCUGUUGCUGCGCACAUUACGAAAAUAUCUCGCAUUAAUACUGAGGGUUGGGAUUUCCACAAAAUUGCGGUCGCGCUCAAGAUUAUAUGUUGCCCUGAAGAAAACAUUGCCGCUACCCAUCCGGUAAACUGUAAUAUCUUGUGAAUGUGUAUGCAUUUGAUGGAAAUUUGUCAAUCAAGUAACGCUAGUGUGUUCCAUUCAGCGGUUUUCAACAGGACAUUUGAUGAAGCUUAAGUCUGAUGCACCAAAGUACAAAAAGUUGUUCUUCAAGGGGGCUUCCUUGUCACUCUAUGAUGAAGUGCACUAUCACUGUAAUCUUAGGAUUAAGGCGGGUCAAGAGUUGACCAUUUUGAUCAAACUGGCCAAAAAGGUUGAUGUUGAGCAACCACGUGAAGUUGCUAUUGAUCAAGAUGAUCUUGAUGGGACGAAGAUUUAUCCUGAUAUUGACCCUGCCAUCCUUGAUGAACUUAAAGAGUAUGGGUAUGGUUCAUACUCGAUAUGAACACUAGAAAGUAGAACAAGGCCAAAAGGGGGAAAAGUUAGUUUUGUUUACUUGUAGUUGUUAUGGAGUUGGUAGAAGUUGAACUAUAAUUUAGGCUUUUAGUUUCACUAGCACACAUACCCGUGCGUUGCAACGGCCACGAAACUGCAGCAGAUUCGAUUGUGUUUUCAGGCUACGGUUGUGCUUCUUGGUUGUUUCACCAUCUACAUUUAUGAAUGAGUACGACCUAAAGAUUUUGCUUGAUAAAAAUGAAGAAAUCUCUUCUCAUCAUAGCUCUUAGAAGUAACAUUGGGACCAUCAGAUAUCUUUCCAUCAUAAAAUGUAACACCUGGAAUUUUAAUUUGCUUAUUUUUGGAUGUAUUCUGUUUUGCAUAUGGAGAAGGUGCUUAUCGUAGCGAAGCAUACCUAAUUAACCUCUCAAAAAAGCACUUUGCCCCAAGUUAGCAUUGUCAGAUACCUACAGAAUCACAUUACAUGUCAAUACAUCGCUUCCAAAAGGAAAAUUUCUUGAAAUAAAAGGAUAGUCAACCGUAUGUAGCUUACUUUGCUUUUCAUCAGAGCAGGUAAUAAAAAAAGCCUACCUAAUGCCAGGCAGCUGCAAGGGAGUUACGGUCUCACACUCGUUGAGCUGUGCAGUUCCGUCGAUAACCAGCAACUCCAGAAGAUUUGACUUUUUGGACUUCUUGAGCAAUUGGCCAAUACCAAAAGCAAAUAUGUCCGUCAGCACACCAUACAACCUGAAAGAGCUGGAAACUAUGCAGAGAAUGCAUUUCGUUCUCUGCAGAAAAUACAAUUGAUUUUGCCUCGUGCUGCAAUAAUUUGGAAGCUCAAAGUUUUUGUGAAGAUACGUCAACUCUCGCACAUAUAGGAUCUGGCCAGCUUGGACUUGGAUUUAUUGCAUGCAUUACCGCGUGACACCCGGGGCUCGUUCGAGGUCUUCAACCCUUCCUCCUCCGCCAUCGACCCACCCUCCACGUUCCGCCUAGCCGCCGCCGCCAAGUCCACCUGCUCGCUCAUCUAGGAAGUAGUUGGCGGCAUCGAGUAUGUCGGCAAGCCGACUCAACAGGCGGAUGAGUGGGAACUCAUGCAGAUCAACCAGCAGAUUGGCUGGCCGCACGGCAUGUCCGCCCGCUCCUCCGGCGGUGGGCAACAGACGCCCUGCGCGCCUGAAUAGGCAAGGCCCUCGGGCUGCAAGCGUAAAAAAUUCAAGACACGAAGCAAAUUGUGAGAGAUUGGAGUCGAUCAUGGGAUUUUGUGACGAAUUCCUUGGCAGAAGUUGCAGCGAGAGGGGCCUCAACAUAUCCUUGAAGGACGCCGUUCGCGCCUGGGCGUGACGGCGUGUUAAUCUCGGAGACGACGGUGGCGUAGCCGACCUUGAGGCGCAUCGCGGCGUCGACCCACACGUCGUUGGCGAACUGCACUUUGGGGCCCUCCAUCGUCGCCAGAGCUAUCGGAGAGGACGCCUCGCACAUAUCCAAUUCCAAACCGAUCUCUCUGAUGGCUCCUUGCCGCCUGGGCCUCACGUCACGUACGAGCUCACGUAUUUGACUGUAGUGCAAACGUGUAGGAUCGAGUCGGUCGAGUUCCUUCUCCUGCCCGGACGAAAGCCCACUCCAGGCCGGUACGGACCAAAAUUUUGCCAGGAUGACAACGGACAAAGAACGGACGCGUUGCGACUUGCGUGCGAGAGGGACGAACUGUGGGUUGAUUACUAAAAAUUUGAGGGGGGUUUUUGCAAAAUUACCACGACGGUUGAAGGAUUGAAAGAAACAUCCUCUCUUUAAUAUUAGGUAUAGAUUUUGUGUUGUUAAAAUGAAGCAAUGGUUCUUCUGUUUCCUUUCAGGUUCCCCCAACUCUGCUAAAAGAAAACAAAUUGUAUGCAUUGCCUCUAAUAAUAGUCAGACAAUAAUAGCCAGACCAUUACACUUCUUGACACUUAGCUAUGUUUCAUCUUUCAACUCUGGUAUAGAAUCAUUCAGUAGAUAUUGACUCACCAACUUCUUUACUGUUUUUUCUGCUAAAAGAAAACAAACUGUAUGCAUUGCCUCUAAUAUUGACUCUGGUUUUGAUAUAUAGAGUCGUCUAGCAAAUAUGCUAGGAAGAAAACAUGUAUGGUCGAUAGAGGAAGAAGAGUUUCUGUUGGAAUGUUCUAAGGAUCCUUCUAUGAUUCAACUGUAUAAGAGCUGCAAAACCCACUUUUAUGCUCGUCUUGCAGAGGCAAUGAAUCGCCAAUGGGAACUGAAAAAUCCCAAAUAUGUUCCUCUGAAUGCUGACAAGGUUAAGAAAAAAUUUAAACAAUUUGUUACGUCAUGGAAAGCACACUGCUCUUCAGCUACAAAGAUGGUAUUUGCCCCACUCCUGCUCGUUCUUUGCUCCACUCCUGCUCGUUCACUGUUCGUUUUGUUUGUUAACUUAACUGAAACUUUGCAUCCCAGGAUACAUCCUCAGGCUUCAAUCUCCUAGAUAAGUAUAGUACGCAAUUCAAUUCAUUAUUCAGUGAUAAUGAAGCCAGAAGUUCAGGUUCAAUGGGUGUGUUGACGUGGAAAAAGAAACACACAGUUCUCGAUGACUUAAUUUCCGCAUUGAAGUAUAUGAAUGAACAUGGUUGCUAUAGCUUUGAGUUUUUUAGAUAUACAGCUGCACUGCAGAACACAACUGUUCUGUAUGGGUUUAUAGCUUUGACGACCUAUGAAGAAAGGAAAAAAUACCUCACUGACUUGUUGGUAAGCAGUAAAGGGCUGUUUGGAAAAUACAGUAUUUAUGGAGCCUAUAAUUUCCCUUGAUAUGAACAUUGCGUUUCUCAUCUUGUAGGAAGGAGGAGUGGUGAAGACACCUUCAUGCGAGUUGGCACAAAAACCUCCAGGGGAGCAGUAAUGUCUUCCUGCUGGUGCUCUUCCUGCUGAUGUAUAUCAAGGGAGCUUGUUGUGGCACAAUGUAUCCUGAAGGCUAGAGUACUGGUGAUUUGGAGGAGAUCUCCCGUAAAGUCUAUGUUGUGAACUUAAUAUGUUGUGCUUAGUUUGUGUUGUGAGCUUAAGACUCUGCUGAUGUUUAGUGCUUGUGUUGUAGACUUAAGACUCUGCUGAUACAUUUUUCCUGACUUUUGUUGUGCUGUUUCGGUCCGAUAUACCGUUGUGACUUUUAUUAUUCUGUUCCAGUUUGAUAUCCCUUCGUGACGUUUCUUUUUCUGUUUCGGUCCGAUAUACCUUUGUGACUUUUGUCAUUCUGUUUCGGUUUUUUAUCCCCUUGUGAUAUCCCUUUGUGACGUUUCUUAUUCUGUUUCGGUCAGAUAUCCCUUUGUGAUGUUUCUCUUAAUAUGUUGUGCUUAGCUUGUGUUGUGAGCUUAAGAUUGUGCUGAUGUUUAGUGCUUGUGUUGUAGACUUAAGACUUUGCUGAUGAACAUUAGGCAAUCAGCUAAUACAUUUUUCCUGACUUUUGUUGUGCUGUUUUGGUCCGAUAUACCGUUGUGACUUUUAUUAUUCUAUUCUGGUUUGAUAUCCGCUUGUGACGUUUCUUUUUCUGUUUGUGACUUUGUCAUUCUGUUUCGGUGUUUUAUCCCCUUUGAUAUCCCUUUGUGAUGUUUCUUAUUCGGUUUUGGUCAGAUAUCCCUUUGUGAUGUUUCUUAUUCUGUUUCGGUCCGAUAAGGGAUGUCAAACUGGAACAGCAUAAGAAAAGUCACAACGGUAUAUCCGCCGGCUGCUGCUCCUCAAUCCCUAAACCUUAAGCCAACUGCAGCCGCCCUCUCCAGGUGUACUAACAAACUAACCUUCAAAGGAUGGAUGUCCAUAGAUAAAAUGUCUGGUUUGUUCAUCCUGUGAAGAGGAUGGCUGGUGUCGACCAUACAUCUCCGGGUCCAUCAGAAGUUUUGACAUCUCCGGGUCCAUCUUCGGGUCCACCAGAAGUUCUGUACGGACCCACUCAAGGGACCCACUCAAGGGAACGUACUCGAGACGUAUCAGGAUAUGAAAACUAUGCUACAGGGCAACGUAGACUAUACGGAGCUCCUGAAGGACUAGUCACAAUACAAGGAAACUACUCGGGCAGUUAGAGUAGGACUCUAUAGUCUUGCCUGACUAGUACUCUUGUAGAAAAGACUACCCUAUAACCCUACUCCUCCGAUAUAUAAGGGCGGGUAGGGACCCCUCAAGGACAAGUUCAAUUGAAUACAAACAUACAACACACAGGACGUAGGGUAUUACGCGAUCUAGCGGCCCGGACCUGUCUAAAUCGUGUCCCUGUGUCACCAUCGACUCCUUGACUUCAGCGACACCCACCAACCAAAACACUAUCUCGGGUACUCCCUUGAUAGGUUGCUAGCCAGGUAGGGGCAGUCGCGGCAAUUCUUCGCACGAGAUCGAUAGCUCCGGUCAUCAUUAAGCCUACGUUUGUGUUCGAAGCGGGCGCAACGUUCGUUUUUCAGCUCCUGGCUCUGUAUCACUGACAGCAUUAGAGGUUUCCAACGCCGCAUCAUCGAAGAACCGGAGAAGAAGCAUCUCGGCGGAAACUCUCGUCGACAUGAGACAAAAGAUUUCAUCGAGAAUUUCGAAUUUUUCGAUCUGAACAACACCGGGUUCGACCACAACUCGGAUUUGACCACAACUUGGACUAGUCCGCACAAGCAGGCAAUUCAUCCAUCGUAUUGACCGAAUACAACUCCAAGCUGAUUUCCGUUCAGACUCCAAAAUGCUAUCACGGUUCAUCAAAAAGCUCUAUCCAAAGUCCAAUCCGGAUUAGAGUCAAUUGAGGACCACGACUGCGACUCGAACUCUCUUGAAGAACUUCCCUUAUUAGGUCCGUAGUAGGGCCUGGUAAUCACAUCAACACCGCAAGGCAGAUUCGUUUACUGGCUGAGCAUGAAGCCAUCCUUCCUUGCCCAAGACAACAAGUCACGCCUCGUCACACACUUGGAUAUCCUCCCAUACCAAGAGGGUACUCCACUCUCACCGAUCCGCGAAGAAGAUGGCUCCACUGAAGUCAUCACAUCCAGCUCUGGAAGCUACUCUCCGGAUAGAGAACUCUUUAUUGUUGUUUCACCAGCUGAUGGAACAGGCACUAGCGAUCAACACCAAAGAACUCCUCAUCGGGAAUGCCAAAUUGAAGAAGUUUUCCAAGAUGAAUUAUCAGCUGACGCCCCGAAGGGUGAAACUAGCAGCCAAAGAACUCAAAGAAGAGCAAGAAACACUCAGCGAGCGGAACGUCAUCGACUUCUAGCCACAAGACUUCCUAUUGUGAACCUUGACAGAGCAUUUGAAGCAGUACAAACACGAGAACACAACACGCCACUUGCCACUAUUGCCUCUAUCGACCUUAUCGCCCGUUCAAUGUCUCCGAACAAGUACAAUGAUCUCCUGUCAUACUUGGCAGAACACGCAUACAAACUCCUUGACAAGGAACACCAAUCCCGUCUGUGCCUCGUAAACCAAGUCACCAUGAUGAUAGCAGAGAUCAUGCAAGACAUUCAAACCAACCACAUGAAGAACCAUGACAACAUAGGGGCGUACUCAAAGCUCCAAGAUGAGACAGAGAUGCAGCCGAAGGUAGUCGUACAGCCUCCGCGGAAGGUCCAUGUCACUGCAGAGCUAAUCCAGAACCCUCGCACAUCAGUGAUCUUCGAGAAACAUUAAAUCACAACCGUGAUGUUCGAGAUAUAAUCAACAAUCACCGCCGUGAAUGUGAAGCUGAGGGUGAUGACAAUGACCACUUCUCCACUUUCACAAGAUGAAUCAUGCAGACUACUCUUCCAGAGAAAUUCAAACCAAUGGGCAUCACUAAGUAUGAUGGCAAAUAAGACCCAGUUCAGUGGCUCCGCUGCUACACAUUGGCAGUCGAAGCUGCAGGUGGAAGCGAUGAUACAAAGGUCAUCCACUUUCCCAUAUGCAUGGAACCAGCACCACUAACUUGGCUCGAAUCUUUGAAGCCUAACUCCAUCGACUCAUGGUCUAAUCUAAAGAAAGCUUUUACCAGCAACUAUGCCGGAGCUAUGCAGCGCCCUGGCAACAGAAUUGACUUGGCUCAGGUUAAGUAGCAAAAGGAUGAAUCUCUACGCAGCUACCUACGCCAUUUUUUCGACAAAAAGACUACAAUUGUCGACAUCUCAGAAGCAGAUGUGGUAUAAUGUUUUCAGAAUGGCCUUUGGGACCGACGCAUGUUCCAAGACUUUGGCAGACGCCGUCCAGCGGAUGUCAAAGAACUCAAAAUUAUAGCUCAGUCGUGGGCAGACGAAGAAGACAAGGAACGAGAAAGGUUCGACUCACACCGCAAUCGUGGACGUGACAACAAUAACCAAGGUAAAACUAAGAACAAGACAAAAACCGUAACGACGAUCACCAAAACAACUACUCAGGUAAUCAAAAUCGCAAGCGCAAACCAGACAAUACCAUUGCAGCAAUGUCAAGCUCAAGCAAGAAAAGAUCAACAAACAAAUGAAAUGAUGGCCCUUCAUUCAGUGAACUACUCAAGAAACAAUGUCCAUGGCACCCACACAGCAAGUACGUUGCAAUCAACUACUACAGCCUUCGCAGAGUUAUGUAAGAGUUACCAGAACCUCCCGUCGGGGCAGGCGCACGCAGGGUUGCUCUAGGGUCGGCAGGCCACCUAGAGCGCCUUCAAACGUCGUCGAGACGAAGGAAGAAUAGCAGGUAGUAGAUUGGAAAAGCUAGGGCAAAAGAAUAAAGGAAAAGAUGAUAAAUAGUAGAUUGGUUUUUGUCAAUUGGGUUGGAUGUCCUCAAUCGGCCGAAUCCCUUUAUAUUUAUAGGAAGGGAAGGUCUUCCCCACGCAGGAGUCGAAAUCCUAAUACAACUCGUGCUAAAUCACAACUCCUACUAGGAUUACACAGAGCCAGACCAGUCAGACUGGCCUGGGCAACCGGUCUGCCCGGGUGUAGAUCUUGCGAAGAUCGUUAUCUCCCUCAUCCGACCUCCAAAUCGGACGUUCUAUAUAUGAAUAUUGAUCUUUUCGACGAGAGCUACGCCACGGUGAAGUUCAAUUUGCACUUUGAGAACUUUCCCCAAACCGGUCUGAUUGGUUGGGAGAUCAGUCUGAACAGGUUUGACCAGAUCUUCCCAUAGCUGCCACUUUUGGGCUCCAACAGUUACACCAUCACGAUAGAUUUGAAACAUGUAAUGCGUUGGUGACACCACAACCUGCAAGAUCUUCCAAAGCCCAACAAACUUGUGAUAAGUAAAAUUCCGGUGGAAUGGAACAGCUAAGAUAAACAGAAUAAAAACAGUGCUGCAAUCAGGGAUGCAAUUUAUUUGGCGUCAGCAUACUCCUCUCAAGUUCUUUAGUCCUCAUAACUAAGGAAUUUGUCCUUAAUUUUGAGCCAGUCAGCUGGUUUUGGCUGGAAGAUUGCUAUAUAUCCUUCACUGUCAGCCUAAAUUCGAAAAGGGGAGAAAAAGGGAGAAAAAGGGAGUAAUGUGUGCUGCCCAGUAUAUGGUAAAGAAAACAAACAUAUAGCAAUGAAAAAGCAGCAAAAGUCUUGAAUUGAUAUUCUAUCUUUAAAAAAAACUAGAGCACGACUUGAACAGAAAAGGAAAACACACAAUAUAGUAAGCUCACAAAGAGUCAAAGAAAUAGAGGAAAUUUGCCAGAACAGGUUGUACUCACAACGGUAUUAAGAAGGUCUGGUUGUUUGAUCAAUCUUUCAUUGAUCUCCAAAAGGGAACCUUUCACGCAGCAUCUGUAAAACUUUAGCAUAAGCAACACUGCAGUGCAGAAAACAAUAAUGUCUCAGACAUACUUCUGUGAUAUUUAAAAUCAAGGGGACCAGCCUCACAAUAAAAGAUUUAUCGUUUACACAAACUUUGCACAACGCCGAAUUUUCUUGCCAGUGUUGUGCAUUCUGCAAUGUAAAAUGAACAUCAAUUCAUGUUGUCAUUUGUUUAAUUAAACGAAAAGAAACAUAGUCUAGUUACUCUUUUGCGUUUUCCUGUGACUUUCAUCUCGCUGCGAUCUGACUUGCCGACGUUGGAGUCAACAGUGGUUAUUAUUCCUUCCUCUUUAAACACAACAUGGGUUGGAGCUAAACCAACCACACACAAUCUAAAGUUUUUCAACAAAACAAAGCAACCAUGAGAAUAUAGAUAUUAAGGCUCAUUAGAAAUCUCAAUGUGCACUACUCACAAAACAGGAAGGCAUUGAUUGGCACUUGUCAACUAGAGUUAUUGUAUAGAAAAUAAAUACCUAACACAAGAACAGAUCAUUUAUUUGCAGAUAAAACAGUACCACGAUUAUGUUAUGAAGCAGACAUUCAGCUUUCUUAGUUACCCAGCGCACUUAGCAUUCUUAGUAUCUACAAAUAAUUCCCUUUAGAGAGAGACACCAUAGCAAACUGUUGUCAGCCUUAGAUGCACAUUGUGAAAAUGCAAAUUUCACCAAAAGCCUUGAGAACCUGAUGUUGACUUGUCGAAAUUGAAAACCUACCCGUUUGGAUGGCGAUACACAUACUGAUCAUACCACAGAUUCAGAAAAUCUGCCCAAGAAAGCAGUAUAGUGAAAUUAGAGUGCUUGAAGCAGACAUCUAGAGACCAGUAGAAAGAUUUCCCUCCCCUGUCUCAACAUAUAACAGCAUAAACUUCUCAAACAUUCUAGUAUGUUAAGUCACUAAUGCUAGAGAACCACGCUACACAGUGCAGACACAGUAGGCUGAAAAUAAAAUCUUCAGAAUCCAGGAUCUUAUGUCCUACUUGGAAUGGGUCAAUGGGCCCGAAAAAAGAAGUUGGAUGAUGUUGAUACUGAUAUUCCCACAGUGAUUGGAGUAGAUAAAUUUUUGCCUGUGAUCAUAUGUAGAUGUAGAGUAACAUUGAGUAGUGAUGAUACAUGACGCCGAGAGAGCAGCACAGGAGCAAUUGGGAACCCAGCUCGUCCUGCAGCGCCUUCACUUGGUUCUGCAGGCCCACGAUGUAGUCAAUGGCGUCCCCGAGGAUCGACGCGAAGUCCAUCUAAACAAUGCCAUCCAUCGAUGACAUCAGAGAAGCAAGAAAACAAAAAGUUCCAUGGCGAUGGAUAAGUUCUUCACUUGGUUCUGUUAAUAAAAAACAACACACAAAUGUGCAGUGUUGAUGACAGAUAAGUUCCGUGUCAGAACUCACCCCACGCGUCAUAUAUCGUACAUGGCGGUAAAAAAAAGCACCCGCCGAAUAAAUAUAAAUAAGCACUUUGUCAAGGCUGAAUGAAACAAAAUUAAUCUUCCAUCGUGGCGUAAGGAUUGCAUCUUCUGUGCCGGUUUCAAACCAUAUAUAUACGAUGCUGCCAAUUAUUAGGUUGAUGCGACAUAGGAUGUCUCCAUUGACUCAUCACUUGCCUUCAAUAUGUUUCAAACUGUAAGGAUUUUUGAAGUUCUAGUAACACGCACGUACGUAUUUAUUAAAUAAAAAAAAUCCCUCAAUAGCAAUCAAAUUUUGAUGACAGAAUUCAUGUCGUAUAGAUUUCAUGAUCUCAGGACAUGGUCAGGAAUGACAUAACAAAAUGGGGAAUCCUCUCGGGUACAUUUCCUAAUAUCUCAUAAAACAAAACUGCAGGCAUACAAAAGGUUGAAAUUUUUCCACGUCUCCAGCAAAAGCAUAUAUACAAACAGCUUUCCAAGUUACAUAGCAACUUGGAUAAUUUAUAGCUUCAAAUUACCUCAGUACAUGGAAAGCGAUCAUAAUGUUAAGUUCUUCGGACACAGUCAUUGCACCCAGCAAGCCAAAUAUAGCAAUACCGACAAGUCUAUCUUAAGUAGCAAGCUAAGAAGCCAGUUUUCACAUCCACAGUGAUCGAUGACAUCAGUGCUUAGUAGGGUAGGGGCGGUAAGGAUCGCAAUAGACAAACGCAAAACCUCCAGGGCGCGGAUGCAGCACACGGGAGUGAAGAUAGCACAUUUCACAGACUUUCUGCACAUGCUGAUGUCCACACGCAAAUAUCUUCUGUAUGCCAGGAUGUGGAACAUCAAAGCGCUUGUAGCACGUCUUGCAAAAGGAAUCCACUGCAAAAACACAGGAAGCCAAGCAAUAUAUAAAAAUGAGUAAAGCGAACGAUCGUGUGGUCUGUGUGAGAGAGGAAGAGGAAUAGGAUGAGGAGAGGGGGUUCAUACAUUUGCCACUACGACGAGUAGAGAACCCAAGAGGGAAACCCAAGACACUGUAGGAUUCAGUAACUGGUUCAUCUGAAAACAGAAGGAACAGAAGGCAAAAAUUAAUUUAUACAGAAAGCAUUACAAUGUAACCGCAAAGGUACUCAUGAGGUUUGUUUAUUAUAAUAAUAUAAAUAAGUGCAAACAGAUCAGAUCACAAUUGUAAUGAUCUUCUUCCAACGAGUACAUACGAGAUAGGUGUGUUGUAUAAAAGAGAAACAAGAAGAAAGAAGUAGAGCAUACCUAAGGGGGUGCAUGUGAAGACGCCAUCGAAAUCAUUUGUAUGAGCAAGCUCGAAGAAAAAGAGAGUCCUUGGAGCAGGAAGGAAUGAGAACCAACCAGAGCGCUUCUUACGAGCUACAAAGUUCCCAUGAGUCCAGCAAAUGCCAUUGUGAAAAUGGGCAUUCCGGUACACCUUGCCUGGAGCAGGCUCAUACUUAUUGCCCUGACUAAAACCAAUCCAAUCAUUCACGAGGUAAGGAAAUUGGCAAGUGUAGCAGGGCAAAAACAGUAACAAACACUAGAUUAAUGGGUUGCAUCGUCCUCUAAUCAAAAUUGGUGUUGAACCCUAAUCGGUAGACUUGUGAUCCUAAUCAGUACACAGGUUAAUCAUUAUACUUGUGAUCCUAAUCAGUACACAAGUUAAUCAUUAUACUUGUGAUCCUAACACAAGUUAGGACCUUGAUCAAUAUAGAUGCUUUGGCACCUAAUCAGUGCACAAGCUGCGCCCAUAAUCAGUACACAGUGCGACCAUAAUCAGUAUAUCUGCUGAAACCUUAAUCAGGAGACAAGCUGCAGACCUAUAAUUGGUAACGGAUGCAUCGACCCUAACCAAUGUACUGGCUGUGGCCUGUAAUCGGUAUGGGUGCAUGGACAACUAACAAAAAUGGAUGUUGAAGCACCGAGAUGUAUAUUUGUUGUGGCUCUUAUCUGAACAGAAGCCGCGACCUUGAUUAGUAUAGAUGAUGUAAGCCUAAUCAGUAGGUACGAGUAAAUGGAACCUGUGUUGUGCUUGGAUGCAUACCACGAAUCAUGCCCGUAGCUAAUUAACUAACAGCGAUAUACUUGGAGAGGAGACAUAGGCACAUAGUAGACUCAUUUUUCUAUUUUCCAAAAUCAAAGGCCCACUGUUUAGGCAAAAUAAUUAUUUGACACUUUGCAUGCGUAGCCAUUGAAAUGUUGUUAUUUAUUAUUUUUAUUUUAGGAUAAUCUGCCACUAUUUUGUGUCAAAUAUGGAAUACUGAAGAAAUUAACAAAUGGAUUAGUUUCUUUUUAAUCCGUAUGCACGCAAACAAAAAUCAGUAACAUAGCUGCAGGUAGCAUACUCUAGCGCUUGGGUCGGAGGUGCAUGCAUGCCUGUCUCUAGCAUGUGGUUCUUGUAUGGCUGCAUGCAGUGCGUGUCAGGUCCCCCCUUGCGACGGGUAGACAUGGCGUGUGGCGGGCAGGAGUGGGUGCGUGUGGGGUGGCGCGUCCGCGCAUGCGAGGGGGUUGGUUUGGUUCGUGGUGGGUUUGUUUAGUUCGCUGGACUGAUCCACGGUGUGUUUGUUAUUGCGUAAGAUAAAGUUGCUGCAUAGGCCUUGCACCCAUAUCAUUGCUGUAUGCAUCGAGGCGGGGGGACUUCAGCCUCGUCGGUUCAUGUCGCACUAUUUCCUGAAGGAAACCAUAUGGCAUACUUGGAGGAACGAGAUUUAUGGAUAUCGUUUACUAGGAGAUUUCGUCAACAAUCCUGGUAAUGCUGCGCGGUACCUUCGUGAGCCUGUCCAGAAAUGUUCCAAGGGGUCGGGCGAUACAUGAACAGACGUAUUCGGAACGUCAUGGAUCAAUCUGAAGCUGGUCCUGAUGUCCGUCUCUGCUCUAAGUGCCAUGAAGCCGGUCACACCUAUAAGAACUGCCCUGUGACGACAUAUGGAAGUGCGAGUAGCCAAGCUGGUGCAUCAAACGGUGAUAGAAUUGCUGCAGCGCGUGGUGGGGGUCGUCGUGCACGUAGCAACAAUGACGGACUUCUGUGAUUCAUGUGAUGUAUGUUUGUGAACUCAUUGUGUUUAAAGUUUCGAAAGUUGAUUUAAGUUGUGACUCAUGUGAUGUAUGUUUCUGAACUUGUGUUUUUAAGUUUGUGAAGUCGUUGUAAUAUGUAAUUCAGGCAAACCUUUCCGAAAUGUCAUGUAAUAUGUAACAUAAGUUGUAGUACUAUGACCAUGUAAAAUUUGCAUAUCGUGGACUACUUCAUUUGCAUUUUUUUAUUACAUUUAUGUUUUCAAGUCAUUAUUGUUUUGGGCACGUACUUAUUUGUUUCAUGUUGCAGGUCAUUCAUGUCUGCCGUUCGGGGUUCGAGGUUGGGCACGUUUCGAGCACGUAACCCGCUUUCGACGAUGCCGAUCGACACCUAUUGGAUUCUGAGGUACAUCGUAUUGAGUUAAAUUUAUAUAUUAAAUUGUAACAUUACAUUGUUUGAACUAAUUAAUUUUAUGCAUGGUACAGGUUACGCGCUCGGGCCUUCUCCCCCUAGCUAGGUUGGUUGAGGGGGACAUGGUUGACGCCGCUGCGCGGCCUAGGGAGAAGUCUACACGGUUCCACUUUGACAUGUCCCUGCUUCGACAUAUCACUUGAGGACAUCUCACUACUACUUGGCCUUCCUUGUGCGGGGUGUGCCGUUGCUGCGGUCGAUGUCCCACCUAGCUGGCAUAAUGAGCUAUUGGGCCGGUUUGCCGACGUUCACCACAAAGAUGGUGCCCCGCCAUACGUGACCUUCAGCUCGACACACGGGCCCACGAAGGCGUGGCUGUUGCAGUUCAGUGUGAGUUCUUAGUUACCUAAGUGUUCAAAUCAUUUUGUCUAAUUAUUGUUAAUUUAUCAACUAAUUGUUUUUUCUGGUGGUGCAGGCCACAUACAUGAGAGACGACGCCAACGAUGCCACGGUAGCGUGACACUUGGAGGCAUACCUGCUCUAGCUGUUUGGGUGGAUCAUGUUGUGCACGUCGCCGGGAAACUCGGUGCCUAAGCACCUACUUCCUUACGCUAGGUCCAUUGCGGAGGCCCCGCUCGACGACGUUCCGCGGUACAGCUAGGGUUCAGCUGUAUUGGCGGCCACCUACAGGGUCUUUGCACGGGCUGCUGCAAGGUAGCCUCGGUGGAGCCAAUAUUCCUUGGCUACCCGUUGCUGCUUCAGCUGUGGUCGUACGAGCGGUUCCUGAUCGGGCGGCCACGGAUUGAGAUGUCCCCCUACCCGAAGCUGCCUUUGGACCACGACAACGUUGACAGGCCCACGAUGGGGUCGUUGUGGUGCUUGAGGAAGGUACGGUGCUUCAUCUAUAAUUAUUUAUGAUGGAAUAAAUUCAUGAACUUUCUAUGGAAAAUGUACAUUGCCUAUAGUUAUUAGCAAUCACCUUUAUUGUCAUUUUAUUUGUUGCAGGGAUCGUGGGUUGGGGUGCAGACGAAGAAGUCGUAGCCGAACUUCAUCAGUCAGUUCGACGCUCUUGUCAACACCGACGUGAGGUGGAGACCCUACACCAUCGACAAGGUGCAGGCUCAUGCCCCGCAUGGCCUCUCUUCGUUGUGCCAUCGGGACAUGGAGUACUGAAGGACGACGAGGCCAUUGGUCUACGACAUCCACGUCGAGGACUACGCGGUUCACCGUGUGAUGAGGCAGUUUAGCCUGUACCAGCAGUCCCCACUUCCUGUUACGUCUGCAGUCCCGCCCGCCGUUCACAAGUACACCCCAUCCUUUAAUUCUUCUUCCAAUAACGAUUUUUAGUUUACCUAACUCGUUGCACGAUGGUUAUGUUCGGUCUAGCCCCUACAUUUUAGUCCUCGGUGGCCGGUGUGGCCGUUUUCAGGCCCCCGUGACCUAUACCACACGUUUUCAUGGCCGAAAACGCGUCCGGAGGCCAUUUUCACGACUUCGGCCCAUCCCCACGUUUUCGACCCUGGUGGCCGGUGUCGCAGUUUUUGGGCUCCUGUGACCUAUAACACAUGUUUUCAUGGCUGAACACACAUUCGGAGGCAAUUUUCACUUGUUCGGUCCAGCCCCCACAUUUUAGUCCUUGGUGGCCGGUGUGGCCAUUUUCGAGCUCCCAUGACCUAUAGCACACGUUCGCAUGGCCGAAAACGCGUCCAGAGAUCAUUUUGGCAUCUUCGGUCCAUCUCUCACGUUUUUAACCCUGGUGGCCAGUGUCUCUGUUUUCGGGGUCCCAUGACCUAUAAUACACGUUUUCUUGGCCGAACACGCAUUCGGAGGCAAUUUCCACUUGCUCGGUCCAACCCUUACAUUUUAGUCCUCGGUGGCCGGUGUUGCCAUUUUUGCGCUCCCGUGACUUGUAGCACACGUUUUCAUGGCCGAAAACGCAUUCAGAAACUAUUUUCACGUCUUCGAUCCAUUCCACACGUUUUCGACCCCGGUGGCCGGUGUCGUAGUUUUUGGGCUCCCGUGACCUAUAACACACGUUUUAAUGGCCUAACAUGCGUUCGGAGGCAAUUUUUACUUGUUCGGUCCAUCCCCUACAUUUUCAUCCUCGGUGGCCGGUGUGGCCGUUUUCGGGCUCCCGUGACCUAUAGCACAUGUUUUCAUGGCCGAAAACGCUUCCGGAGGCCAUUUUUACGUCUUCGGUCAAUCCCCCACGUUUUCGACCCCGGUGGCUGGUGUCGCUGUUUUUGGGCUCCCAUGACCUAUAACACACGUUUUCAUGACCGAACUUGCGUUCGGAUGCUAUUUUCACUUAUUCGGUCCAGCCCCUGCAUUUUAGUCCUCGGUGGCCGUUUUCAAGCUCCUGUGACCUAUAGCACACGUUUUCAUGGCUGAAAACGCGUCCGGAGGCCAUUUUCACGACUUUGGCCCAUCCCCCACGUUUUCAACCCCAGUGGCCGGUGUCGCAGUUUUCGGGCUCCCGUGACCACACACGUUUUCAUGGCUGAACACGUGUUCGGAGGCAAUUUUCACUUGUUCGGUCCAGCCCCAACAUUUUAGUCCUCAGUGGCCGGUGCGGCUGUUUUUGGGCUCCUGUGACCUAUAGCACACGUUCGCAUGGCCGAACACGCGUCCGGAGGCCAUUUUCACGUCUUCAGUCCAUCCCCCACGUUUUCGACCCCGGUGGCCGGUGUCGCUGUUUUCGGGCUCCCGUGACCUAUAACACACGUUUUCAUGGCCGAACACGCGUUCAGAGGCAAUUUUCACUUGUUUGGUCCAGCCCCUACAAUUUCAUCCUCGGUGGCCGGCGUGGUCGUUUUUUGCCUCCCGUGACCUAUAGCACACGUUUUCAUGGCCGAAAACGCGUCCUGAGGCCAUUUUCACAUCUUCGGUCCAUCCCUCGUAUUUUAAACCCCGGUGUUCGGUGUUGCAGUUUUCGGGCUCCCGUGACCAAUAACACACAUUUUCAUGGCCGAACACGUGUUCGGAGACAAUUUUCACUUGUUUGGUCCAACCCUACAUUUUAGUACUUGGUGGUCGAUGUGGCCGUUUUCGGGCACCCGUGACCUAUAGCACGUGCUUUCAUGGCCGAACAAGCGUCCGAAGGCCAUUUUCAUGUCUUCGAUCUUUCGACCUCAGUCGCCUGUGUCGCUGUUUUCGGGCUCCCGUGACCUAUAACACAUGUUUUAAUGGCCUAACACGCGUUAGGAGGCAAUUUUUACUUGUUCGGUCCAUCCCCUGCAUUUUCGUCCUCGGUGGCUGGUGUGGCCAUUUUCGGGCUCCCGUGACCUAUAGCACACGUUUUUAUUGCCAAAAAUGCGUCCGGACGCCAUUUUCAUGUCUUCGGUCCAACCCCCACGUUUUCAACCCUGGUGGCCGGUGUCGCAGUUUUCGGAAUCCCGUGACCUAUAACACACGUUUUCAUGGCCGAACACGCGUUCAGAGACAAUUUUCACUUGCUCGGUCCAGCCCCUACAAUUUAGUCCUCGGUGGCCGGUGUGGUCGUUUUCGGGCUCUCGUCACCCAUUGCACACGUUUUCAUGGCCAAAAAUGCGUCCGGAGGCCAUUUUCACGUCGUCGGUCCAUCCCUCACAUUUUCGACCCCGGUGGCUGGUGUCACAGUUUUCGGUCCCCAUGAUCUAUAACACACGUUUUCAUGGCCGAACACGCGUUCGGAGGUAAUUUUCACUUGUUCAUUCCAGCCCCUACUUUUUAGUCCUCGGUGGCUGGUGUGCCCAUUUUCGGGCUUCCGUGACUUAUAGCACACGUUUUCAGGGCCGAAAAUACGUCCGGAGGCUAUUUUCACGUUUUCGGUCCAUCCCCCACGUUUUCAACCCCGGUGGCCGGUGUCGCUGUUUUUGGGCUCCCGUGACCUACAACACAUGUUUUAAUGGUCGAACACGCGUUCGGAGGCCAUUUUCACUUGUUCGGUCUAGCCCCUACAUUUUAGUCCUUGGUGGCUGGUGUGGCCGUUUUCAGGCCCCCGUGACCUAUAGCACACGUUUUCGUCGCCGAAAAUACGUCCGGGGGCCAUUUUCACGACUUCGGCCCAUUGCCCACGUUUUCAACCCCGGUGGCCAGUGUCGCAGUUUUUGGGCUCCUGUGACCUAUAACACAUGUUUUCAUGGCCGAACACACGUUCGGAGGCAAUUUUCACUUGUUCGGUCCAGCCCCAACAUUUUAGUCCUCGGUGGCCGGUAUGGCUGUUUUCGGGCUCCCGUGACCUAUAGCACACGUUCGCAUGGCCGAAAACGCGUCUAGAGAUCAUUUUCACAUCUUCAGUCCAUCUCUCACAUUUUCGACCCCGGUGGCCGGUGUCGAUGUUUUCGGGCUCCCGUGACCUAUAACACACGUUUUCUUUGCCGAACACGCAUUCGGAGGCAAUUUUCACUUCCUCUGUCCAGCCCCUACAUUUUAGUCCUCGGUGGCCGGUGUUGGCGUUUUCGGGCUCCCAUGACCUAUAGCACACGUUUUCAUGGCCGAAAACGCGUUUGCAAGCCAUUUUCACUUUGGUCCGUCCCAACGUUUUCGACAUCGGUGGCCCGGGUCGUAGUUUUCGGGCUCCCGUGACCUACAGCACUUGUUUUAAUGGCCUAACACGCGUUCGGAGGAAAUUUUCAUUUGUUCCGUCCGUCCCCUACAUUUUCAUCCUCGGUGGCCGGUGUGGCCAUUUUCGGGCUCCCGUGACCUAUAGCACACAUUUUCAUGGCCGAAAACGCUUCCGGAGGCCAUUUUCACGUCUUCGGUCCAUCCCCCACCUUUUCGACCCCGGUGGCCGGUGUCGUUGUUUUUGGGCUCCCGUGACCUAUAACACACGUUUUCAUGGCUGAACAUGCGUCCGGAUGCCAUUUUCACUUGUUCGGUCCAGCCCCUGCAUUUUAGUCCUCGGUGGCCGGUGUGGCCGUUUUCAAGCUCCCAUGACCUAUAGCACACGUUUUCAUUGCCGAAAACGCAUCUGAAGGCCAUUUUCACGAUUUCGGCCCAUCCCCCACAUUUUCGACCCUAGUGGCCGGUGUCGUAGUUUUCGGGCUCCCUUGACCUAUAACACAUGUUUUCAUGGCCGAACACAUGUUCGGAGGCAAUUUUCACUUGUUCGGUCCAGCCCUAACAUUUUAGUCCUAGAUGGCCGGUGUGGCCGUUUUCGGGCUCCCGUGACCUAUAGCACACGUUCGCAUGGCCGAACACGCGUUCGGAGGCCAUUUUCACGUCUUCACUCCAUUCCCCACGUUUUCGACCCUGAUGGCCGGUGUCGCUGUUUUCAGGCUCCCAUGACCUAUAACACACGUUUUCAUGGCCGAACACGCGUUUGGAGGCAAUUUUCACUUGUUUGGUCCAGCCCCUAAAUUUUCAUCCUCGGUGGCCGGCGCGGUCGUUUUCGGGUUCCGUGACCUAUUGCGCAUGUUUUCAUGGCCGAAAACGCGUCCGAAGGCCAUUUUCACAUCUUCAGUCCAUCCCUCAUGUUUUCAACCCUACUGGUCGGUGUCGCUUCUUUCGGGCUCCCGUGACCUAUAACACACGUUUUCGUGGCCGAACACGCGUUCGGAGGCCAUUUUCACUUGCUCGGUCCAGUCCUACAUUUUAGUCCUCGGUGGCUGGUGUGGCCGUUUUCAGGCUCCCGUGACCUAUAGCACACGUUGUCAUGGCUGAAAACACGUCCAGAGGCCAUUUUCACCUCUUCGGUUCGUCCCCCACGUUUUUGACCCCGGUGGCCGGUGUCGCAGUUUUUGGGCUCCCGUGACCUAUACACAUGUUUUCAUGGCCGAACACGCGUUCGGAGGCAAUUUUCACUUUUUUAGUUCAGCCCCUACAUUUUAGUCCUUGGUGGCCAGUGUUGCCGUUUUCGGGCUCCCGUGAUCUAUAGCACACAUUUUCAUUGCCGAACACGCGUCCGGAGGCCAUUUUCAUGUCUUCGGUCUAUACCCCACGUUUUCGACCCUGGUGGCCAGUGUCGCUGUUUUCAGGCUCCUGUGACCUAUAACACACGUUUUCAUAGCCAAACACGCAUUCGGAAGCAAUUUUCACUUUUUCGGUCCAGCCCCUACAUUUUCAUUUUCGUCCUCGGUGGAUCCAUAGCUGAUGUAGGUAUCCGUGGUUUUUUAAUUUCCAGAGUAUAUCUGGCCUCAACCAUGACCUAUAGCACAUGUUUUUCAUCCGUCCUAGUCACUCCGGAGCCGGUGGAGGUGUCUGUGAAUUUUUAAUUUUCGUACGAUAUCUGGCCUCAACCAAGACCACACAUGUUUUUCAUCCUUUUUAGUCCAUUCGGAGCCGGUGGAGGUGUCUGUGGAUUUUUAAUUUUCGUACGAUAUCUGGUUUCAACCUUGACCUAUAGCACGUGUUUUCCUUCCUUCCUAGUCCAUCCGGAGCUGGUGGAGGUGUUUGUUGAUUUUUAAUUUUCGUACGAUAUCUGUCCUCAACCAUGACCUAUAGCACAUGGUUUUCGUCCUUACUACUCCAUCCGGAGCUAGUGGAGGUAUCUAUGGAUUUUUAAUUUUCAUACGAUAUCGAACCUCAACCAUGACCUAUAGCACAUGUUUUUCAUCCUUCCUAGUCCAUCCGGAACUGGUGGAGGUGUUUGUGGAUUUUUAAUUUUCGUACGAUAUCUGGCCUCAACCAUGAGCUAUAGCACAUGGUUUUCGCCCUUCCUACUCCAUCCGGAGCUAGUGGAGGUGUCUGUGGAUUUUGAAUUUCCGUACGAUAUUUGACCUCAACCAUGACCUAUAGCACAUGUUUUUCAUCCUUCCUAGUCCAUCCAUAGCUGGUCGAGGUGUCUGUGGAUUUUUAAUUUUCGUAGGAUAUCUGGCCACAACCAUGACCUAUUGCACAUAUUUUUCGUCCCUCCUAGUCCAUCCGGAGCUGGGGGAGUUGUUUGUGGAUUUUUAACUUUUGUACGAUAUCUGGCCUCAACCAUGACCUAUAGCACAUAUUUUUCGUCCUUUCUAUUCCAUCCGGAGCUGGUGGAGGUGUAUGUGGAUUUUUAAUUUUUCAUACGAUAUUUGGCCUCAACCAUGACCUAUAGCACAUAUUUUUCGCCGGAGCUGACGUAGGUGUCCAUAGUUUUUUAAUUUCCAGAGGAUAUCUGGCCUCAACCAUGAUCUAUAGCACAUAUUUUUCGUCCAUCCUAAUCCCUCCGGAGCCGGUGGAGGUGUUUGUGGAUUUUUAAUUUUCAUACGAUAUUUAGCCUCAACCAUGACCUAUAGCACAUGUUUUUCGUCUCUCCUAGUCUAUCCGAAGCCGGUGGAGGUGUCUAUGGAGGUCCAGUGGAGGUGUCAUCCUAGUCCAUGUGGCUAAAAAGAGGAAAGGGGUCCGCUGGAGAUGCUCUCAGCUGCUCCUCUGGGAUCACUACAUAUCCUUAUACUUCACAUCUUUGAAAGCAAUCAAAACUAGCAUGCAACAUAUAUUUUUUAGAUCAAGGAAUCUAUUUAGCAUGCAACAUAUAUGUGACCAAGAAUGUCGUAUCAAUAUAUAAACAGCUUACAUUUACACCAUUAUCCUAGGUUGACAAUUACACUAUCUUGCAUUGUUGCGCAUCUCUGUCUGUCGCAUAUCCUUUAAGCUGAAAAAUCCUUUGGCCCCAAUAAAUUAAUAUUGUUCUAAACUCAACAAAUAAAUGAGUCCGAUACUAUGUUUUCCUUUCAUCAUUCAACUGCACAUGCUAGCUCAAUACCGAAGUGAAUUCCCGGCGGCAAGAACAGAGUAGAAGACUGUGUUCCAGGUGUCAGGUACGCCGGCGACGCACCAGUGGGUGCAGUCCACACCUUGGAUGUCCCCGUUGUACUUGGUAGUGGGGCCAUCCUUCCUCAGCUGCGACAUGAAGGUGAUGUCCAGCAGGUGCACCGGCUUCGCCAUGCCGGCCAGGACUCUCCUCACGAUGCGUCCUGCGGGUUGGGUUGGGUUGGCCGUGGUAUGCCGCGGUGUUGUUCACCGGCAUCGUCUCCCCCACGCACGUCUUGCCCCAAGGCGCCCCCCAUUCCUGACCGCUGCACAGUUGCAUUGUCACCUUUGUUAGCGCAUGCAAGAAAAUUGAUGAAUGUAACAACAGCAAGCAAGAGAGACACAAGGAUUUGUUACCGGAGUUCAGCUUUACACUGCGAAAACUACGUCUCCGUUGAGGACCCACAAAGGGUGGGCUUGUACCACCAAACCACUUUCCUCCCUCUAGAGACCACAAAGAUCGAGCUAGAGUCAUUUACUCAAUCGUAGAGGUAAUACAAACUUUUCGGGACAUUCUAGACCACAAAGAUCGAGCUAGAGUCAUUUACUCAAUCGUAGAGGUAAUACAAACUUUUCGGAGCAGCAACAAAGCUUGGAUGCUCGUCCGGGCAACGCCUAGCUGGCUAGGAGCUUGAAGCUCCAAGAGUAACAAACGCGAGCCACCAGCUUGACGAAGAACGAAUGUGCUCAAGAGAUGGAGUUGCAGCUCACUUGCACAAUCCCUUGCCUACUCACUAAUCUCUCCUCAAAUCCCCACCAAAUCUCACAAGAAAGUCAAAGGGGAGGAAAGAGGGAGUUUUAGAGUGUUUCUGCAGUUUAGAACAGAAGAGAGGCAAGAGAGGGCGAAAAGGAGGGGGUGAGGGGGUAUUUAUACCCUUCACCCCAAAACUAGCCAUUAUAACAUAAGUUCCAGAGAUUUCCGUAACUUUCUCCGGAGAUUUCCAGAAUCUCUGGAAUUUUCCGGGAAAACUUCCGGAAAAAUCCAAACCUUCGAAGCCUCUCCGAAAACUCUCAUUUCCGGAAUAUUCCGAGAAAAUUUCUGGAACUCUCUUGUUAGCACAUCUGAAAAGCCCCAUGUGACAUGCAGGUGCAAAUGGUGUCUCUCAUAGAUUUUGUUAGGUCAUUUUGAGCACCUUUUUCAUCAUCAAGACCAAAGAUCAUGCAUCCCUCUUAAUAGUGUGGCAUUCCUAUACUCAAUUUCAAACCGAAAAUAAAUUUAAACUAGAUAAGAUGUCGUUCGUCGUUUGAUUUCCUUUUGAAAGGUCCAUCACAAGUGCUUCAUGACCAAUAAUCCAUUUAAACCUGCUAAUGCACUUGAAAUUUGGUUAGACAUUUAAGCUUGUGUCAUUAAAUCACCAAAACCCACUUAGGGGGCUAAGAUACUCUUCAGCCACCUACAACCUGAUGGCCGCCUACUUCCCAGUGGUGAUGGGUCCCGCCCCUCUCCUAUGGCGAGAGAACCUCCCGCCGAGCAGCAUCAACACCUAGGUCAACUCGCUAGAGUUUUCACCAAGAACUACCAGGCUACCUAGAGCCGACCUGGUAACAUGGAGAAUUUUGGGCAAGUCCGCCAACGAAAGAAUGAAACUCUCCGAGAGUACGUGAACCACUUCUUUGAGAACCGCAACAGGCUGGCCAACGUCGAGGACCACGACAUCAUUUGGUACUUCCGCUCCGACCUAACGGUCUGGUAGAUGAUGCAGCUCAUCAACGUCUAGGCCGACACAAAGGAGGCAACAAAAGUACAGUUCCAGGGUGGCAAGCAUCACUAGAACGACGACUACGAACUACCGACCCAUGAGGAGCACCAAGCAUGACCGGGGUCCUCCCGACUUCGAAAAAGGGCCCCCGAGGUCCUCACCGCUGAAGCCGACCCCGCUAGGCCGACUACCUUCCUCCAGGAAGAGUUUGAUGACACCCUGAAUGCUCCAUGCCCCUUCCAUAAGGACGCACGUCACAACCUUCAGAACUACACAGUCCUCAACAAAGAGCUCGGUGCCCCGGUGGAGUACAAGCAACCUCGCCGCAACGACUGCCUUAAGGACAACAACCAUUGUGAGAACGGAAGCCAGAAUGACUAUAAUGACCGCGGCGGCCGUCGCUACGAUGAUCGCCACCGCGACCAUUGCGACCACCGCCGUGAUGAUAGUGACGACCACGACCACCGCCGUGAUGAUCGUGAUGACCGCGACAACCGCCGAUGUGAUGAUCGCGAUGAUCAGCACAGAGAUGAGCAUCGCGACUAGCCAAACCUAGACGCCCACUGGUCCGGUGCCGACCAGAACGGGAAGUUCAGCAAUUGAACCAUGAAGUCAACAUCAUCGUGCGCGGCCCCAAGGCGUUCUGCAGCAACCGCAAACACAAGCUACAUCAGCGAGAGGUGCACAUAUUGCCAGUCUGGUAUCUACGCUGGUCGGAGAUGCCCAUAACCUUCUCCAAGGAGGAUCAUUGGGUACACAUUCUAGAUCCUGGGUUCUACUCAUUGGUGGUCUGCCUGACCAUAGACCAAGCUCUCCUCCCCAAAGUGCUAAUUGACGGCGACAGCAAGCUCAACAUCAUCUUCACCAAAUCCCUAUGGUGCAUGGACUUCAACUUAGACUGGCUCCAGCCCUGUGAAGACCCCUUCUACGGCAUUGUGCCUGACAAAUAAUCCUAUCCUAUCGGCCGAGUUGUUUUGCCAGUCACCUUUGGCACGCCUGACAACUACCGUACAGAGCACCUCACCUUCGAGGUAGCCAACUUCAAGACUUCCUACCAUGCCAUCUUUGGCAGGCCCAUGCUCGUGAGGUUCAUAAUGAUUCCGCAUCACACCUACCUCAUCCUCAAGAUGCGAGUUACAAAUGGUGUCCUCUCCAUCUAAGGUGACGUUGAGACAUCAUACAAGUGUGACACAGAGGCAGUACAGCUUGCUAAAGCCCUGGAGUACUCGGCCAAAGCCAUCGCCAUGCUCGCUGAGGCCCAGAAGGUGGACCAGACCUAGCUCACGAUCCCAAAGACGGAGCCAAUGCCCGCAACGCUGCAGCCCGACCCGAAGGUCAAGAAGAUCUGUCUCGGCCUGGAAGAUCCCUCCAAGAUAGCCCUCAUAGGGUUCGACCUCUUCGCCAAAUAGGAGCUCACGUUCACCAUUUUCCUCCAGGAAAACUUGAACAUAUUCGCGUGGAAGCCAUCUGAUAUGGCCGGUGUCCCGCGGGAGCUGGCUGAGCACUCCUUGGACUUGAACAAGACAGCAAGACCGGUCAAGCAAAAGCUUCAUCGUUUCGUCCAAGAUCACAAGGAGGCCAUUAUGGUAGAACUCAAUAAGCUCUUAGCUGUCGGAUUUAUUCAUGAAUGUAAGCACCCUGAAUAGUUAGCAAACCCAGUCCUUGUAAAAAAAGAAAACCGGUGAAUGGAGAAUGUGUAUCGAUUACACCGACCUCAACAACAAUUGCCCUAAGGACCCCUUCCCUCUUCCACGCAUGGACCAGAUCGUAGACUCUAUUGCUGGAAGCACCCUGAUGUGCUUCCUCGAUUGUUACUCGAGCUAUCACCAGAUCGCCCUCAUUUCUACCGACCAAGACAAGACAACGUUCAUAACGCCCUUCGGUAUCUAUUGCUACAACACCCUGACCUUUGGGUUAAAAAAUGCCGGCGCCACCCACCAAAAGGCAAUACAACGUUGCCUCACGAAGCAACUACACAAGAACGUUGAGGCCUACAUCGACGAUGUGGUCGUCAAGACUAAAGAUGAGGAGAGCUUCAUAACUGACCUUGCAGAAACCUUCGACAGCCUUCGAGCCUAUCAUUGGAAAGUCAAUCUGGGCAAAUGUGUCUUCGGUGUCCCAUGUGGAAAGCUCCCAGGCUUCUGGUCAGCCAGCGCGGCAUCGAAGCCAAUCCCGUCAAGGUUGACGCAAUCAGAAACAUGGCGAAGCUAGCUAACAAGAAAGACGCCAUGAAGCUUACUGGCAUGAUGGCGGUCCUCAGCUGCUUCAUCAGCAAACUCGGUGUAAAGGGUUUGCCCUUCUUCAAGCUACUCAAGAAGGUGGACAAGUUCAAGUGGGAUGACGAGGCUAGCAAGACGGUCGAAGAGCUCAAAGCUUUCCUUACGACUCCCCCCGUCAUGAUGGCCUCUACUGACCAAGAAACGCUACAACUCUACAUCUCUGCAACGACGCACGUUGUCAGCACUGUGCUAGUUGCAGAACGCGAAGAGCCCAGCCAUGCACACUGAUGAGGACCUCCCAGCAAAUGUGCCAAGCCAUGGACUAGCUGAAACAAGUCAAGCACCAAUUACACCAAUACAAGGACCCAUCACACAGAGUCGUGCAAGGAAACUGCAGGAAGAGGUGAACUAUCUCCUUACUAAAUUUGAUUACAAUACAAAUGAGAAUUUUAUACUACCUAAACGUUCUACUUUUGUAUUGCUAAGGUUUACGCAUAUUGGAGCUGCUGCUGGACCAAAGGAGACAAGUUACACCGAGAAGGAGACAAGUUACAGACUCCUGAGAUCAGAGCCAUGUUCCAAGAGACACACGCACAAAUUGGUCAAGAUUCACCAUGCAUAAUGCACAUGGACAGAAAGACAAUCAAGUCUAGUUUCAUCUCCAAUAAAUGGUUCGUCUUUUCGACUUUCCACUAAGGAGUAAUGACCAUUUAAGUGAAGACUACCAGGGAGGCUGAAGAUCACGUGAGGCUUCUCGGGAACUCCUGUUUUCACCUUUUCAUCUCCCUUUAUUUUUGUCAAAACUUAUAGAACUUUCACACCUAGCUAGGAAAGGUGUUCCUAGUAUAAAUACCUACUGUAUCUGAGCCAAAAAGAGCACGAUUAUGAACUAAGAAAAAUCCAUCAGAUGGUGUUUCCAGCCAAGAGCUGUUGAGUAACUUACCCCAAAUUUCUUGCGAGUUCUUCAUCGACUUGUGAGAGACUGAUUCACCGGUAUAUAUGUGAAGGUUCCUAUAGGACCCCCCUAAUCCGUGCUCUAUGGUUUCCAGUUAGGUUGCACCAUUUUGUGUGGAUUAGUCCCGGUUUGUGGUUCUACAGUCGUUUGGAGAUCGAGUCAAAGUCCAUCAAGGUUUAGGUGCCUCUCUCCCCAUCGCUUGGUCGCAACCAACCUUGACCAGGUCUAAAGCUACCUGAUUUGUGUUCUUGAGUUCGUGGAGAUCGAGUCGAGUUCAAGGAUUCGGUUCCUCUCUCCUCGUUACUUGGCCACAUUUCAACCUUUGUUAGCUAUAAAGCUAGCUAUCUCGCUGUUUUUUUCAGCAAGUUAUCUCUUGCCGUACCUACUGCCGUGAAGAUCGGGCCAACCCACGUGUUUUUCCCUAUCACACACAUGGUGCAGAGACCGGUCUACUACGUCAGCGAGGUUCUAAGCGACUCCAAAGUUCGCUACACACAGGUUCAGAAAUUGCUCUACACAAUCCUGAUCUCGUCUCGCAAGCUGCACCACUACUUCCAGGCGCACACGAUGCGGGUGGUAUCCUCGUAUCCACUCAGCGAAAUCCUCCACAACAGGGAUGUCAAUGACCGAGUUGUCAAGUGGUCUGUAGGGCUCGGUGAGUUUGAUCUUGAUUUCUGCUCACGUCAUGCGAUCAAGUCACAGAUCCUAGCCGAGUUCGUGGCUGAGUGGACAGAGAUCUAGAAGUCGCCCUCCCUGGAGAGGCCGGAACACUGGACCAUGUACUUUGACGGCGCCCUCAACCUCUAAGGAGCUGGCGCAGGGGUCCUCUUCAUAUCCCCCAAAGGCGAGCAACUCAAGUAUGUUCUCCGAAUCCACUACAAGGCCACCAAUAAUAGCGUCGUGUAUGAGGCUCUCAUCCACGGCCUCCGCAUGGCCAUUUCCCUUGGGAUCAAACGCAUCCUUGCCUACGGCGACUCCAAGAUCGUCAUCGAGUAGGUCAACAAGAACUAGGACUGCACCAAGGAAACCAUGGGUACUUACUGUGCGGAAAUCUGCAAACUUGAGGCCCACUUCGAUGGACUCGAGUUCCACCAUGUCCCCAAGGAACACAACGUCACCGUCGACGUCCUGUCCAAGCUCAACUCCAAGAGUGCACAAGUCCCGGUCGUGCGUAUUUAUACAAGAUCUCUGGAAACCUUCCAUCAAGAUUUUGGACCCGGACCUGGUCAACGACAGUACUGAGGCUCCGGCCGACCCAGCUCCCACUAACAUCAUGAUGAUUGAGGCAGAAGAAGACUGGCGCGCUCCGUUCAUAGCCUUGAUCACAGACCAGCUGGCACUAGAGGACAAGAUAGAACACGAGAAACUAGCUCGGCGCAGUACAAACUACAUUGUCAUUGGGAAGGAGCUCUACAGAAAGGCCGCAUCCAUAGGCAUCUUCAUGAAGUGCAUUCUGCGCAGCGAGGGCAUUGACCUCCUUCACGAGAUCCACUAAAGCACAUGCGGGAACCACGCCACCUCAGGCACUUUGGUCAACAAGGCAUUUUGCUCUGGCUUCUAUUGGCCAACAGCGGUAGCCGACGCAAAGGAGCUCGUCCAAAGGUGCAAAGGGUGUCAUUUCUUCUCUAAGGAACAGCACCUACCAGCCCAAGCCCUACGCACCAUUCCACAAUCCUGGUCCUUCGCAUGCUAGGGGCUGGAUAUGGUCAAACCAUUCAAGACCGCUCUGGGCGGCUACACUCAUAAAUUUGUGGUUGUUAUCAAGUUCACCAAAUGGAUUGAGGUCAGGACUGUCACCGGCAUCGAGUCAACCUUCUUCUUGAGAUUCCGUUUCGCCAUCACGGAGUGGCUUAUCAACGGAGACCACGAAAGCUUCACGAUUUGGUGUGAAGAGUUGCUCUCAUUGUCGCUUCCGUAUGGAUUUGGUGUCAAAACGAUUCGAGGCACCUGGAAUUGACCACAGUCCAGAAACUGGGCGGGUUCGGGUGAGUCUCCAGAUUGGCUCUAGAAAACUUGGUCGAGCUUGGCGGAGUAUUCGGCAGCCGAGUUCCAAAGACCGAAGAGGACACGGGACGGACCUUGCGCUGACCUUGUUGAACGUAGCGCCGCCGCAAACAAUUCUAUGCACUCAGCAAUAGUGCUGCUAAUGUGAUCUAGCCUCGCAAUUAGGUCAGAGGGCAUGGGUGGGCGGGCGAUUGUGAGUAGAUAUAGAACCCUUUCAGAGAGAGAGAGAGUUCGCCGACUUGCUGGGCAAGCAGUGUGACGAUCCCUGGGUAGAGAACUUGUCCCGCUGUAGCAGAUCUGAUGGAAGCCGAGCUAGUUGCGGACGCCGAGUCGACGGAAGAGGCGGUCGGAUCGAAAUCCGCCGGCAUGGUCCCGAAGCGAACCUAGAUCGGGUUGGUGAGGAAAUCCUUCAUGCUCUCGGGAAAAACUACACCGGGACAGGAUGCCAUCGAGGUUGCCAAGAGGAUCUCACAACCCCCGUACCUGGUGCACCAACUAUCAGAUUUAGUAGCCUGGCAGUCCACCAGGGGGUUACUCAAGUGGUUGAUUUGUAUGCAGAGAGGAUCGCGAGACCUAGAGCUUGAAGGUGAUCGCGAGAACACGAAAAAUACAAGGGUUUAGACAGGUUCAGACCUCCGGAGAGUAAUACCCUAUGUCGUGUAUGCUGGUGGUUCGUAUUGCUUUGCGCUGGUGCAUAGUUUAUAGAUUGGGUUGGAUUGCCCUUGGGGGGCUCCCUUGGUCGCCUUAUAUAGGCUGACGACCAAGAGUUAUAAGUUGGUUUGAAUCUAAUCUACUCGGUACUUACAUGGAGGUAAUCUGAGUUGGACUCCAAUACGUGUUCCACAAUAUCUGGGUAUAUUUGAAUUGUUUUGUUGCCUUAACAUGUACUCCAAGUAACUUCAUGUCCUUAGCCCGCAUGCCCUGGUCAGGCGAGCUCACUUGUCAGGUCCGGCCAGUAUCCUAGUCGGUGGGGAUCCUUGGGGUACCCAUAUCCCUCACAUGGAAGAGAUCACACACUGCUUUGGAGUUCCAAACAAGAUCAUCACCAACCUUGGCAAGUAGUUCACAAGCUACGAGUUCUGGGACCUUUGCCAGGACAACCUCAUCGAUGUGUACUACUCCUCAGUAGUGCACCCACGCUGCAACGGACAGGUCGAACGUGCGAAUGGGAUGGUCCUCAAGUCCCUUAAGUCUCACAUCUUCAACGACGCAUCCAAGUGCGCCACCAAGUGGCUACGUGAGCUACCAAAUGUCAUCUGGGGCCUACGGACCCAGAAAAGCCGGGCUAAUAGCUACACACUUUUCUUCAUGGUGUACGGCUUGGUGGCCAUCUUACCAUCCGACGUGGCCUUUGGCGCCCCACGCAUCCAGUAAUACGAGGAAGGCGAGGCAGAAACAAGUCGGCGGGUCAACAUUGACAGCCUCAAGGAGUACCGAGUGAUGGCUCUCAUCCAGCAUGCACGCCAUGAGCAGCAGAUACGGCGCUACCACAAUCGGAAUGUUAAAGAAUGCUCCUUCAACAUCGGUGACUAGGUGCUUCAUCAGAUCCAGUCCACCAAGGACAUGCACAAGCUGGCUGCCCCCUGGGAGGGCCCCUUCAUCGUCAAAGAAGUCAUCCAGCGAGGCACCUAUCGACUCCAAUGGGUAGACGUCUCAGGCGUCCCCAAUCUGUGGAACAUUGAGCAUCUACGGUGCUUCUACCCUUAAGGCUUAAAAGCUAUGUACUUUUUCCCCUUUCAUUGAAUGAAUAAAACCUCCAAGAUUUUUUGCGUCUCUACUGCCUUCCUGAUCCUUUGUCGAGCUAUUCCUGACGCUCGGUGGCUGUCUGACCUGUUCGACAGACCACUCACUCUCAAGCUCAGGGGCUUCCCCCAGGCACCGACCUUUGGGUCUUGCAUCCUUCUCCCCCCCUCUCAAGGCAAUACGACUAACUCAUGUGGUCGGUAUCCUAGCUUGCAAAACCUAGACAACCUUGCGUUUACCCUUCCUACAGCUCGAGAUCCGCUCUCAGCAGGAUGUUGGUCAGGCAAGGCUAAGCGCUUAGCGGCUACAUGACUCAGCUACACACUGUCCUAUCGUAUACACCAAGGAAGGGAUGGUUCUUUCCACAUACGUUAAAUCAAUUAUAUCAUAUGUUUUAUCAUACAAUUUGAUACACCACAAGUUUCAUUUUAUAUGUCCACAUCAUUAACAAUGUUUUCCGCUACAUCAUUAAACUGGUCAGCCAAUUCUGGAAGCUUCCCUGCGCUGAAGUCGGCCGCAACCCCUGCACCAGCACGCUCCAAGGGAAUCCGUGGGAAGUGUGUCUUCAACACUACUAAGACAUUCUUGACGCACUCCACCACGAUAUCCUUCAUCAGCUCCUUUAGCCGACCAGGCGCACUCCUAAGGCGAUCAAGAAGUGGAGUUGGCGCGGUCGGGUCGGUUUCCGGUUGGACCAUGUCCAUCACAUAGCUGGUAGCCUCGCGCAGAUCUUCCAGCUCCACCUCCAACCUUGCAAUCACUGAUUGGUCACACUAAAGACUUUGUAGUGCAGCUUCUAAGCAGCGGUCAGUAUCUUUGUGCAAGCCGGCGUCGUAAGCCAGCUUCUGCGACACAGUGUGCUCAUGGUGAACUGCCACGUCUGGCUCUUGCUAGAGACGAGCAUUCGAAUCCUUGCACUCUUUGAGGUGUCACUUGAGCCUUUGCUCCCCCACUUCAUCAUAUGCUCAUUCGACCAAGCAAACAUCAGUACAAAGACUUCAAGGACAGCACCGAGUAGAUAGGUCAGCACAAUGUACCUUUCAAGUGUGUAUCAAGAAUCUGUUCCCACAAGGCAUGGUCCAGGUCUUUUUUCUUCAGCUGCUCCGCGACCUUCUUGGGGUCAGCCUCAAGUUGCUUUGCCUUCAAGCGGUACUCCUCGGCCUACUGAAUCGCGUCUACCCUCUUAUGAGCACGUGCGGCCAGACCCUGUUUAAACUCUAAGAAUCAGAGCUUUGCAAAGGAACAAGAUUCAAGAUAUAGGUUUUCUGGGUUGGUAGGCAUACUUACAAAUAACAGCUCAGAGAUCCUUGAGGAUGACUGCCGCAACUCGGCAAGAUCUUUCUUGUCCCGCGCCGUAUCCCCCAGCAAGUUCAGUCCCGGAAAAGUCCAAGGUAUCAGGAUCUUCUCCUCCUUGCACGCCAACGCCAGCGUCCCCGAUAGACCUCUUCAGCAGCGGAUCAUGCCUAGGCAACUCUUCCCUGGACACCUGCUCAGCCCCAGAGCUGACCACAGCGGCAUCCGCAGCAACCGCACUUGAAGGUGUAAUAUCCCCGACUAUGCCUUGCUGCGGCACUAGGGUUGGUACAGCUGCUCUGGCGCUACCAUCUUGAUCCCUGACCUCCGAAGGUGACAACUGUUCAGGGACGCGACCGCUCGCCCCUUUAGCAUGGGUCGAGCAACUAGUUAGUUGCGCACCAGAUUCAUCAUCUAGUACGACUUUCCUGCAUUAUCAUUGUGAGAGGCAAUUUCAGCAAGACUGGCAGCAAAAGAACCACAAAACAAAUAAUAUAACCAGAUUCACUCACAUGGUGCCCUGCUUCACUCAGAACUUGGGGUGCAAGGGCGGUGGCGGCGACAACACACCUCCGCUCAGCCCCCCAUGGAUUUUCACCUUAAAUGUCUCCUUGAUCCACUUCGCGUCGACCGCGGUCAUCUCACGGAGCUCGGUCUUCUUCUUCUUGGUGGCUGGGCUUGGCGCGUCCGACUCAUCGGCCACUUCGCUGGUCGACCUACCCGUGGAGGUUGUCCUUGUGGCAGCCUUCUCCUUCCUACCAGCUGCCUUCUUCCUCUUGAAGCUUCUGAAUUUGGAGGUCGGAAGCUUAUGCACGAUCUGCUGUGUUCGGCGUCUAACUGAGGUGGAUUCCUCGACCCGGCCGACCUCUUCUUGCAUGUCCUCGUUCGACCCGAUGGAGGAGUCCGACUCCCAAUCAAGGCCGACAGGUGGUUCAUCGGACUCGGUGGUCGGGCAGAUCUUGGGUCGCUGUUGCUCGGCCCCUCCAGGAAGUGGCACCGGGCAAAAGAACUCAAAUUUGUUGUUCUGGUCAAUCAGCAAGAAUAGUUAGAGACAACACAAAAGCACAAUAGGAACACCAAAUCAAUGUAGUUAAGAUCAUACCGGGUCGACCGACCUCUUGAGGGAAUAUGCUUUGGGGCAGCUCUUGUUCUUGAUGAUACCACGAAAAAACUCGCUUACCCGAUUGGCGACUUCUUCCUUGGUCACCUUUCGCUGGACCUCCCAGGUUGGGUCUAGUGGCCCUGUAUACUCAUAUGCCAGAUGGACCCUAUUCUUGAUCGACUAUGUUAAUCUCUGACAGAAAUUGAUACUUACAGCCCCGGCUGUGAGUCCGCACGCUUCAGGUCAAUGAUCUUCUCUAGCAACUGCUUCACCUGCACCAUCUCCUCUGAGGUCGGCUGGUUCGACCACUCGGGCAUAGUGACUGGCGCAUAUCCGGUACACGACAGGAACUCGGGCUUAUGUUUGGUGACUGUAAACCAUUUUUUGUGCCAGUCCUUGUUGGAUUUCUUCAACUGGAGGUCGAAGUACUCCUGCACUUGCUUCGGCCACAGCAAAAACCCACAUCCGCCAAUCACUCGUGGCUUCCCCCUUGGUCGAUACAGAUUUCAACUGAUAUAGAUACUUCCACAUAUCAAAGUGUGUGUGUGUGGGGGGGGGAGGGGAUUCUGAAUCCAUGCUCAAAGAAUGAUGCGAAGACCACUGUCUCCGUCUUGUCCUCGCUGGGGAACUCUUGCCCGACGGUCGCCUUCCACUCGAGCAACGCUUUGGGCCCGAGGAGGUCCGAAUCGACGAGUGCCUAGAUGCGCUCCCCCGUCAUCACGAAUUUCACCCAGAUUGAGGAUGGAUCCGAUAAUUGUGCUUGAUCCAUUUCUUUGGUUUCUACUCCCUGGGAUUUGGAUCUAAUAACUGCGAGGCUCUUGAUUCAUAUACGAUGGCGCGACGGAUUGGGUGGUGGUGCAGAAGUGCGUGCAAGCAGAUUGGAAGGCGCGGCGACGUGGCCUAGGAUUCACGAAUGCGGCAGCGAUGUGCUCCGUGGACUGCGGUGGCAGCUACGCGAGUAUGGAAGAUGGAAAUGAAAAUGGAACCGUGCCCCUUGGGCCUUUGAAGGACAUGACGGCGUAACCCUGGCGACGAAAUCUGCGGGUUUUCCGUUAUUGGGAUGCACGCGCUGGACAUAAUCUGCAGGUUUUCCAUUAUGUUUGUCACAACGUGCCUUCGUGACUCCAUCAGUCCUCGCGCUCGCGCUCGUACUUGGGGGCUAGGCGCUUACUUCAGGUUGGCGUGCCUCCAUGGCUUCGCCAGUCCUCACGCUCACGCUAGGGGGUUGGGCGUCCACUUCAAAUCGGCGUACCUCCGUGUCUUCACCUAUCCUUGUGCUCAGGCAAUAGGAUCGACUUCUGGGAUCAAUUUUUUCUUCUUUUUUUGACUAUUGAGCCGAUUAUACUAAUCACUUCAAUGCUCGGGGGCUACUCCAUAUGGAGUGGUCUUGCGAUGUCCUCCAUGUCCUUCGCUUCGACCUACUAGAUGCCCAACAUCCAUCAACUCGGCACUCGACUUCGCUCUGCGUGUGUGGCUCUACGUUUGCUCGGAUUUUCUUAUUUUUUGAGCACUAUGCAGCCUCUCCGUCACUUUGACGCCAUCGUAGCUUCAGCCGACCACAUUUGAAGCUUCGCUGCGAUGAUCUCAGGUUCCUGUUAGCCUACACAUCGCUCGGGGCUUGAGAGAUAUGGGUACCCCAUGGGUCCCCACCGACCAGGAUACUGGCCGGUCCUAACAAGUGGGCCCACCCGAUCAGAACGUGCGGGCCAAGGACGUGAAAAUGCUUGGAGCACAAGUCAAGGAGCUCAGACAAUUCAAAUCAGUCCAAAUAUUACGGGAUACUUGUUGUAACCCGACUCAAAUUACUUUCCAUAUAACGACCGACUAGAUUCAAUCCAACUUAUAACCUUAGGUUGUCAGCCUAUAUAAGGCGGCCAAGGGCGCGUCCCUAGGGCACAUCAACUCUCCCCGAACAAUACCAGCAAUACAAUGCAACAAAACACAUGACGUAGGGUAUUACUCUCCGAAAGUCCAAACCUGUUUAAACUCUCGUGGUCUCGCGAUCCUCACUGACUACAAAUCAACCACUUGAAUAAUCCCAAUGGAUUGUCGGGCUACUAAAUCCGACACUUGGGUUUUCAAAGGCUUUUAGUGAUGUGGGAAAAUAAAUUGGGGUCAUAUAUUUGCAAUUUUGGUUUUCGGGUGGGGUUUUGUCUCCUCUUUCCAACUUCCGAUUCCGGAUCCCGAUGCUUAAGUUGACUUGAAUUUUAAACACCAAAUAUUAUGAUUAACACCUCAUAAUUUUAGAAAACAAACAUGCAACUCAUAAAUAUUGGAUGUAUUUUACUAAAUUUCCACAUAACUCAUUAAGGAAAUAUUAGAUACCUCUAAAAAAAAAUGUGCAAAGGUUUUGUUUUUCGACAAUUUUUUUUGUCAAUCCUAAAAUUAGAUAUUGAAAGUGUUUAUUGAGAAAACGCGGUUGUGGUAUUUGCGCCUCCAUCCAUCCAAUACAUUCAACCAAACUUAUGCCCAGCCCUCCCCUACCGCUACCGGACUCCCUCUCCGCAGCCACGGUUGCGCCUUCUCCGUCUGAGCUCAGCCGCUCAGCCACGGUUCCUCUCCUCCGAUUCAUGCUCGUCCAGCUCUUGUGUGUAGUGGUAGACGGCCGGUGACGAGGUGGGUCCUCUCCUCCUCCUGCUCCUCCUCCCUCUCUCGGAUUGAGGCAUGGUGGUGGCUGGGUUAGGGUUAGGGUUUCGGGUCUGGGGUUGUCGGGGGAGGGCUCCAUGGCCCGCGGGCUUAGAGGAGCGUCUGGCGGCGGCGGUAGGCGCGGCAGCGGUGUCGGAUCGAGGUUUGUGAGGCGGGGAGGCGGGGAGGCGUGGGCGCCGCCGGUCGGGUGGCGCACGACAACCGGCGGGAAGGGCAUACGGCGUGGGCGAGCGCCUUGUGGGUGGCGCGGCCGGCGGUGGCAGGGGCAGUUCGGGUUCAUUGAACCGGGACUGUGCAUGCCGUCGCCCCAAAUCUUGCAUGUGCAGUGGUUAAUAUUUUCGCAUAGAUUCCGAAUUUCGGAUGCCUGGGACCCCGUUGCGAGCCUUAGGAUCUGAGUGGUCGUUGUUGAGGAAGCUCGCCUUGCAUUGUUGCACACAAAUGAUGUUUGAUAAUUUAUUUAAAUCUUCUAGGAGUGUUAAAUUCGACCAAAUGUUUAAGUUGUUAUGUUGCACAAAGUUCUAUAGGCCUUGUACCUGUUUAUUGAAGGGCUUAAUUUGGUUUCCUAAUAAUUUGUGGAUGUGAUAUUCCUUUUCACAUCUAAUUUAUUUUUAUGCCUUUUGGUUUAUUUUGCAGCUGAAAAUAUAUUCUAGCUAAACCUGAUAAUGGCUAUGAUAGAUGAGCCUCUGUACCCGAUUGCUGUACUGAUCGAUGAACUGAAAAAUGAAGAUAUUCAGUUGCGCUUGAACUCCAUCAGAAAACUUUCUACGAUUGCCCGGGCACUGGGUGAAGAAAGAACAAGGAAGGAACUAAUUCCAUUCCUUAGUGAAAACAAUGAUGAUGAAGAUGAGGUGCUUCUUGCAAUGGCGGAAGAGUUGGGUGUGUUUAUUCCUUAUGUUGGAGGUGUAGAGCAUGCACACGUUUUGCUUCCACCACUCGAAACAUUGUGUACUGUGGAGGAAACCUGCGUCAGAGACAAGGCUGUGGAAUCACUGUGCCGGAUUGGAGCACAGAUGAAUGAAAGUGAUAUCGUGGACUGGUUCAUCCCUGUUGUAAAGGUAUGAUGAGUAUGUUUAUUGUUAAUAUAUUUCCAGCUUUCUUGUACAUUGUGAUGUAAAUGGCAGAAAAAAAGAAGCAUUCACAUUGAUUUAGGCUAAAGCAGUAGUUAUAUAUCUAUCUAUCUUAAUAGAAAUACACAUAAACCUGUUUUCCUAGUGCUUCUGUCAUUUUUUUAAAUUCUGCAUUCACUGCUGGUGCAUCAUAACACUAUGCAGAUGCUUAUUGAACAUAUUCAUGAAUUUAUAAUUUACAUUCUCAUUUAACAAGUUAAGAAAGGCUUCAAAUUGACAAAAUGUAUUGGAGGUAUAUUCCACUUCCACAGGAUCAUGUAACCUAUUGCAUUUAUAGUUUGAACAAUGUCUUUUCGAUCAUUAAUGAACUAGUUUUUCACCUAAUACACCGUCUUAUAACAAGAUAACAUAAAUAUUUUACAUUUUUCUUGUCAACAACAAUCAUCAUUUGGUGUUUGUUGUAUUGAUGGUAGGUUUACAAUGAUCAUUUAGCUGGUUCUGUUAGUUGAAACUACUAUUAAAUUUCUAGGAAACUAGUUUUCUACAUGUGCAUAUUACUUAAUCUUUAUUCUUAAGUUUAAGUUUUCAGUUAUGGAUUUAAAUAAAGUAGUUUAAAUUGUCACAAGCAUAGAAAAAAGAGCACUCCAUUCAAAUUAUAUAUCUUUCAUCUCUUUUAGUUAACUUAUUACAAACACAAAGAGCACUUGUGCAUGUGGGUACUGCAAUUUUUUCUAUAUUUUUUAACAAUGAAUUAAACAUACUUGUUCAAUUCAGAGAUUAGCGGCGGGCGAGUGGUUCACAGCUAGAGUGUCAUCAUGUGGCCUUUUUCAUAUCGCCUAUCCUAGCGCAUCUGAAUCACUGAAGGCAGAAUUAAGGACUAUUUAUGGUCAGUUAUGCCAAGACGACAUGCCUAUGGUGAGAAGAGCUGCUGCAUCCAAUCUUGGAAAGUUUUCUGCAACAGUUGAACAAAAUCAUUUGAAGACAGAAAUCAUGUCAAUAUUUGAUGAUCUUACACAAGAUGGUACAUCCUGGCAUCCUGUGGACAUUUUACCGCUAUUUUAUCAUAUCAUUUGUUUUUUACUGUGUAUGAUUUGCACUAGUUCUGUGUGUGCUAACUACUCAUUCACCUUCUCUUAGUUAUUUAAUUUUGUUCACAACAUGUUGUUAAGAAGCAUUUGAAUUACUUCUGCUGUUUGCUAUCUGCCUUUUGACUUUGGUAACUUUAAUGUUUCACCAACUUCACAGUAGUUGUUUCAUAUAGGCUACAGUGAAAUCUUUAAUAUUCUUUUAGCAGUUAGAUUUUCUGUAUGUAACACUCUAUGUAAUUUUCAAUCUAUCUAGAACAUGUAUAACAGGAUAUCCUGUUUUUUCUAUUGCAAUCUGUUGUUGCCAAUUUUAGAUUAGUUGCAAGCUUAAUUGUAUUAAUGGUAAAAUUAUGAAAUAGAAAUGCCUUUAUAUAUUGGGAUAUAAUUUUUUUGUUGGAAAGAUAGGAAUAUUUGCUACUUCAAGUAUUUUAAGUAACAUGUUAUCCUGAUUCCUGAAUAUUAGAACAUGAGUAAAGAUGUUACUUAUAAAAAAGAUGGUUAAAGUGUCAUUUCUAUUGUAUAUCCCCAUAUUGCGCCUUUUCACUUGAACCUACUUUUACAAACUUGUAUGAUGGUCAAUGAUCAUCAGGAUUCCUUCGGAUUGAAAAUGCUUGAACUAUGCUAUGCUUUAUGAACUCUCAUCAAACUUUUCUUUUUAUUUGCUUCAAGCUUUUCUUUUCAUAUCCUGGAAUGAUAAGCUUGUGUUAUCUGAAAUAAGUUUAUUCAAACCCAUCUGUUGCAUCUUCUAACAAGAAACUGUUUCUGAAUUUAUUAACUCAGACCAAGAUUCAGUUCGACUAUUGGCAGUUGAGGGUUGUGCUGCUCUUGGGAAGUUGUUGGAGCCCCAAGAUUGUGCAGUACAUAUUCUUCCGGUUAUUGUAAAUUUCUCGCAGGUAUAAUUUCCACACAUUGGGUGUCUUGUAAAUUUAUCAAUAUUCAUUUUCAUAAAAGUACUAGAUUAUAAGAUUAUCCUAAGUUUCAGCAACUAACCUACAUGAUUUGGGUUGCUUAUACUUUCUUAUCAUCCUUGUCAGGAUAAAUCUUGGCGCGUGCGCUACAUGGUGGCAAAUCAAUUGUAUGAACUGUGUGAAGCUGUUGGUCCUGAGCCCACAAGGUAUCAUGUGAAUCUUUCAUUAUGUCAGAAAUGGUGCUUUGACAUAAAUUUAUUAUUCCUGCAUAUGUGGAAAGGUUAAGCAACAUAAUGCUGGACUCCUUACCAUCAAGAUCAUUGCAUUUUGUAAUAGGGAUGAUCUGGUACAAGCAUAUGUUCGCGUCCUUCGUGACAAUGAGGCUGAAGUGCGGAUCGCGGCUGCUGGAAAAGUUACAAAAUUCUGCAAGAUAUUAAGCCCAGAAAUUGCAAUCCAACAUAUUCUUCCAUGUGUCAAGGUAUAUCUAGUGUCACACACAAGCUUGUUCAGUUCUGUACUGUUAAUUUUCAGAAGGCUUACUUGUGCCGGUUCUACCUGCAGGAACUAUCGUCAGAUUCAUCUCAGCAUGUUCGUUCGGCUUUGGCUUCAGUUAUUAUGGGAAUGGCUCCUGUGUUGGGAAAGGUGUGAGCUAUAUCAGUGAAUGCAUACAUUGCAUUGAUGGAGAAUUACACUUUAGUUAUCAGCUGAACAAGUUCUCUUUGUUUUGACGAGUAGCUUCCAAAUAAAUAUGGUUUUGUGGAAGAAACAUAACAAGAUGUCACCCCAUGGCUGUAUAACGGCCUUUUUUGGUGCUCCUGAGGUGGUGCUGAACUUUAGAUAGGUUAUUUUGGAAUACACUAUUCUACUUUUACAUCUGAAUCCAUUUGUUCUUUGUAGGAACUUUGCUUUUUUAAAUUCAUUUUCACAUUCAGCUGUUACUAAUUUUUUAACAAAUGUUUAUCUCUUUUUAAUGAUUUGAAUUCUAGAGAUGGACCCUUCCAUUUCAUUAGGAUGUUGGUACUACUAACUAUUUUGUUGGUAUUUGUUACUAUACAGCACUGCUGCUAAUUUUUUGUUGAUAUUUGUUACUGUACAUCAUUAGUGCUAAUCAUUUGUUGGUAUUUGUUACUAUAUACAGAAUUACUGCUAAUCAUUAUUGGCACUUGCUAGUAUACUGCUAAAAACUAACCUAUUUGUUCUCUGAUAGUACUGACAAUUCAAGCUUUCACCUUUUGUAGGAUGCCACUAUCGAACAACUUCUUCCCAUUUUCCUUUCUUUGCUGAAGGAUGAGUUCCCUGAUGUUCGACUCAACAUAAUAAGCAAACUUGAUCAAGUUAAUCAGGUCAGUGAUUUGCUACCCUGCCAAGCUAUGUAAUUUAAAGUAAAGUUUUUCUGCUUCGUCCACAAGUAGCAGCACUUGCGAGUUAGUUGUGUAGUUUUCAUGGCAUCUUACCCAUCCACCAAGUUCACUGGCAUGUAGUUCCUUUUUAAGUUCUGUUUAUUUACUUUAUAUCAUAUUAUUGGAAUCAAGUUUAGAUUAUUUCCUAGGGAUGCCAUUAUAUCCAUUUUGAAUCAAGCAAGAGCAGAAACUAUUCUAUACUCAACCCAAAUAUUUUGUCAUCCUAUAUUCCUAUUGCCCAGCCAUUUGGCCAUCCUUGUUAGAAAAUCAGCACAGAUUGAAGGUUUGCUUGCUGGUUUUGGGGCUGCAGGACCUGAGAUUUUUGAGCUGCAGUUGCCUGUGAUAAACUAAGUCAUGUGUGUGUUGGGUGUGCUAUUUAUCUAUCUAUGUGCCUGUGUGCACUUUAUCUACUUAGAUGCUCUUUAGACGCUCUAUAGAUGCUUUGCUUAGCUUCUAAGCCACCUACCCCAAUCUGCCCCUUUGUGGGUGUGUGGAAUGGAAACGAUCAUUUUGGGCUAACGAUUGGUAUUCAGAGCUUAAUUUCUUUCCUACCUACCCUCUCCUCUCUUCUCUCUCCCGUGUUCUUCUGUUCCUACCCGUACCCGAGCCCUUUCUCUCCUGUGCUUGCUAGGCCCACCUUCGGCGGCGGCGGCGGCGCACCCUCCCUGCUUAGAUCCGGUGGCUGGCUGGUCUCCUCCACCAUCCCAUAGCUCGGAUCCGGCGACGGCACCUCGGUUCUUCUCGGGCGGCGCGACUUCUAGGCGGGUGGCGGCACACAAGGCGAACGCGGGUGGCUCGGGCUCGGUGCAGCUCGGCGCGGCGCGGAUGCAAGCGGGCGGCGGCGCGUGGCAGCAGAGCACCCCGAGCUGUUCCUCGACAUGGCGGGCUCCAAGCGGGUGGUAGGAGGCGUGGAUGGCGCUGGUCUGGUGGCCGGAGCAGCUCUAGCCACCAGUGCAGCGCCCGUUUACGACGCGGGGUGUGCGGCUGGCGCGGUGCGUGCACGUCCGGCUCGCUCCCCGACCCGCUCGUGAGCCUCACGAGCCUCCUCCCACCACUCAGCCAUGACCAGUGGGCGGCGAUCGAGGCGGUGGUGGAGAAGCAGCGGCGGGAGGAGUGGUGCGUGGCGCGAUAGGAGUGGCGUGCUGAGGCGGCCGCGGUGGCAGCAGCGCAACUGCGCGACGCCGAGGCUCGAGAGGCGGCAGUAGCUCGGGUAGCGUGCGUGGCAGUUGUGGAGGUCGCGACAGCGCGUGCAGCCGAGGCAGCUCGCUAUGGAGGAGGCACAGGCGGCAGCAGGGGCCGCCACCCAGUGGUGUCUGGAGGUGAACUUACUGCGCGAGGAGGCAGAGGCGACGCACGAAAUGUCGCGGCACGACGAGAUGGAGCUGAGGCGCACGGUGCAGGGUGACCGUCUUGAGCUAGAGGAGGUGUAUCGGUGGUGAAAUGCGGGGGUGGACUGGUGGGUCCAGGACCUGUGUCGAGGCGCGGAUGGCGGGCGUCCUCGGAGCAGGUGGAGCUCCGUCCACGAGUCCGGCCUCGACUUCGACUCUAGCUCUGACCUUGACUUCGGGCACCGACCUUCGAAGGUCGUGAAGACUAUCAUCCGGGAGUCCGUCGGCAGCACGCAAUGGCCGAUGUUAACGAAGACCAACUUCAUGGAGUGAUCCUCGGUGAUGAAGGUGAAACUCCAUGUGCGGGAGAUGUGUGACGCGGUUCAGUACGGCGAUGUCGACAGCCACGUGGACCGUCGAGCGCUCGAGGCGUUGCUCGCCGUGGUCCUGAUGGAGAUGGUAGCAAACCUCUCGGGGAAGAGGACUGCCAAGCUCGAGCGCUCGCCGUGGUACCGAUGGAGAUAGCAGCGAACCUCUCGGGGAAGAGGACUGCCAAGGCCGCCUGGGGCGCUAUCGCGAGUUGGCAGCGAUCGUGCCUGCAAGUCCACUCUGCAGAAGCUUCGGCAGGAGUGGGAUCGUUUGGCUUUCGAGCCGGGCGAGGACGUUGAUGACUUCACCCUCCGCCUCUCUAGCCUGAUGCAGCAGCUGGAGCGGUACGGUGACGACGAGAUCAACGAGGAGAAAGCUGUUGCGAAGUUCCUGCGCGUCGUUUCGAAGUACUCGCAGCUCGCUAUCUCCAUCGAGACGCUGCUCGACUUCUCAGCAUUGUCGAUCGAGGAGCUGAUGGGGUGAUUCAAGGCGUUCGAUGACUGUGAAGAGAUGACGUCAUGCGGGCCUGUCACCAUUGGUGGCAAGCUCCACCCCACUGAGUAGUGGCUUGCUUGCUAGAGGGAGUGGAAGAAGGGGAGCCUUCUUCCUCAACAGACGGCCGAGGUGCGGAGGGUGGGGUGCGAGGAGGUGGGGCAUUGGCCGCGACGGCUCUCCACCUCGAUGAGCCACGCGCACACGUCUUACUUGGCGACGGUAGCAGUGACGACAAGAUCGACGACAGGUUCCUCGACAGUGGUGCCACGCACCACAUGACCGGGUGCAGGGAGUGCUUCUCCGACUUGAACGUCGACGUACGUGGUUUCGUCAAGUUCGGCGACUCUUCGGUCGUGAACAUCAAGGGCAUCGGCUCCGUCGAUCUCGUUGCCAAGAUUGGUGAGCACCGACUCCAAACUAGAGUCUUCUACAUCCCUGCGCUGAGAAACUCGAUCAUCAGUCUUGGAGUUGGAUGAGAGUGGCUCGCGCGUGGAGAUCGACGGCGGAGUGCUCCGGAUCCGGGAUCGACAACAGCGCCUACUCGCCAAGGUGGAGAGAGGGAGCAACCGCCUCUACCUCCUCUUCGCGGAGGUGGCGCAACCCUUUUGCCUUGCUGCUCGCCGCGACGGUGAGGCUUGGCGGUGGCACAAGCGCUUUAAACACCUCCACUUUUGAGGCCCUGAAGUGGCUCAGCAGCAAAGAGAUGGUGCCGGGCAUGUCGUGUGUCGACCACAUGGAGCAACUUUGUGACACCUGCGUCGUGACGAAGCAAAAGUGACGCCAUUUCCCUCCUAGGCGAGCUUCCGAGCCAAGGAGCGGCUCGAGCUCUUGAACAGCGACCUCCGUGGGCUGGUGACGCCGGCUACACCUGGAGGGCUGCGCUACUUCCUACUACUCGUCGACGACGUCUCCCUGUACAUGUGGAUGGUCGUCGUCGACACCAAGGGAGCUGCUGCGGACGCCAUCAAGCAUGUUCAAGCUGUCGCGGAGAAUAAGUGUGGCCGCGAGCUACGCGUGCUGCGCACCGAUAAUGGUGGCGAGUUCAUGACGGCUGAGUUUGCAUCGUACUGCACCGUACACCCCGCAGCAGAACGUUGUCGUCGAGAGGCACAACUAGAUGGUGGUGGCCAUGGCCCGGGCCCUCCUUAGGUACAGGAGGAUGCUGGCCAUCUUCUGGGGAGUGGUGGUGCUGAUGGUUGUCCACAUCCUCAACCGCUCGCCCACCAAGGCCCUCGACAAUAUGACACCAUACGGGACUUGGCAUAGGCGCAAGUUGGCGGUUGCCUACCUCCGCGUCUUCAGCUGCCUCGCGUACGUCAAGGAGUUGAGCCACGUUGGCAAGCUUGACGACAGGAGCACCCUAGGGGUGUUCAUCGGUUACGAUGAGGGGGUGAAGGCCUACCGCAUCCUUGACCCGGAGGCACAGCGUGCGCGCACGGCGCGCGACGUUGUGUUCGACGAAGGGCGAGGUUGGGCGACGUUGUGUUCGACGAAGGGCGAGGUUGGGCGUUGGGCAAGAUGGUGGAUGACGGCUCGACUCCGACGUACGACUUCACCGUCGACUACGUCCAUAUCGAGGGAGCUGGGGGAGUGGGCAGCUUUUCUUCGCCGAGCGUGCCUACCCUAAUCCUCGGGUCUCCACCGACUCCAGCGAGUACUUCGGCUGCGAUGAGCUCUCCACCGCCACCACCACCGAUCACGCCACUCUCCUACGCUCGUAGCUACUUCUUCGGGCACGCCUGCACCAUCACGGCUCACGACGAGCACAGUCCGGUGGAGUUUGCCACUCUGCUCUCUCACGACGAGGACCGCGUCGACGCGUACCACGAUGGUGAGCCUCUGAGGUAUCGCACCAUGGAGGACAUCCUCGGCGACCAGUCGGUGCCAGGACUAAUGCCUCACGACUUGGAGGUGGAGUUGCACCUCGCGUACAGGGACGGCGAGCCUCGCUCCUUCGCUGAGGCUGAGGGACAUGCGCCAUGGCGUGAUGCGAUGAAGCUGGAGAUGGAAGCUGUUGAGAAGAAUCGAACUUGGGAGCUAGUUUAUCUUCCUCCCGGUCACCGCGUGAUCACCCUUAAGUGGGUGUACAAGUUGAAGAAGGAUGAAGCUGGUGCUAUUGUCAAGCACAAGGCUCGCUUGGUGGCACGCGGGUUUGUGCAGCCGGAGGGGGUCGACUUCGAUGAUGCCUUUGCUCCUUAUGCAUGGAUGGAGUCCGUGCGUCUCCUCGCGCUGGUAGCUAGGAGGGCUGGCGUGUCCAUCGCAUGGAUGUCAAGUUAGCGUUCCUCAACGGCGACUUGAAGGAGGAGAUCUACGUCCACCAGCCGUCGGGAUUCAUCAUCCUCGACAUGGAGGACAAGGUGUUGCGCUUGCGCAAAGCCCUCUACGGCUUGCAGCAGGAACCACGAGCUUGGAAUGGCAAGCUGGAUUCCACCUUGAAGACUAUGGGCUUCGAGCAAAGCCCGCACGAGGUGGUUGUCUACUGGCGGGGCAACAGAGACAAUGCCCUGCUAGUGGGUGUCUACAUCGAUGAUUUGGUGAUCACGAGCACCAAGGAUGAGGAGGUGGAAGCGUUCAAGGAGGAGAUGAAGGCUGCCUUCCAGAUGAGUGACUUGGGGCCUCUCUCCUUCUACCUAGGGAUCGAGGAGCACCAGGACGACUCGAGCAUCACACUUCGACAGACUGCCUAUGCCAAGCGCGUCGUUUAGCUGGGUGGGCUCACCGACUGCAACUCGACUCUCACUCCGAUGGAGGAGAGGUUGAAGCUGAGCCACGACAGCACGGCUGAGGAGGUGGAUGCUACACCGUACCGGCACCUUGUGGGGAGCCUUCGCUACCUCGCCCACACGUGACAGUACUUGGCGUUCUCCGUCGGCUACGUCAGUCGGUUCAUGCAGCAACCGAUAGCGGAGCACCAGCAGGCCGUUGAGAGGAUCCUCCGCUAUGUCGCGGGGACUCUCGACUACGGCCUCCACUACCUGAGGUGUCCCGGGGCGGCACACUUCAUCAGCUAUAGCGACAUCGACCACGCCGGCGACAUCGACACCAGCAAGAGCAGGAGCGGGAUGUUCUUCUUCCUUAGCAAGUGCCUCGUUAGCUAGCAGUCGGUCAAGCAGCAGGUGGUGGCCCUGUCCAGCUGUGAGGCUGAGUACAUCGCUACUUCUUCCGCUUCGACUCAGGCUCUCUAGCUACAUCAACACCAAGGAUCAACUCGCUGACCUUACCAAGUCCCUUGGAAGGAUCAAGUUCCAGGAACUCUGCUCUAGGAUUGGGAUGGUCCAGUUGCCGCUCAAGACAUGCAAGACUUAGGGGGAGAUUGAUAGACUAAGUCGUGUGUGUUGGGUGUGCUAUUUAUCUAUCUAUGUGCCUGUGUGCACUUUAUCUACUUAGAUGCUUUAUAGAUGCUGCUUUGGUUAGCUUCUAAGCCACCUACCCAUGGUUGUCCUAUAUGUACCUCAAACUGCCCCUUUGUGGGUGUGUGGAAUGGAAAAGAUCAUUUUGGGCUAACAGCCUGACGGCUGACCCUUUGCUUCUUAUUUAUAGCUGAAAGGGAGCACUACAUAACAUCCCUAGUGGCUGUCUUACUAGACAAAAGACUUGAUCCGUUGACUUGACUCAAGCUUGCAGCGAAAGACUUCACUAGACUUACUGACCAAAGAAAAGAAACUGACCUAUGCUAACCUGAUCAGACAUUCAGAUUAGUACUAGUUAGAUAAGCUAAGGACACAUGCAUUACUACUAACAAUCCUAUGUUAGUUACUCAUUGCGUCUAAUUAUGUCCAUAACAUCUUUAUACCUUUGUUGUGCCACAUGCCGUCUUUUCUAUUGUAGCUUUGGUAUGUUGUGAUUUCAAAUUUAGAAUUUAAUAUGAGUAUAUAUGCUGUUCCUAGUCUUCUACAUGUUAAGUGUGUUGAUAAUAAAAUCUGGGGGCUUUUCGGAUCCUGCCCCCCGAAGGCCAAUUGUGGUUUUGCCCUCAUUUUUUUUAUUACUUUGUGAUUUUGCCAUGUUGGUCUCAAGUAAACUUGCUGCACAGUAAAGAUCACAAAAUGGAAACUACAAAGGAGCCUUUCAUUCAAGAAUGAUCAUCCUUUGUACUGUGAGGGUCGAUCCUCUUCUAUGGUCAGGAUGGGACUAUUUUACUUGCCCAAUUUAUCCCUACUCAACCACUGUAUUCCUUAGAAUGUGCCGUACACAAGGGUCAUCUAUGUAGACGUGUUCAAGUUGGCUUCUCACACCACUUGCUUUGGACCCUCGCUAGGGUCUAUCUUGGGACUCCGCCAUAGCCACAGGGCUCUUCCGCGAAGCCUCUGCGAGGCCUCCAUCUCUCGUCAAGGGUUCCUAAUCCUCUCAUGGCGUGGCUUCUGGCUCGGAGAUACGCCUUGAAGCUCGUCUUGAUGGACUUGGCACAUGAAACACAAUUAUCGAACAAGUAGGCAAGCGCUGUUAUCCGUUUAAAAGAUCGAAGGUCAUUCGCAAUCGACCUAAGCUCUGGUUCUUAUAAGCCUCGAACCUUAAGGUAAGGAAUUAUGUUUCUCUAUUUGGUAGCUCUUCCAAUUACCCGAGGGUUCCCAUGAGUGCAAGGGAAGUUGCAGUAUCAAAAUAAUAACCUGCAAGAAUAAGUUAACCAAGUGCUGACCCUGUGACAGACGCUCGAGGGUACCCACCGUUUUUGGCGAUCCCCAACAUGCCCGACUUUUCAAAAUGAAGAUUGAGUUUGCCCCUAUUCUGUUAAUAGCUCUUAAAGGUGUCUAUUUAGCUAUAAAAAGACAAGUUUGCUCAUGUGGGUUUACCCCUACCUUUAUGUCUCGACUCUUGAGCAACAUUACCUUUUCCCGGUUCAUUCAUUUCCAGUUGUAAGCUGCACUUGUAAGCUCUGCCAAUAAUUUUUUUCAGGUUAUUGGAAUCGACUUGCUGUCGCAAUCACUUCUACCAGCCAUUGUAGAGCUUGCUGAAGAUAGGCAUUGGAGAGUUCGGCUUGCCAUAAUCGAGUACAUACCUUUGUUGGCAAGCCAAUUAGGUGUUGGAUUUUUUGAUGACAAGUUGGGGGCACUUUGCAUGCAGUGGUUAGAAGAUAAGGUACAGUAACAAUUUCCUGAACCAAUGCCAUAUAACAUUCCAUUUGUUUCCCAAUUAUAUGUCUAAUUUUGGAUGACUGUCUUUUAUCUAUAAGUAGGAUACUUGAUUGAUCUUAUGAAAAUUCCAAAACAUUUGGUUUCAGGUUUUCUCAAUCAGGGAUGCUGCUGCCAACAAUUUAAAGCGUCUGGCAGAGGAAUUCAGUCCUGAGUGGGCAAUGCAGUAUAUAAUUCCUCAGGUUAGCCCUACAACUACUAAAAACAAAUAAUACGUUUGCUGAUACUUAUCUUAGUCUUGGUUGCCUUCCUCCUUGACCUUGAGAAGACAUGGUUUACUACAAGGGUGGUGGUUAACUAAAUUAGUUGAUUAGUUGAUGGGCAUGAUUGCAUGAAACUCAUGCUGAUCAGCUCUUAUGCAAUGGUUCCCCUAACCGUUCUUUCAUGCAUACUCGUGAAGAAAUCUAGUAGGAAAUUAGUCCCAGGAGGUUACUAAUAAAAAAUAUUCAGAAAGUGCUAGGUGAUAGGUAAGUGGCAGAGUGAGAUAUAGCGCCUAGUACCUAAACAGGGCAAGUUGGCUGCUUAGGUUGCACCUAGCGCCUAGGGGCCCUACGUGCCUGCCCAUUGGAACUGUGAUAGAUAAUAACCCCAGUUUCAAUGUCUAAGCUCACAGUAAUGAGGCAUAGUAGACCAAGUAAAUUAUUAAUAACGUUGGGUUGGACCUUAUGUGGCCUGACCAUAUGGCAUGGAGCUUGUAAACAUUUUUUUACCAUCAAACCUUAAGAAGAAGUCUUGCAAUAACUUAUGAUUAUCUAAAUGAAAUUGUGUUAUCUAUUAUAUACCUUUAUAGUCUAAUUUCUCCUUUGUAUUCUAGGUUUUGGAGAAGAUAAACAACCCACAUUAUCUGUACCGAAUGACCACUUUGCAAGCUAUUUCUUUGCUUGCUCCAGUCAUGGGUGCUGACAUCACAUGCCAACAGUUGCUCCCUGUUGUCAUCGCAUCCUCAAAGGAUAGGUGAGUCUUAAAUAGCUAACAUGUUGAGGCAUAAUCUCCGCAAGGCUCCACUGAUAGUCUUCAAUUGUUAGGGUGCCAAACAUGAAAUUCAAUGUUGCCAAAGUCCUGCAGUCGCUCAUACCCAUCCUUGAUCAAUCUGUAAGUUGGAGCCUUCAAACUCCUGUGAUCCUAUUUUCUUCAGCAUUAGGCUUUUUGCUGACUCCAUCAAAUGCUUCUUUGCAGGUUGUGGAGAAGACAGUGAAACCAUGCCUUGUUGAGCUCAGUGAGGACCCAGAUGUUGAUGUAAGGUACUAUGCAAACCAGGCCCUCCAGGCAUGUGACCAAAUGGUGAUGUCAACCUAACUAGCUUUGGCUGGUGUUUAGUAAAUGAUGGUAUUCCCCAUAGUCCAUUUUUUGAAUUACUUUAAAGUGCUCUGUAGUCUUCAUAAAUUAUUCUAGCACCAAUGACCUUUACACUUGUAAUAACAGUUUCUAUUAAACGUGUAUGUUUUUGGUUUAGGUUUUGUUUAGUUCUUGGAUUUAGUUGACCUUGGGGAAGUAGGCGGACACUGGACAUUUGUGUGCUUGAGCUGUGUAUGUCUUGUCUUGUUAGUUUCUGCUAGGUCAAUUGCUGCAUUAUGAUUUCCUCGCGUGGAAAGUGCAAUUCUAAUGAUUCCCUCGCAUUGUGAUUCCCUUCGAAAAAACAAGACCCACUUUCUAUAAGUUUCGACAUCAUUUAAUUUGUAUUGUCAAGUUAUGUCAACUCCUGUACUCCUUCCCUCGCAUGAAAAGUGCAAUAUCGUAUGAAAAUUAAAAUUCCACACUCAACUUUAGAAGCUCCGCAGGGAUUAGGAUAGACAUGCUAUAGGUCAGAGUUGAGGUCGGAGAAGAAAAACCUCCACUAGCUUCGAAUGGAGUAGGAAGGAUGAAAAUCAUGGGCUAUAGGUUAUGAUUGAGGUCAAAUAUUGUAUGAAAAUUAACAUUUUACACUCAACUCCAGAAGCUCCGGAGCGACUACAAAUGGACGAAAAACAUGUGCUAUAGGUCAUGGUUAGGGUCAGAUAUUGUACGAAAAUUAAAAAUCUAAAGAUACCUCCACCAGCUCCGGAUGGAGUAUGAAAAACGAAAACCAUGUACUAUAGGUCAUGGUUGAGACUAGAUAUUCUACGAAAAUUAAAAUUCCACACUAAACUCCAGAAGCUUGGGAGGGACUAGGACGGAUGAAAAACAUGUGAUAUAGGUCAUGAUUGAGGUCAGGUAUCCUUUUGAAAUUAAAAAACCACGGACACCUACAUCAGCUUAGGAUGCAGUAGGAAGGACGAAAAACAUGUGCUAUAGGUCAUGGUUGAGGUUAGAUAUUGUACAAAAAUUAAAAUUCCACACUCAACUCCAGAAGCUCUUGAGGGACUAGAAUGGACGAAAAACAUGUGCUAUAAGUUAUGGUUGAGGCCGAAUAUCAUACGAAAAUUAAAAAUCCACAGACAACUCCACCACCUUCGGAUGGAGUAGGAAGGAUGAAACCAUGUGCUAUAGAUCAUGGUUGUUGCCAGAUAUGUAUGAAAACUAAAAUUCCACACUCAACUCUAGAAGCUCCGGAGGGACUAGGACGGAUGAAAAACAUGUGCUAUAGGUCAUGGUUUAGGUCAGAUAUCGUACGAAAAUUAAAAUUUCACACUCAAUUCCUGAAGCUCAGGAGGGACUAAGCGGACGAAAAACGCCCGCACUGGCCACUGGAGACGAAAACGUGGGGGAUGGACCGAAGACGUGAAAAUGGCCUUCCGACGUGUUUUCAGCCAUGAAAACGUGUGCUGUUGGUCAUGGAACGCCAAAAACAGCUACACCGGCCAUAGGGGACGAAACGUGGGUGUCAGACCGAACGCUUGAAAAUGGCCUCCGGACGUGUGUUCGGCUAUGAAAACGUGUGUUAUAGGUCACGCGAGCUCGAAAACGGCCACAACAGACACCGGGUACGAAAACGUGGGGGAUGGAUCGAAUAACUGAAACUGGCCUCCGGACAUGUGUUGUAGGUCACGGGAGCCCGAAAACGGCCUUACUGGCCACUGGGGAUGAAAUCGUGUGUGUUUGGCAAGAAAACAUGUGUUAUAAGUCAUGGAAGGCGAAAAAACAGUUACACCAGCCACCUGGGACAACAACGUGGGUGUCAGACCGAACAAUUCAAAAUGGCCUCCGAACGCGUGUUCGGCCAUGAAAACGUGUGUUAUAUGUCACGCGAGCCCCAAAACAGACACACCGGACACCGGGUACAAAAACGUGGGGGAUGGACCAAAAACUGAAAAUGGCCUCCGGACGCGUGUUCGGCCAUGAAAACGUGUGCUAUAGGUCGUGGGAGCCUGAAAACGGCCUUACCGGCCACUGGGCACGAAAACGUGGGGGAUGGACCAAACAACUGAAAAUGGCCUCUAGAUGUGUGGUCGGCCAUGAAAACGUGUGUAUAGGUCAUAGAAGCCCAAAAAUGGCCGCACCGGCCACCGAGGUUGAAAACGUGGGGAUGGACCGAGGAUGUGAAAUUGGCCUCCGAACAUGGUUCGGCCAUGGAAACGUGUGUUGUAGGUCAUGGAUGGCCCAAAAUAGCUACACCGGACACCAGGCACGAAAACAUGGGAGAUGGACCGAAUAAUUGAAAAUUGCCUCCGGAUGUGUGUUCGGCCAUGAAAACAUGUGUUAUAGGUCACGGGAGCCCAAAAACGGCUGCAUCGGCCACCAGGGAUGAAGACGUGGGGGAUGGACUGAAGCUGUGAAAAUGGCCUCCGGAUGCGUGUUCGGCCAUGAAAACGUGUGCUAUAGGUCAUGGAAGGCCAAAAAAGGCUACACCGGCCACUAGGAUGCAAUCGUGGGUGUUAGACUGAACACUUCAAAAUGGCCUCCGGACGCAUGUUCGGCUAUGAAAACGUGUGUUAUAGGUGUCGCGAGCCCAGAAACGGCCACACCGGACACCGGGUACGAAAACGUGGGGGAUGGACCAAUAACUGAAAAUGGCUUCCGGACGCGUGUUCGGCCAUGAAAACAUGUGUUAUAUGUCGCAGGAGCCCGAAAGCGGCCGGUGUGGCCGCUAGGGACAAAAACGUAUGGGAUGGACCAAACAAAUGAAAAUGGCAUCUGGAUGUGUGUUCGGCCAUGAAAAUGUGUGUUAUAGGUCAAGGGAGCCCAAAAAUGGCCCCAUCGGCCACUCGUGACGAAAACGUGGGGGAUCGACUGAAGAUGUGUAAAUGGCGUCCAGACGCUUGUUCGGCCAUGAAAACAUGUGUUAUAGGUCACAGGAGCCCGAAAAUGGCCGCACCGACCACUGGGGACGAAAAGGAGGGAGAUGGACCGAAUAACCGAAAAUGGCCUCUGGACCAGCGUUCGGCAAGAAAACGUGUGCCAUAAGUCAUGGAAUGCGAAAAACAAUUACACCGGCCAUCGAGGAUGAAAACGUGGGUGUCAGACCUAACAAUUGAAAAUGGCCUCCUCACGCGUGUUCGGCCUUGCAAACGUGUGUUAUAGGUCACGCGAGGCCGAAAACGGCCACUCCGCACAUCGGGUACAGAAACAAAUAUGUGGGAUGGACCGAAUAACAGAAAAUGGCCUCAAGCUGUGUGGUCGGCCAUGAAAACAUGUGUUAUAGGUCACGGGAGCCAGAAAACGGCUGCACGGGCCACCGGGCACGAAAACGUGGGGAUGGACCGAAGACGUGAAAAUGGCCUCCAUAGGUCAAGUGAGCCCGAAAACGGCCACACCGGACAUUGGGGACUAAAACGUGGGGGAUGGACCGGAUAACUGAAAAUGGCCUCCGGACGUGUAUUUGGAGAUGAAAACGUGUGCUAUGUCAUGGAAGGCCAAAAAACGCCACACUGGACACCGGGUACGAAAACGUGGGUGUUAGAUCGAACACUUGAAAAUGGCCUCGAGACGGGUGUUCGGCCAUGAAAACGUGUGCUAUAGGUUAUGGAAGGCAAAAAACAGCUACACCGACCACCGGGGAUGAAAUCGUGGGUGUUAGACCGAACACUUCAAAAUGGCCUCUGAACGCAUGUUCGGCUAUGAAAACGUGUAUUAUAGGUCACACGAGCCCGAAAACGGCCACACUGGACACCUGGUACGAAAACGUGUGGGAUGGACCAAAUAACUAAAAAUGGUCUCCGGACGCUUGUUCGACCAUGAAAACGUGUGUUAUAGGUCGCGGGAGCCCGAAAACGGCCGCACCGGCCAUCGGGGAUGAAUAUGCAGGGAUGGACCUAAGACAUGUAAUUGGCCUCCAGAUGCGUGUUCAGCCAUGAAAACAUGUUCUAUAGGUUAAGGAAGGCCAAAAACAGCUACACCGGCCACCGGGGACGAAAAUGUGGGUGUCAGAUCGAACAAGUGAAAAUGGCCUCCGGACGCGUGUUCAGCCAUAAAAAUGUGUGCCGGAGAGGCACGUGACGACGACGCAGUCCAUCCGGACCCAGUCGGGAUGGGUGCUGACGGUGUCGGUGAGGACGUGGCCGGACAGUGAGUACUUGCCGAGGGUAAGGAGAAACUGGCUGCGCCGCCGCGUGUAGUUGCCGGUCUUCACGUUGAGGAUGACGGUGAAAAGGGCGCGGAUAUGAUGGAUAGCCACUGCCUGAGCAUGGAGCGCCAAGAGGUGGGCGGCUUCCUGAUGGAGGAGGGCGUCAUUGAGGUCAUCGGCGAAGAUGGUGUCAUCGGGGCGAGGGGGAUCGAGAGCGCGCUCCAGCGCCUCGUGCUCACGGGCAGCGGCGUCGACAGUAGCCUGCUCACGGGCAGUAGCCUCCUCGCGAGCAGCGACGACGACGGUGAGGACGCACUCAGCGGCCACGCGAGCACGGGCAUCGGCAGUCGUGGCGACGGCGGCGGCCUCGUGCUGCACCGCGUCGCGCUUAGAGGAAGCGGGGGCUGUGGCAGCAGCGCCGCUUGGGGCGCUAGGAGCGACAGCAGGGGCAUCCGAGGCGCCAGUAGGGGCGGCGAUAGGAGCACCGAGGGAGCCAGCCAUGGGAGAGAAGGCACGGUGUCGUGCGAAAAGCGGAAGCUGGAGACCUAGGGCUGAAACCUAGACUCGUGAUACCAUGAAAGAGAUAUUUAGGCGAGGAAAGAUUAGAUUGUUUAUACAGGAGCACAGGCUACAACCAUAUAUAGGCCUCGGGGACUAGGCGCAGGGGCAGCUAGGAACCCUAGCUGCCACCCUUGACUCGCUAGGGCCGGCGGUGCCCACAGGCAGGCUGCCUGCCAGCUCAUACACGAAGCAAGGCACGUAGGCCCACUAGUGUACAUACAGGUAAAUACAACCUAACAAAAAUGGAAGGCCAAAAAAGGCUACAUCGGCCGCCGGGGAUCAAAUCGUGGGUAUCAGACCGAACACUUAAAAAUACCCUCCAGACAUGUGUUCGGCUAUGAAAACGUGUGUUAUAGGUCACGCAAGUCCGAAAACAGCCACACUGAACACCGGGUUCGAAAACGUGGGGAAUGGACCGAAUAACUGAAAAUGACCUCCAGACGCGUGUUCGGGCAUGAAAACGUGUGUUAUAGGUCCUGGGAGAUCGAAAACGGCCACAUCGGACACAGGGGACGAAAACAUGGGGGAUGGACCGAACAACUUAAAAUGGCCUCAGGAUGUGUGUUCGGCCAUGGAAACGUGUUUUAUAGGUCACGGGAGCCCGAAAACGGUCGCAUCGGCCACCGGGGACAAAAACGUGCAGCAUGGACCGAAGAUGUGAAAAUAGCCUCCAGACACGUGUUUGGCAAGCAAACGUGUGCUAUAGGUCAUGGAAGGCCAAAAAAAGCUACACCGGCCACCGGGGUCAAAAACGUAGGUGUCAGACUGAACAAUUGAAAUGGACUCCGGACGUGUGUUCGUCCAUGAAAACGUGUGCUAUAGAUCAUGGAAGGCCAAAAAAGGCUACAUCGGCCACCGGGGAUGAAAUCGUGGGUGUCAGACCGAACACUUCAAAAUGGCCUCCGGACGCGUGUUCGGCUAUGAAAACGUGUGUUAGGUCAUGCGAGCCCGAAAACGGCCACUCCGCACAUCGGGUUCGAAAACGUGGGGAAUGGACCGAAUAACUGAAAAUAGCCUCCGGACGCGUGUUCGGGCAUGAAAACUUGUGCUAUAGAUCAUGGAAGGUGUGUUAUAGGUCACGCGAGCUCGAAAAUGGCCACACCGGCCACCGGAGAUGAAAUCAUGGGUGUGAGACCAAAUACUUGAAAAUAGCCUCUGGAUGUGUGUUCGGCUAUUAAAACGUGUGUUAUAAGUCACGGUAGCCCGAAAAAGGCUACACCGGCCACUUGGGACGAAAACAUGGGGGAUGGACCGAAGAUGUGAAAAUGGCCUCCAGACACGUGUUCGGCCAUGAAAACGUGUGCUAUAAGUCAUGGAAGGCCAAAAAUAGCUACACCAGCCACCGUGGAUGAAAACGGGGUGUCCGUGCUCGGCUAUGAAAACGUGUGUUAAAUGUCGUGGGAGCUCGAAAAUCGCCACACCGGACACCGGGUACGAAAACAUGGGGGAUGGAUCGAAUAACUAAAAAUGGCCUUCGGAUCUGUGUUCGGCCAUGAAAACGUGUGUUAUAUGUCGCGGGAGCCCAAAAACGGCCGCACCGGCCACCACGGACGAAAACGUGGGGAUGGACUAAAGAUGUGAAAAUGGCCUCCAGACGCGUGUUCGUUAAGAAAACGUGUGCUAUAGGUCAUGGAAGGCCAAAAACAGCUACACCGGCCACUGGGGAAGAAAUCGUGGGUGUCAGACCAAACACUUCAAAAUGGCCUCCGAAUGCAUGUUCAGCUAUGAAAACGUGUGUUAUAGGUCACACGAGCCCGAAAACGGCCACACCGGACACCUGGUACGAAAACGUGUCGGAUGGACCAAAUAACUGAAAAUGGUCUUCGGACGCUUGUUCGGCCAUGAAAACGUGUGUUACUGGUCGCGGGAGCCCGAAAACUGCCGCACCAGCCACCGGGGAUGAAAAUGCAGGGAUGGACCGAAGACGUGUAAUUGGCCUCCAGACGUGUGUUCGGCCAUGAAAACAUGUGCUAUAGGUUAUGGAAGGCCAAAAAUGGCUACACCGGCCACCGAGGACGAAAACGUGGUUGUAAGACCGAACAAGUGAAAAUGGACUCCGGAAGCAUGUUCGUCCAUGAAAACGUGUGCUAUAGCUAAUGGAAGGCCAAAAAUAGCUACACCGGCCACCGGAGACGAAAACGUGGGUGCCAGACCGAACGCUUGAAAAUGGCCUCCGGACACGUGUUCGACUAUGAAAACCUGUGUUAUAGGUCACGGGAGCCCGAAAACGGCCGCACCGGCCACCAUGGACAAAAACGUGGGGAUGGACCGAAGACGUGAAAAUGGCCUCCAAACGCGUGUUCAGCAAGAAAACCUGCGCUAUAAGUCUUUGAAGGCCAAAAAAAGCUACACCGGCCACUGGGGAUGAAAAUGUGGGUGUCAGACCGAACAAGUGAAAAUGGCCUCCGGACGCGUGUUAGGCCAUGAAAACUUGAGCUAUAGGUCAUCGAAGGCAAAAAAAGCUACACUGGCCACCGGGGAUGAAAUCGUGGGUGUUAGACCGAACACUUCCAAAUGGCCUCCGGAAGCGUGUUCGGCUAUGAAAGCGUGUGUUAGGUCACGCAUGUUCGUUAAGAAAACGUGUGCUAUAGGUCAUGGAAGGUCAAAAACAACUACACCGGCCACUGGGGAAGAAAUUGUAGGUGUCAGACCGAACACUUCAAAAUGGCCGGAGGCACGCGGAGGCACGCGGGGUCACUAGCAAGGGAGGGCGGUCGCGCACCGUAGGUAGCUUUGGGGCUGGGGUUGUGCGCAGCUGCCAGUGAGACAAGAGUGGCUUGCGCCAGCAGGCAGCCAGGGUGUGGUGCCAGCGAUAGUGGCAUGGGAGAAUAGCCGGCGCACCAUGCCGGAUCUAGAUGGAGGAUGAGGAGGACGCCUAGAGGAGACGGCCUGCGGGACCUUUUUGCAAAAUCAUCAAGAAUUGCUCCAAGGACUAUGGCAUGGGGAAGGGAGGGAGAGGGCGGCGGAGAAGAGGAAACCGGCGGCAGACUGGAAGACGAGCUCACGAAAGGGGAUGGCGCUGCCCCAGACCUGCCGCGACGCCUCCUCCGACCACGUCGCGGCCUCCUCGUGUGCGGCGGCUGGCCGCCGCCGGCAGGCAGACCACGCCGCGGCCUCCUCGUGCGACUGGGAGAGGAGCUCAAGGAAGGGAUAGGACACGGAAGGAUGGAUGCCACAGGGACUUCUUAGCAAAAACAACAAGUGCUCAACCAAGGACUACGGGUUGAUUAUCAAAAAUUUAAGGGUUUUUUUGCAAAAUGACCAUGAUGGUUGGAAGAAACGACGGUUGGAAGAAAUAACCGCACUUUAAUAUUAGGUAUAGAUUGUCUUGGUCAAAAUAAGAAAACAAGGCCAGGGAGCUUCUCACGUGAGGAGGUCCCCACGUCGUCCCCGCUCGGGCGACAUGGGCGGCACCCGUGACCUCAGCCUCCGUCGCCCCCUCCCUCUCCUCCCCUCCCCUGCCACAGCCGGAGGGGCUGCCGAAGCCAGUGUGGGCCCCUAUGAUGGAGGCGGUGGGGCAUCUUCCUCGCUAGGGCUGCGCGCACUAGUAGGACUGUGCGGAGCAGCUCCGCUAGCAGGGUGACGGCGCGGCGAGGGGCGGCGGAUCCGGCACCUUGGUGGCCGGAUACGACCAUCCCGGUGCCUGAUCUGCGUGGAGAAGAGGGUUGCGGGCGAGCAGCACGGCAUGCAGCAGCAAGAUGGCUAGAGAAGGCGGUGGUGGUUGUGGCCAUGGAGGCCUUCUUGGCACCGGCGAGGAGGAGGCCGCGGCCGGAGGGUGUUGAGUAGGACGUGCUGCUGCUCGGCAAAGGUGAGCAAUAAGCGCGGCGAUGGCGGGGAGCUGCAAGUCGGGUGGCCGCCCCCUCCCCCCUCCCCCAAGCAAGUGGCGACAGCGGUUGCGGCCAUGGAGGCCUUCAGGGCACCGGCGAGGAGGAGGCCACGGCCGGCGGGAGCCGAGGAGCCGACGUGCUGCUGCUCGGCAGAGGCGAGCAACGAGGGCGGUGAUGGUGGGGAGCUGCAGGCUGGGUGGCUGCCCCCCUGAGUAGGUGGCGGUGGCGGUCCUAGCGCCGACAAGGAGGAGGCCGCGGUCGGCGGGAGUUGAGGAGCCGAACGUGCUACUGCUCGGUAGAGGCGAGCAACGAUGACGGGGAGCUACAGGCGGGGUGGCUGCCCUGCCCCCCCCCCCCAAACCCCUAUCUGGUGGCUGCGCCAAGUUCCACCGGCGGGGGACCGGGCAACUGGCUAUGUGGCGGCAUUCUUCGGCUCCUUGGCGCCCGGUGGUCUGUGCUCCUAGUGGCGGCAGUGAUUUCUGGGGAGGGAAUUGUAGGGAUACGAGGUAGGCUACACUAGCGCAAAUCAAAAUUUUCUACCGCGUAAACAAGGAAAACUGCCGUAUAAGGAUCACGGGAUUACCACUCGACGCACUGGUGCGGAAGAUGUAGAUUCGCGUCGAUGCAGCGAAGUCGAUCAGCGUAGUCGUACGUAGUCGAUCACGUCGACGUCCAGCAGCUCCUCAGCAGCUCGUCCACGUGCAGCAAGAUCGCCCUCGUGCCGCGGCUCGUCGUCGGCUAGUCGUGGCUUGUCGGCGGCUCGUCCAAGUGCUGCAGGCACAACUCCUCCAAGGUAUCCACACAUGCAGGGAGGAAGCGUUGCAAGCCGGACUGCUAGAUCUGUGAGUUGCAACAGGCGAGGGCGUGGGAGGCGCGGCAGAUGUCUUUCGCCAAAAGGUGUAAACCCUAGGGCGCCCCCACCCCUCUAUUUAUAGAGGUUCCUAACGGGCCUCUAGGUCCGAGGCCCAUUAGUACUUCUAAACCUAAUCCAACUCGGAUCACAUCCGAAUUGGGCUUCCAGCCCCUUAAGUGUGUGACCCUAUGGGUUCGGAUACGUAUAGACAUGGCCCGAGUACUCCUAUUCGGCCCAAUAGUCGGUAGCGGCCUCUAACAAGACGUGUCAACUCCUAUACGCACACGAAGAUCAUAUCAGACGAACCAUCACAACAUUAUAUACAUGCUAUUCCCUUUGCCUCACGAUAUUUGGUCUAGCUUCAAGCCGACCGCUCUUUCUCGAUCCUAUGAUUCGGAAUCCCUUUGUAGGUUAACUCUUAACCAUACGUAGCAUGGCCAUGCAUUUUCGGAUCCGAUCACUCGAGGGGCCUAGAGAUAUCACUCUCAAUCAGAGAGGGGCAAAUCCCAUCUUGAUUGACCAUGUCUCAUAGCAUGCUUCUUGACAAACCCGAAAGCUACCUUUAUAACUACCCUGUUACGGCGUAGCGUUUGAUAGCCCCUAAGUAAGUCGAUCCACAUCUUGAGUACAUGCGACAAUCUCAGGUCUAAGGACAAAGCGUAUAUGUUGUGUAAAGAGAGAACUACUUCUCGUGUUGGGUCAGUCCUAGCACAUGUCUCCACAUGUGCCCACAUUAUUAGUUCAACAUCUCCAUGUCCAUGACUUGUGAAACAUAGUCAUCAACUAAUACAUGUGCUAGUCUAAUAUUCAUGUGUGUCCUCACAUGAACACCGACUAGGGACAACUUUAGAAUAACCAUACAAGUAAAGAGUUUCACAUACAAUUCACAUAAUUGCAAAUCAAUUCAAGUAGCCUUUAAUGGAUAUUCAACGAACACAAUAUAAAUCAUGGAUACAAAUGGAAUAUCAUCAUCUCUAUGAUUGCCUCUAGGGCAUACCUCCAACAGGAAUGGGGUGUAGGCGAAAGCCUUGUGCCUGCUUGCGGGUCAAUGAUGGCGACGCCCCCGGGCACCGCUUCCCUUCUUGAAGGCAUCAUUCAUUCCCCCUUUUCCCUCCCCUACGGUGAGCUUCCGGGUGAAAGCCUUGAACGUGUUGGUCAGACAACAACGGCGCCAGUGGUGUCGCCCCCUCCUUUGAGGUGUUGUCUUGGAAGCUCAGUGGGUUCUUACUGCCACCACUGCAGGGAUCGUUGCCGAACACCGCCCCCAGUCGUCUCCAGCCGGGCGCCUGCCUUCGCUUUGAUUUGUCCACCUUGCCCGGGUUGCUUAGGUUGUCGUCGUCCGGCGGAUGCUUUGCGGCCCCCUCUUCUCUGGCAGACGUCAUUGGUUGCUUAGGGCGGAUGCUUUGCCACUGUCAUUGGUUGUUUCAGGCAGAUGUUUUGCCGCCGUUGUUGGUUGCUUUGGGCGGAUUCUUUGCCGCUAUGGUUGUACUGGUUGGGUGGAUGCGUUGCCACCGUUGUUCAAACCGUGUGCAUGUGCCCGGUUGGCCCGCAUUGUGUGCGUGCGCCCGGUUGGCCCACGUUGUAACGUUUCUAAACGUUAUUUCUUCUUAAUACAAAGAUACGCAGCUCUCCUGUAUAUUCACGAAAAAAACCCUUGAGCUGAUCAGAUGCUAGAAUUUAUGCUCUAUUGCCAUCACACCGUUGAUUUAAGAGGACACUGACUAAGUUAUUCAGUACUUAUAGCAGGCCGGCUCCGGCAGACCAGGAAAUGAAAACUUAGGCAAUGGGUGGUUCUUUUCAUAUAAAACUUGUACAAAUCUUAAAGCAAAUAUAUGGUUAAUUCAUUAUCCUCUCCAACGAGCACUCACGGCGGCGGCGAGUCAACAUCCAAGUACCCCUAGUUCGUGCUCCCCAUUCCAUUGUGCCUCAAAAUCAUUUUUGGGAAUGGGAAGUGCUGAAAUCCGCAUUUACAGCAUAACAAGCACCUCAUUUGCAGGUUUCCAUGAACACAAAUUCAGAGAAUGUUUCCUUUUUGUCUGCUAAUAGGGGAAAAAAGAAUUAAUUGCAGUCUAAUCACUCACUUGGUCUCGACUCUCCACAACGUUUCAGAACAAAUAGACAUUAACAUAUGCGGUAGACAUAUGGAUGGAGCCGUUGGGAGAAGAUGAACAUAUGCGGGAAGUAGAACGCCACCACAAAUCCCACCACGAACCCAGCAGCCGAGCCAAUAAUGAACUCGUCGUUGAUCCUGCGUGAUCCCAGACACGCUUUGUUUGUAUUGCCACAAUCAUCCAACGGUGGACCGCAAAGCCCUUGAUUAUUACCAGCAAAGUUGGAUGCUGGGAACUUGGAUAAGAAUGAAGGAAUAAGCCCAGAUAACUGGUUAUCUGCGACAUUGAGAGAUGUUAACCGAAGAAUCUCAUCGAAUUGUCUUGGAAUUUGACCACUGAGUUGGUUGUGCUGAAUGUUUAGGACGUUCAGGUCCAUAUUGCAGAUGCCUAUUGGAAUUUCACCUGAAAACCUGUUGUACGAGAGAUCCAGAAAUGUCAAGUAUGUCACCUGCCGUGUGAUGUUCAAAGGGAUGGGCCCUGAAAAAUUGUUAUUUGACAGGUCAAGGCUGACUAGACUAGUGCAAUACUCAAGACCCUGAGGAAAUUGGCCUUGAAGCCCGAGGUUGCUUAGACUCAGCGAAAGAAACCUGUCAUCUUCAUCAGGCUGCCAACAUUCCACACCAGUAAAGCCGCAUAUGAAUCUGCUGAAAUUCCAUGAGGAUUUCAAUAUGCCCCUAGGAUCAAUCACUGAUUUCUGUAAAGUCUUCAAGCAGGUUACAUCAAGUUCGGAACCGAAACAAAAUGAUGAGCUGCUCAAAAGCAGAAACCAAAGGAGGAACUUGAUACCACCGACCAUCCAAGACAUGGUUCCACUCAAAGCUGUGAAAGGAUAUCCAAAACCUUCUCUUGCUUAUUGCUUAAAAAAAACUUCUCUUGUAAUGAAGAAAUAGUGUUCCUACACAGGCACAAAAUAUGGUGAUGCCUACCUGCAUAAGUGAGAAAAAAAAACAAGAACUCGAAAUAUUAGUUUUUUUUCUCCAUAUGUGUAGCAGCGCCAUCACUAGAUGUUCAACAGUCGUGUAAAAUCUGAAACAGAGGAUGUGUUUCAGGAGAAUUACCGGCUCUUAGUUGAUCCAGGCAAAGCAGAACUGCACAAGGCAUCACCCGCGACAGAUGAAAGGGGAGAUCAAUCCCUUCUGUUAAAUGUUAGGGUUAAUUGCACCUAGUGUCGGAUGGAGACGAGAUGGAAAGCGAAGGAGAUGGGAGUAUGGGACGACGUCGCCGUGUCGGUGGGGAGAAGUUUAUAUCUCCUCGCGUGAAAUUGGGCAGCCACGCACUUGCCAAUUGGCGUCUACCGUGUUUGACUAACACGGCGCCGGUCGUGACGCUGUUGUCUUCCGCGUUGGCGCGCCACCAACUGCACUCACGUCUGCAUUGUUUUUACUACGCAUUUGCUGUACUGCAAACGGCAUGAGAUGCCUUCUCCGAACAUGGCCGCGAUGAUCAAGAUGCGUUCACAGAUGUACUAAGCAUCUUUCGCCAGUUAUUACAUUCAUGAUAAGCCGUUGCUCGAGAGGGUUCAUGGACGACAUGAUGUAUGCAGUAUGCAGAUAUCCUAAAGCUCGAUUGAAACUAAGUACUUCCCAUGUUUUACAAGCUGCCACGCCAGAGAUGGUUUUGGAAAUUUUAAGUGUUGAAAUGUGCAGUGCAAACGAAACUUCUCAUUUGCGAAACUGCCGAGUGCACAAAUUAACUGAAAACCAAAGUGCUGGUAAAUGUUAAAGAAAGAACCAGUGUUGCAGAUGCUCAUUUAGCCUCCAGAGAUGAUUGAUGUCAGAAUAUGCGGAAGAAGUACGGGCGGAGCCUCUGGGAGAAAAAUGAAGCAGGGGGGGAAGUAGAAAGCCACCACGAAGCCUACCACCAACCCGACAGCCACGCCAAUACUGGACUCGUCGCUGAUCCAUUUGCUUCUACGGUCACAUGCAGCCAACGGUGCACCACAAAGCCCUUGGUUACCAGCAAAGUUUGAAGGCGGAAACAUCUGCAAAUGCAACGGAAUAGGACCAGAUAAUUGGUUGUCUGCAACAUUGAACAAAAAUAACCUAGAAAACUCGUAUCGAUCUGAAAUUUGGCCACUGAGUUGGUUGUGUUGAAGGUUGAGAGUGUUCAGGUAUGUGAUGUUUGAGAUACCGAUUGGGAGUUCACCCGAAAAUUUAUUAUAUGAGAGGUCAAAGACGUCAGACUGGACAGCUGCCAUGCCAUAUUGGAAGGGAUGGCUCCUGAAAAAUUGUUACUCGACAAGUCCAGGCCGGUCAUGCUUGUACAAUUCUCGAGACCUUGAGGAAAUUGGCCUCAAGACCCAGGUUGCUGAGACGCAAAGAGAGAACCCUGUUCUCAAAAGGGUGCCAGCAUUCCACGCCCGUAAAAUGGCAAAUGAAACCCGCGAUGUUGUUCUCAAAAUUCCAUGAGGAUUUCAGGAUGCUGUUGGGAUCGAUGUGUUGACGCAAAAUCUAGACCUCAGGCUUCUGCGUUGAACAAUAUGGAGGAUCUGUGAAAUCUACUUAACCCCAGUGCAGGCUCUAAAUCGGCUUGCGAGUGGUGCAAGGCGUGCCAGUCAAUUUGAAGGUAAACAUUAAAUUUCUAAGCCGAUCGGCGGCAAAGCCUCUCGAGCUCAUGAGUAGACGUUCUGGGAAUAAACACCACAAUAGAUAGAUAUUUAAUGUAAGCAUGUGGUGUAAAUACAUGAAACAUUAAUGGCAUGUGCCAUUGGCUAUAUCAGCUAACGGACUAAGAUAAAGCAUUGUAAUACAACAGCCAUGAAAGGGAAGCCCUUAUUAAUCACGUGCUUAUUAGAUAAGCUAACAAAUCUGGCCAAUGUCUUGAUAAUUGUAUUGAACUCAGACAAGGUAACACGAAUGAGAAGGCAUUGUCAUCAAUUUACUAACUUAAAAGAUUAGAACAUAGCAACAGACCAGCCGAUGCUAACUGUACGCAAGUUAGAUACAUUAUCAGACCUCAAUUAAUGUCUUGGUAAGGGUAUUGAACUUAGAAAAGGCAACACGAAUGAGAGGGCAUUAACCUCGAUCUGACAAUAUAAAAGACUAGAGCACAAGCACCAAAGACCUUUUGCCUACCGCUUACGAGCCUAUUAAGGUAACAAAGUCUAAUCAAUGUCAUGAUUGUAUAAUUGAACUUAGACAAGGUAACACGGUGAGAGGGCAUUAACUUCGACCCGUUAAUCUUAACAGACAAGCUCGCAGCAGCAAGGCCUUAUUAGAGUCGAUAGGCAAUAUAACCAACGAAGAACAGUAGAUCAAACUCAGGGGACACAAGAUUUUAAUGUGGAAAACCCUUCCUCCUUGGAAGAGGAAAAACCACAGGCGCCAGCCAACAAAUCUUCACUAUAUCAAGUGAGGUUACAAACGUCGGGGAUUUACAACUAUUUCAACUUAUCCCAAAUGGCGGCCGCUCCGUCCGAAAUCGACCUUUAUGUAUAUAUAACUGAAUUUGGAUCAUAACUCAACAAACUCCACCUUGAGACAAAUUCCUUCUUGUAGCAUAAAAUGAACCUUCACCCUGAAACAACAAAGAGAACACUUUCGGCACCAAAUAGCCUCAUGGGCAAAAUAGUUAUACCAACUAAGCUUGAGAAAAGCUCAAACUUAGCAACAGGAACUGGCUUUGUCAUUGUAUCAGCAGGAUUAUCAUGAGUGCUUAUCUUGCAUACCUUCAGCUUACCUUGCACGACAACAUCGCGAACAUAAUGGUAUUUGACAUCAAUGUGCUUUGUUCUCUCAUGGGACGUCUGAUCUUUAGUGAGAUAUAUGGCACUUUGACUGUCACAAAAUAGAUUAAUGCAAGAAUCAUCUCCACAAGCUCAACAAACAAACUUUUCAACCAAACUGAUUCUUUACAUACUUCAGCAAUAGCCGUGUAUUCUGCUUCAGCGGUAGACUGGGCAACAACGGGCUACAAUGUUGCCCUCCAACUCACGGCACAACCACCAAUAGUGAACACGUAACCUGUGAGGGAUCUCCGCUUAUCCAAAUCGGUAGCAAAAUCUGAAUUCAUGUAGCCAAUGAGUCCCUCAUCAGUCCUGCCAAACUUCAAACAAGCAUCUGUUGUGCCAUGAAGGUAUCUGAAAAUCCACUAAACAACCUUCCAAUGUUCUUUACCAGGAUUAGCUAUGUAUCUACUAACCAAACUCAUAGCAUAGGAUAAAUCAGGACGGGAGCAAACCAUGGCAUACAUCAAAGAACCAACAGCACUAGAAUAUGGAACUCUUGACAUGUACUCAAAAUCCUCAUCAGUAAUAGCACAUUGUAAAGCUAAUAAUUUAAAAUGAGGUGCAAUAGGAGUACUAACAAACUUUGCAUCAUGCAUGUUAAAAUGAUGCAGAACUUUCUUACUAUAACUUUGCUCACUAAGAAAUAACAAAUCAGAAUUUCUGUUUCUGGUAAUCUCCAUACCUAGAAUUUUCUUAGCAGCACCAAGAUCCUUCAUCUCAAACUCACUACUCAACUGUUUCUUCAACGUAGUGAUUUCUUUCUUGCUCUUGGCAGCAAUCAACAUAUCAUCAACAUAUAAUAGCAAGUAUAUAGGUGAUCCAUCAACAAAUUUAAUGUACACACAGCUACCAAAUUCAGACCUCUUAAAGCCAUGUGACAACAUAAAAGAAUCAAACCUUUUAUACCAUUGACGAGGAGGCUAUUUCAAACCAUAUAAGGACCUCUUUAAUUUGCAAACAUGAUCCUCCUUACCAGGUACUAUGAACCCUUCUAGCUGGUCCAUGUAUAUCUCAUCCUCGAGCUCUCCAUGUAGAAACGCAGUCUUUACAUCUAACUGCUCAAGCUCAAGAUCACGCAUAGAAACAAUACUGAAAAAUAUACGAAUUGAACUAUGCUUUACAACUGGAGAGAAUACAUCAUUAUAAUCAACACCAGGAAUCUUACUGAUGCCUUUUGCUACUAACCUUGCCUUAAACCUCGAAGGCUCACUGGGAGAUAAACCCUCCUUUCUCUUGAAGAUCCAUUUGCAAUGGAUGGCCUUCUUUUGUUUAGGCAAGCACACAACAUUCCAUGUGCCAUUUUUCUCAAGUGACUGCAUCUCUUCUUGCAUAGAGGAAAUCCACUUCUCGCGGUCACCAGAACCAACAACUUCAGUGUAUGUAGCUGGCUCAUGAGUGUUCUCCACCUGUUCAGCACAACUAAAAGCAUAAUGAACCAUAUCACAUUCCUCAAUUAAACGUGGACGAGGUCCACAAUUCCUCUUUGUUCUGCGAUCUGCAAUAGACUAAUUUUGUGGCUGCAAAACAGGAGGUGAGUGCUGAACAGUAUCAUGAACAUCAUUAUCAAUAAUUUCAGUUUCCUGAUCAUCUACGUGCUCCACCUGCACGCUAACAUGUUGUUGCUCCUCAUCAGAACUAACUGGCGAAACAUCUGUGGAUAAGCUGUCAUUAAACAUAACAGAUUCAUUGAAAACAACGCUCCUUCUCAUGAAAGUCUUUUUAGUUUCAGGAUUCCAUAACUUAUAUCCUUUUACUCCAGAACCAUAACCAAGAAACAGACACUUAAUGGCUCUAGGUUCUAGCUUUCCAUUAUCAACAUGAGCAUAAGUAGUGCAACCAAAAACUCUCAACUGUGAAUAAUCAGCAGGCGUACCAGACCAUACCUCAAUGGGAGUUUUCUUAUUAAGUGGGAUAGAAGGCGACCUGUUGAUCAAGUAGCAGGUGGUGUUAGCAGCCUCUGCCCAAAAAUGCCUGUUCAUACGAGUGUUGGACAGCAUGCAACGAGCCUUUGAGAUGAUGGUUCUAUUCAUGCGCUCAAACACACCAUUCUGUUGAGGAGUGUACGGGAUGGUGUGGCGCCUGACAAUGCCUUCCAUCUUGUAGUAAUCAUUAAAAGCAUCUGCUUUGCUUCGGCCCAAGCCUCCGGGGACGGGCCUCGCUUUGCUCUGUCCGAAGUUGGCCUUUAUGUAUAUAUAACUGAAUUUGGAUCAUAACUUAGCAGGCCUCGCAUGCGGCCCUAUCGUCUCAAUGAUGUCAUCAUGCUUCCAUGAGAUACGAAUAAGACCCGACCAAAGCAUCGGCUCUCAAUGGUAGCACGCUGACGUCAGAAGCCUGACGGUUAGAAAUAAGAGGGGUAGGGGUAAGGAUCUAUCAGACCUAGCAUAUAUAUAAAGUAUUAAAAUCAUGCAGAGUCUACCAGCCAACACGAUCUGAUAACUUCGAACAUUUAAACAAGGCAAGGGAGCCGAUGAAGACAACCUAACCAGAUCUAAGUCGUUCGAUAACUUGAGCAACGUCGAAAAGAAGCAGAAUAUUGGACAAAGCCUAAAAAGUUCUACUUGCAAUCUAAGAUAAUUCGAUAACUAGCUACAUGACAAUAUCAGAAUAUAAGACUUAACUUAGAAAGUUCUUAUAGAGGUCGUAAUGACCGGGUGACGGUACUUACAAGCUCACCCGAGAUCGAAGCCGAUGCAGCCUUGCGCGCUAGAAGAAACUCGUUGAAUCUACUCUACUUCUACUCCUAGGGUUUUGGUGGCAUGGCGCCGAAAGGUUGUAUUCAUUGAUCGAUCGUUUUUCUUUACAAGGGUGACAACCCUAGUAAUUAAGCAGCUAAAUUAGGGAAUCAUCGAAGUGAUUAAGAAACUAAAUCAAAGAAUCAACAAAGGGUAAUUAAGGUAUUAAGCACCUAAAUCACACUUAACUCUACAUUUUUGCCGCUUGCACUUUCAAAUACCAUUCAACUUCAUAAAAAUACCGCAAAGGGCAAAAGCAAGCAAAAUAGGGCCAACCAAGGAGCUAAAUAGGAAAAACUAGCAAAUUAAUUUGAGAAGGUAGAAAACACACCCAAAGUUUGAAUCCAAACUUUUGAAAACCUUUCAAAUUCACCAAGUGUUAAGAAAGUUCCUCGAAAGCACUAAAAAGGGGUAAGAGUGGAAAAUCAAAUUUCAUAUGACAACAUAAAUUUUGGUCAAUAUAAAAGUUGUAGAACAAUUCAAGAAAAACAUCUUUUGUUAUUAGCACUUCUUCUGAUUUUGAGAAGAAGAGGUUCAAAAUUAAGUAGAAGUCAUGCAUUGUUAAUUUCACAGAAAUUGUUGUUUAUUGUUAAAAAUUCAAAUUUGUGAAGGAACUCUAAUUUUUUUCACACAACUAUGCCCCCAAUUAUUUUAUUUGAAUACUACACACCAUUUAGUGAUUUUAAAAUAUUUUUACCAAAUUUUUCAGAGAUGUUUGGAUGGGUUAAAAAUUCAUUUAAAAUUCAAUUUUAGCUGUUUUGUUUUGGCGAUUUUGUGCAAACUAUAAUAGCUUUUGAGUUGAUUCUUGUGGCAAUGGAUUCUUGGUGAUUUUGUAUUUCCAACGAGUAUUUUUGGAGAAUUUUUGGACACCAGUAGCUAGGUCUUUUAAGGAGACAAAGUUGGCAUGAUGUUUUUCUUGGCCGGGCCCACUCGUGAGGCCACCUUCUCCUUCCUCACGUCACCAAAAAGCAUGCCGUUGGCCUGCAGGGGCUGAGCUCCACCUGGCCGGCACCCAUGGGAGCUUCCCUCCCCACCAAUCCGCGCGCCCCAUGGUGAGUUACUCCGACCGUCCUUAUCCUCACCAUCCUCCUCCUAUUUAAGGACCGGUUCCCCUCUCCUCCAAUCCUCCCUGUACAGACUGCAAAGCUCCAUUGUUUCCCCAAGUUUUGCUGCCCAAAUUCAUCGCCGUGGUGAGCUCUCAGCUCGAUUCCUCGCGGCGAUAGCAUCCCCAAGCCGUCGCGCCUCCGUUUUGCCCCUUCCCGAGCUCCCUCCCUCGCCGGGCAACCCUCUCCGCAGGAGCCCCCAUCCGCCCCUUCCUCCGCCACGGAAACUCCUUGCACCACCCCUUCUUCCUCGUCGCCACGCCACUGGUGAGCACCUCCUUGGCCCUAUGCGCCGCCCCUCUCCCUCCCCUAGCAACACCCCUUCCUUUCCCCCUGUUCUCGGGCGGCCCAAGCAAUGCGUGUUGAAUCUUUGCCUAUCUGCGUGUGUGCCUGUUUAAGUGCAUGAGGGACUGAUUUGGAGAAGAAGGAGAAAGGUUAGGGGCUUAUGGGUGAAAUCCAGGGACUUUUGCACCAUUAACCCAUAGAUCCAAGGGCUAGAUUGCAAGAUUGCCUCGGUUUUCUUUAUUUCCUAGAUCUAAAAAAGCUGCAACUUUGGAAAUUCAUAGUAAAUUGUAGAACAAUUUUAAAAUGGCAAAUGAAGAUGUUUUGGAAUUCUUGUGAGAAGAACUAUGUAGUAGUUAUAUAAUAUGAUAUGUGUUAGUAGAAAGUUUCUGAUGUUUUUAUUUAUCCAUGCAAAGUACUUUUAGAAAUCCUUUUAAGUUGGUUAGAUGCAUAUCUUGAGUUAUAUAAGUCCAAAGAUUUUGAUUCUAGUUAUAUUAGUCUCGUGAUGACACUCUCUAGCUAAGAAAAAUAUUAAACAUGCUAGUGGUGUGCGGUUUUUAUCAUGUUUUGAUUUAAUGGGCAAUUUUUGCUUAUUUUGCUUGUCAUUUUCAUAUCUAAAUUUGUGGUGCUUCAAUUUCUGUGAAAUUUUUAUGGGAGGCUACUGAUGCUAUAUGUGUGAUAUGGUAAAAAUUUCAUAUUCAUUAGAUGUAGUAUGAUUGACUUAUUGAUUUAACUUGUUUAUUGCUUGAUAAAUGGUUUUAAAUAAGUUAUAAUUUUUAUGUAGGUGUAAAAUUGAAAAAUAUGGUUCCACUACCUUUGUAUGAUGUUGUUCUACCAUAAUAACAUAUAAUAUGGCUAUGUGUUUAUAAAAAAUGAUGAUCUUUAGAAUUAUCUUGCUUUUGCAUGUUUUCUUGCAAUUGUAAUUUAUCUUUUUCAUAGCAAUUAAAUUAUAAAAUCUGAGCAUGUGAAAUUGGUACAGUAGCCAUGUUUUGAUAACAUCUACCACUCAUAAAAAUCUCAACCCCAAACUAGUUGUUCUCAUAUGGCACUAUAAUCUAUAUAUAUAUAUAUAUAUAUAUAUAUAUAUAUAUAUAUAUAUAUAUAUAUAUAUAUAUAUAUAUAUAUAUAUAUAUAUAUAUAUAGAAGUUAAUGAAAGUUAAUAACAAAUAGGCAUAUGCUAAAGCCAUGAGAUGCUACUUUAAUUACACCAACUUUGUGAAAUGUAGUUGAUCUAUAUGGAUGUUUGUUUGAGCCCUUGAAUGAUAUGUAUGAAAUCUCUGUUGGGAGAAACACGUCAAAACCAACACUAUGCUACCUUCUGAAAUUUGGCUGCAUGUGUACUUUUGUGGUGUCAUGUUUUCAUGAUGAAAAUGAUGUUUUAUAUAAAUUUGGUGACUACAAAAGUUUUAGGUAACUUUAUAAUAUAGCUUGUGUUAAAUUUUCAUGACCAUAAGCCUGAUGGUUUAGAAGCUAUAGAUUUUACAAGUUCAUUGUCAGGUUUUGCGUGCUCUCUGUACAGGUUUAAAUGUUUGUGUCGUUUGACUUAGCUAAUCUUUGAAUCAUAUCUUUGUGAUAUUAUAAGAAGUGUAGGAAGUUUUAUUAGAUUUUCAAAUUUUUAAAGAUCACCCUUUUGGUGGUCUAAAUCUCCAGUUAUGGUCUUGUGAAGUGGAAUGACAGAAUCUGUCCUAAUCUGGAUAGAGAUAUCUUAUUUGUGAUGUUUGACCUGGUUAACUUUGUAUUUAGCUUGUGGUGUUUAUAACAAAGUUAUGAAUAAUUUUAUAAUCUUUCUAAAAAGUCUAGAACCAUCUUGUUGUGAAAGCUAUAACUCCAGAUAUGGCUGUCUAAAGUUUAAUGUCAAAAUCUGUCCAAGUUUGGACAGAUUUGCUUCUUUGUGUUGUAUAGUCUUGUUAACUGUUGAAUCAUCUUGAGAUGACAAUAAUAAAGUUAUAUAUAACUUAAUAAGGUUUUUACCAAGUUAAGAAUCAUGGUUGUUGGAGGUCUAGAACUCCAGAUAUGCAUCUCUGAAGUUCAUGUUAGUUUUCUAUCCUUGUUUGUACCGAUCUGCUUAUUGGUGUGCUUUCACCUCGUUAUUUGUUGAAUCAGCUUUUGGUGUGAAUAACAAAGUUUUAGAUAAUUUUAUUAACUUUACAGAAAGUCUAGGUUCAUCCUUGUUGGAUGCUUAUAUCUCUAGUUGUGGUUAAAACAAGUGACUAUUGUGCUGCUGUCCAGAUUCGGUGUAUGUGCUUAAGUUAUUAGCUUUGACUUGAUGUUGCCUCGUGUGCUGGCUAGUUAGCUCAUAACACUAUUAGAAUUAUAUUGAUCUACCUGAGGAUCUUAUAAAUGUAUUAUAUAAUGUUGGUCAAGCACUUAACUAAUAAAUGGUCAUGUAUACAUGUUGCUACAAAAUAACUUUGCUGCAUAGCUUACUAGAACCUUAGUGAUGUUGGUGUGUGACUUACUUGUGCAUGAGUGGUUUAAAAAUAAAUGUAAUAUACUUUGAUCACCUUCAUCUUGCUAGUUGUGUGAUGCACUUAUGUAGGCCAUAUUGAUAAGCACCAUCACCCCUAGUUCUUAUAUGAUACUAUGCUUAAUUAGCUCUUGAUUGUUAAAUGCUUGCAAUAGCUUAACUUGAGUUAACUAGUGUGCCAUGCUUGUUAUGCUUGCUAUCUCUAUGGUAGACUUGAGUGAUAGUUAGUUAAAUAACUUGCUCUCUCAGUGUUCAUGUCUUGUGGUGUAACCUUUUUUAUGUAAUGCAUCUCAUAUUACCGUUCUUCACAUUCAUGCACUUGCAUCUUGCAUCUCAUCUAGAUACGCUAGAUAAACCUCGUUAAGGACGUGAUGAUGGAACCGAACCCGAAGACGGUGUAUGGUGGACCUAUCCCAAAGAUGGAAGGACUAAGCAAGUGCCAAGAUGGGAGAUGCUCGCCAAGCGAGUGUCGUCUAACAAACACUAACCUAAUGUUGGAUUCUAGGCAAGCCCCGGAGCGUAUCCCGGUUUUCUAAACUUCUGCAAUGAAUUAUGUUGAUUAUGAUUGUGCAUUUAAGUCACUAGGCGUUAUCUGAAACCUUGGAUGCAUGAACUUAGUGUGGCGGAACCGCCCAAAUUAACCUGACUAAAAUGCAUUGAAGUCGCCUAACACGCGAUUAUGCACUUUAAGCAAGUCAACUUGGUCGACCGUCGGAUUUCCUCCGAUAAACCACAUAAACAGGAUCAAGAAGCACGCUCACGCGAAGGUGAGUAGCACAGAGAUUACAACAUUCCAUCACGACAACAAGUUCCACAUUUUAUUACAUCAGAGUUUUCAAAAUUUAGACUGAAAUUUGCAAGGUUCGAAGUCAAAUAAAACUAGCGGAAGCUAAACGUCGAUACAUGACAUCAUGACGGAGCCGAUCAUGACAUCAAAAACUCCUUCCUUCGCCGUCCAAGGAAGGAUCUCACUCGACGGUCCAGCCUGGGGGAAGCUGGGUUGGCCAAGUGGUACCAACACCCAAGCUAUUACCUGAAAAAGAUUAGCCACAACAAGGCUGAGCAACUAGUACUCAGCAAGACUGACCCGUCGACACCUAGACAUGCAAGGCUUUCUGGCUCUGGGGUUUUCUUUGCCAAAAGCGUCUAAGCAGUCCUUACUUUAACCAUUUUAGCUCAUGUUCUAUGUUCUUUAUCCAUUCUAGAUUAGCAACUUAUACUAAACACACAUGGUUUCCAAGCAAUUACUGAACAAGCAUCAAGAUUAAAAUCAUCAUCAUGUUCCAUCUUUACUCAGUGCAGAAUAGUGAUCAAGUAGUCCCAAUCUGUGAGAGGCAGACGAAUCGAUUCGAAUUUAUUAACCAUGCAUGGCAAACCUAAUCUCACGACAUCCGCGCACCACGAAGGGUCGCUUCAUUUGUCAGUCGUCCCCAUCGAUCCCUUAGGCACGUGUCAGGGCCAAUUUCCUUUGGCAUGCAAUGCUCCACAGUCCCGGCCUAUUGCUGCACUGUGACCGCACUUGCACCCACAUGAUGCACCAUGGGAACGAUGUUCCAAGGACAGCCGGAAGGUAUGCCACGCCCCAGUUCAAUCAGGUACUAGGCUUCCCCAUCCCAUACUAGGUAUGAGAUUAGUACUUUCAAACACUUGAUCACGAACGCCGACACGUUUCGACCUUAGUUCAUUUUCAUUUAGACAGACGGGGCAAUCCACCAAGUAUCAAACACAAGCCUGACCCCGUCCGUCGUCCUUACAGUUGCGACAAAUCUGAAACAUUCAACUCCUAUAACUCGCGAGUGACAGGAAAUCACUCGACUUUUACCGAAACCUAUUAAGCAUUGCACUACUCGACCUUAGCAACUAGUAUUCAGACAAGGUACUAAGUUUAUGCAUCUAAGGUUUCAUUACAACUCCUCGAAACGUAAAUGCGCAAUCAAGUAAUCAAUAAGUGGCAUGAAAGUAAAACAGGGAGUUCAUGCACCGGGGCUUGCCUUCAGAAAAAGCUUGCGGGUCCUCGGGGUCUUGCUCUGGUUCGGGCUCUCCUUCGAAGGGGUGCAGUUCCUCGGCGGGGUCUUCUUCUGGUGCUGGAUGAAGCUCGUACGUCCCGUCGGCGAGAUUCAACUCUACACGGAAUGCAAUGCAGGGGCUAAACAUUUUAGAUGGUUAUUUCACACACUCAUGUUUUAACACGGACACUUGUAGCAAAGCUACAGGAAAGGUGGGGAGUUCAACUUCUGUUGGUGGAGAGCAGGAUGAGAGGGUCGGAUUGGGGAAAACUUAGGGUCUGACCCUCAGGUUUAAGGAAAACCGUACCGAGGUCCUCAGACUCAACACAGAGGAAUCCCCGAAAAAUAUUUCACCGAUACCCUCGGGUUAAAGAAAAAGUUACAACCGAGCCCUCGGGCGAGGCGGAGAAAGGGUCGGCGAAACUUGGCAGGGUCGGGCAAGGCGAACGGGAAAAGGUCGGGCGAGACGAAAAGAAAAGGGGUCGGGCGAACCGAAACAAAAGGUUAAGCAACUUACCUCCACGUCGUCCGGCGAAGCCUUGGGGUCGAAAAGGAGCAGGCUGGGGUGGGAAGUUGUACGCGCUAACGCUGGGGCAGCGGCGAGACUUUGACGGUGGUCCGGCAGCGGCGGUGCUUCUUGCGGACACCAGCAAGCUCGAGUACCGCGUGGAGGAGCGGGCGGCUGGUGUGUUGGAAGAAGCGGCUGAAGGGUGGCGGCGAAGUCGCCGGAGUGUGGGGGUGGCGCAAGGGGUGAGCUCCACGGAAGCUCAGCGACGGCACGGGGAGAAAGCGGUGGCUCAGAGGAGAAAGCAGGGCGCAGAGGGGAAAGCGGUGGUGGCAAAGGGGUGGCAUUGCCGGUGAGGGGGUUCCCUUUUAUAGGGCCGGAGUGGCGCGGAGGGUCGAGGUGGGGCUCCGGUGGGGAAAGGAUAAGGCCGGGAGCAGCGAGUGCUCGGGCAAGGCGGCCAUUGGCCGACGACGCCAUUGGGCAGAGGAGGCGGAGCUUCGGGUGGUCUUCGGCGGCGAUUGGCCUUGGGCGGCGCGCGUCUGGGGCUUCCGGUCUGUCGGGCAGGCGAGGCGGAAGGGCUACCGUGGGGGUUGGGCGAGUGGGCGGAGGCGCGGGACGUCGAGGGCGUCUCAGCUUUCUCGGCGAACGGGCAGAACAGGGUUGGCGGAGCAGAGCCGUGGCAGGUGGAAGGCGACUUGCGCGCGGCCGGCGAUUGGCUAGCCCUGCGCUCGCUCCGUCCUGUCGCGGGCGCGGGUUGGGUGUCGUGGCUCUCGUCCUGUCGCUGUCACGCUGGUGAUAGGGCGCCGGCGAGCUGCCGGUGGCCGGCGGCCACGCGGCGCGCGGCGCGUGAGCGAACAUGCUCAGGCGCGCGGGCGUCGAGGCUCCCUUCGGGCAGCAAGCCCGACCAGCUUUGGAGCGAUCCUUCUCCGAAUCUUUCAACACAACUCCCGAAACUCCCUUAAACAAACUUGCCCAACUCUGAUCGUUCUUCAAACUUUGUUUAAGGUGUUGGUUUAGAUUGUGAAAGGAUUCAAGAUAUUUCCGGCCAAAGCUAGCUAAAAAUCUGGAAUUCCAGACUUAGGAUUUAAGGCAUCCGGGGUGAGUUGACUGGUUUACCUCACUUUGACCGGGAUUUUGAACAAGUUCGGGUCCGAUUUGGAUCUGGGUCAGUGUAACGAAGUUGGAACACUCUUGAGGUACUACAACUUCUAUUAAGGCUCUGACUCGAGUUUAGAUAGGAAAACGGGAGAUGAAAGCUUGCAAAGAUGGAGGAAAACUCGAAUUCCAGGACUUAAGAGAUUUUCAGGGUCCUUUAGGAAAGCCGGCUUUGGUUGCUGUUUUUGACUUCCUUUCACUCCGAAAUGGUCAAAGUGCCUUUAACAAAAGUUGUUGGAAUUUAAAAGUUUUACAACUCUUAUUUGGGCAGAAACUUAAGUUUGUAUAUAUAAAAAAAUUCAAGCUUUAAUUCAAACUCCAAAAAGAGCUUCUUAGGUUUAUAAAGGUCAUUUCACUUCUUAACUUAGGGAUUUGAUUUGUCACUGGUUUAGAGUUAAAAGCACUUAAUUUAGGUAGAGUUGUUACACUUAGUACCCUUUUAAUCUGAACACUAGCAUGAUAAGUCGCGUAGAUGCAAUGCUUAAUAGGAGACGGUAAAAGUUGAGUGAUUUCCUGUCACUCGUGAGUUAUAGGAGUUGUUUGUUUACUUAUGUUACAACCAUAAGGAUGACAGGCGGGGUAGGGCCUUGUGAAUUGUUUUGGUGGUCGGUGGAUUGCCCCGUUUAUCUAAAUGAAAAUGGACUAAGGUCGAAACGUGUUGGUGUUCGUGAUCAAGUGUUUGAAAGUACUAAUCUCAUACCUAGUAUGGGAUGGGAAAGUCUAGUACCUGAUUAAACCAGGACGUGAGCAAUUCGUUCCACUGUCUUUGGAACGGAGUUCCCCUGCGGCCGCAUGUGGUGACAAGUGCAGUCACGGUACGGCAGAGGUCGGGACCGUGGGGCCUUGUACCAAGGGAAGUGGACCCGACACGUAGCUGGGGAUUGAUGGGGACGGCUGACAAAUGAACCGACCCAUCGUGGUGCGCGGAUGUCGCGGAUGUUGUGAGGUUAGGUUCGCCAUGCAUGGUUUAAAAACUCGAUUCGAAUCAUGUGCCUCUCACAGUUUGGGACUGCUUGAUCGCUAUGCUACACUGAGUAAGAAGUGGAACAAAGGAUGAUGAAUAAUAUUGAUGCUUGAUUCAACUGCUUGUUCACAUGCUUGCUUAGAAUUGGUGCUUACCUAGAAUGGUUAAUCAACUAGAACCUGAUGCUAAAACUUGAAAGUAAAGACCUACUUUAGAUGCUUUUGGCAAAACGAAUCCCUUAGCCAAAAAGCCUUGCAUGUCUAGGAGUUGGUGGAGUAGUUACCACCUGGCGGGUAAGCCUUGUUGAGUAUUAGUAUACUCAGCCUUGCUUGUGGCUAUCUUUUUCAGGUUUGGUUGCUGGUGUUGACUUGUUUGAGACCCAUCCUCGGUCGGCGAGGAUCGUGGUGUUUGAUAUCAUGGCAGGCUUCACCGUGGUAUUGUUGUAUCGACGUUUAGCUUCCGCUUGAAUUUUAUCUUCCGCUGUUGAACACUUUGCAAACUUGGUUGAAUUUCAAACUCUGAUAUAAUAAAUUAUUGUACUAUGUUAAUCUGGAUGGAUUGUUGUAAUCUUGGGGAAUAACACUCACCUUCAUGUGAGCCUGCUUUGUCAUCGAUCCUUGUUAAGUGGUUUAUCGGAUGAAAUCCGACUGACGAUCAAGUUGAAUCGAUUAAAGUGUAAGAUCACAUGUCAGGUGACUCGAGUACACUUUAGCCGGGUUAAUUUGGUAGUUCCGCCACAACAAGGCUCACGGGUUUAUACUUAUACCCUGGAGCAAGCUAAAAUCCUAAUCGAUUACGAUAUGAUUAUUACAGUUAUUCCUAAAACUACUAAAUCUCCACGCUUUCCCUUAUUUGGUGGAGUCGAUUCUGCUUCGAACUGGGUAUGCUUGAUCUUCCAUCGGUUCGGAAUGUGGUCAACAGUGGUCUCAGUCUUGGUGUUGUUUAGUUCAACAUUUAUAUCAUGCUGAAUUGCCGAGAUGACAUACCAAGUAUGCUUAUCGGCAUUUCUUGGUUUGUUCAGUAGAGUCCUGAAUUGUUUUACUACUGUGUACUGUGAUGAACUUGUUGAGCUCGCUUUCCUCCAAGGUAAGUGUUAUUUCUGGAGUCACUCUACGAGCCUCGCACCAGUGCCAUGCUCAAGUUUCAAUAUUCUCUUCUUUACGCUCUGUAGGAAGAUCGAGGAGGGGGUAGGAUUUUGAAUUAUCGCAGCCUGAUAUACAUCAGAGAUCAUUUUUAGACAUUCCAAGGGUUAAAAUCUACAUUAGAAACGAAACACCCCAUUUACUAAAUUGCAGUGUAAACAAAUUACUUAAGUGAGACCCAAUUUUUUAUAAAAUGGGAGGGGUUGCCCUCUACUGGUUAUAUAUUAUAAAUAAGCAAAUGAGACAAAAGGUUUGUACAAAGCUAAUAAACAAAGAAGGAAACAAAAAUGAUCAUUGCAGUUGCAUGAAAGCUUGUAUCCAUUGAUCAAUAAGUGAGACCCAAUUGCUGCCAAAAAUUAAAGAAAGAACUGAAGUACUCAUUUGACCUCCGGAGGUUGAUGUCAGAUAAAAGUUUCAGAGUAGGCAGAUCAUAUGCGGAAGACGUAGGGAUGGAGGCUCUGGGAGAAGACGAACAGGUGCGGGAAGUAGAAGGCCACAACAAAUCCCACCACGAACCCAACAGCCGCACCAAUACUGGACUCAUCGUUGAUCCUGUGCAAUCUCAGUUUCCGUUUGCUUAUACCACCACAGUCAUGCAACGGUGGACCACAAAGCCCUUGAUUACCAACAAAGUUAGAUGACGGGAACUUCUGUAAUGCAGGCGGAAUAGCCCCAGACAACUGGUUGUCCGCAACAUUGAACUCCUGGAACCGAGCAAGCAGAGCGCACUGCGAUGGAAUUCGACCACUGAGUUGGUUGUGCUGAAGGCUGAGGGGUAUGUAAUUUUAUAGAUGAGUACUGGGAUUUCCCCUGAAAAGCUGUUGUAUGAGAGAUCUAGAGAUGUCAAGAACGGCAUCUGCAGUGAAAUGUCUGAAGGGAUGGGCCCUAAAAAGUUGUUACUUGACAGAUCUAGGGCGCUCAUGCUAGUGCAAUUCCGAAGACGUCGAGGAAAUUGGCCUUGAAGACCCAGAUUGCUGAGAUGCAGCGAGAGAACCCUGGGUGCCAGCACUCCACACCCGUGAAUCGGCAUAUGAAACCGUCGGUGUAGUUUUCAAAAAUCCAUGAGGAUUUUAGUAUGCCGUUGGGAUCAAUCACUGAUUCUUGUACAUCCUUCAAGCAUUGGACAUCAAGAUCAGAACCAGAGCACGACGCCCUUCCCCCCCUCCCCCGUCACCUACCGCCAUCUCACCAGGAGCCUCGUCGCUGCCAGGCGCAUCCGCGACGUCCUCGACCUUCUCCGCGAGAUGCUGAACCGUGGCGGUGGCGCCGACUCAGCUCGCUCGUCUACAACAACCUCAUCGCCGGCUACAUCGACCUGGAAGACUGGGGCAAGGCCUUCGAGCUCUUCAACGAGCUCACCGACAGGUGUGCUGUCUACGAUGGCGUCGUCCACACCACCUUCAUGGAGGGGUACUGGAAGCAGGGCAAGGACAAGGAGGCCAUGGACAACUACCAGUCCCUGCUCCAACGCUGAGUCCUACAAUGUCAUGGUCAACCAGUGCUUCAAGGAGGGCAAUUUCCAGCAGGCAAUUGAGGUAUUUCACCGCCAGCCCAGGAAGAAUGUCCAGAUGGACGUCGGUUGCUUCAACAACAUCAUUGGCAAGCUCUGUGAGAACGGGAUGCUUGCUGAGGCAGAGAAGCUCUUUGAAGAGAUGGAGAUCGACCAAGUCGGUCCUCCCAGAUGUGUACACCUACACUUACCUUGUCGACUCGUGCUUCAAGGAAGGCCGUGUGGAAGAUACAAUGCAGUAUUUCUACAAAAUGGCAGAGGAGGGAGCAUGGGCCAAAGUUCAAUAUCGGUUUCUUCAACCGUAUGUUUGAAGGACUUACUGUGAAGCUGGCCGGACUGAAGAUGCAUUGAAGGUGUAUGCGAGGAUGCCUGACAAGGAGAUCAAACCAAACGCAGCAACCUUUGAAAUCCUUGUCAAAGCCUUAUGCAAGGAAGGGGACUUGGUUCGAGGAUGGGACCUAGUGAUUCAAAGACCAAUAAUUAUAGGCUUAGAGCCUACCUCUUCUGAAGAUCGGCAGCAAGUAGCAUUCUGAAUUGGCUCCAACUCAUAAAGUUUUAAGUCAUAAAAUGAAUUAGUGGGCGUUCUGCACUGUGAAACCUUUCAAGUUGGACAUUUUGUAGAUACUUAGAUAGUAAGAAUGGAUAGAUGGGAAUCACACUUUUUCAUUGUUAUUUUGGACCUCACCGCUCAUUGUCCGUGUUCUUUUCCCACAUAUGUAUGCAUGAGGAAUUGUGUUAUCAUACAAACAUGUGGAUCAAAUGAGGAAUUGUAUUACACUCAAGUGGCUGGUUCUAUAUGAUUGUAGAGUAGUGUGAAACCCCUGUUAAUUUUCUUAUCACUAUGGUGCAUGAUUUCUGCUAAAUAUAAUAUGCUCCGGUGCCCUUUGGUAUCAUGAUUCAUGUCUUGAUUCGUUCCACGUUCAGUGUAAGUGCCUCUCUAGUUUUAGUUGUAAAAGUGUGAUCAGUUAAACUUGAUUAGUGUACAUGGCUGAUAGUGUGAUGGGAACUGCCCCUAGGAUUUGCAAUAAUCUGUAUAGGUAAUUUUAAGGGGUCUGGGGCUCUGGGCUGGUUUUGAACACUUUGAAGGCUUUGGUGGAUUGUGGAUAUGUCAAAAUAUGACCCUUUUAAUUUGUUAACUGCAAAUUGCUCAUUGCAUAUUUUGCACUCUAAAGAAUCAGUCCAUCAAAUUCCACAACGUGACUGUUGCUUAUCCAUCUUUAAUGUCCGAAUCCUGCCUCCAAGCUCGGGCAGCACAUUGAGCCACCUGAAAUUCGAGGCCAUUAGAUCAUCCACGAAAGGUCAAAUAAGCGCGGCCGUCUCAGCUUCUCGAUGCUUCUGCGUCCCCCUAUCGCAAGCUCGCGGCCGGCCGGUCGGCAGCUCGAGCUCCUUCCCCAUCACCCCUCCAUCCCUCCAGUGUCUCGUGUCGUUCUCGGCUGAUAGCGCGAGCGCUCCCUUCCUCGCUACUCCUCUCAUCCCCUCAUCAUCUCCAUCGGGCUAUUAGCUGCAUGCCAGCUGGUAGAUUGGAUUUGAGGGAUCUCGGCGGCUGGCCACCGUCGAAAAGACGCCGGCACCCGACAGUAACGCAAGGCAGCGGCGGCCGCUCCGCCAGACGGGCCUGCGUCACCAUGAAAGCUGCGUCGGCUCUCUCUUCUGGUCGCGGGCAUGUAGUCGAGGUCCUCCAUCUCCCGUGACAGUCUCACAAGGCAACAGGCAAGGAGAUGGCGGUAGGGGACGAGGCAAAGAAAGAGUGGAGCAUCACGACAGAACCGGUGUUCACGCGUGCACUCAAGCCAGCAAGCUUGGAAGCGCUUGCGGCGGCAGCACAAAUUGAGUUGAAUUCAACUCAGGAGAUGCACACCAUGUGCCUGAUAAUUCGACUAUGAGAACUGAGGUUAAUGAUUGUCCUCCCUAUGUCCCUUGCCGUGUGCAGUGUAUGUAUAGAACGAUUGUAUUAUACUACACAUGAUGUCGAAGAUGGCAGGUAUAGCAACAAGUACAAACGAAGCUUGAUUAUGUGCUAUAUAAACAUCACAGCUCGAGUGCCACCAGCUGAGCAAAGCUGCAGGGCGUUAUGUUGCCUUCCUCAAGAUCAUGGCCAAGAAAGGAAACAGAGUACUAACAAAUUCCCCUCUCAUACCCAAUUAGGAGACUCGAAAGUUGGUAGGAGAAGCCAUCGGCAUGGCUCUCACCUCUCUUGAAUAAUAGGUGCAUUCAGAUAGACAUACACACCCAGAUACAUACACAUAUUCCAGGACUUACGUAAGGCAUUCAAAACCGGCAACAAUGGCCAAAAUGCCGCGCCACAUUUUAUAUAUAGUCUAACAUAAAGCUUUUUUUUAAAUAAAGUCUAACAUAAAUCUGCUCAUGCAAAAUGCAGAUGAUAAACAUCUAUUGCUCAUGUGACAUUUCACUACAUUCAUGCCUCAUACUCAUAUACAUACACAUAUACAGUGGUUUUUCUCUCUCUUUCCCAUUCUUUGUCGAAAGCUACAGUAGAGAGCAGUGAAAAGAGGGGUGAACCCGAUCCGGGCCGAUUCUGGUGGCUCCCCAUCGACUGCCGGCUGUACAUACUAGCUUAGGUUUUCUAGAUCUAGGCGUAGUUUAGGUCUUCCUCAUGAAGACAACUUCGUGUGCGAACUUUUUGGUCCUUGACGGUGGUGGAAUCCCGGCGUACAGCGAGGAAGCACAUGCUCCGGAGCAGCUUUGGCAACUUCAAUAACGCUGUAGUUCGGAGGCGUUAGUGGUCUAUCUUCUUGCGAUGAUGAUGGAUCUUUUGUGCUCCCCCAGGGGCUUAUUCUUCUGUGUUGGUGCUUUCGUCGCCGGCGUCGGAUUCUCUGCUGGGCUACUACUUCUUGCCGGAAGCGGUAGCACCAGCUUGUCUUUCGGCUAGCCAGUUCUGCUGCGGCUGGAGGAUGCUCCUCUUCUUCUUCCGUCGGUGAGAUCGCCGAUUCCCGUUCAACGAAUUAAAUCCAUCUUGGCUGGAGGUUCGGGGUGGUGGCUCAUGCGGCUUACCAAGGUUUGAAGUCUUCCGGCGGAGGAUCUGGAGGUGCGGGUGCUUCAUAUGCACAGCCGGGCGAUUCGGAGGCAACGAGGAAGAUGAACAGGAGUCCUAGGGACUUCCUUGUAAUUUUCCUUUUCUUUCGGAUCCUGAUUGUAAAAGGGGAUGUAUUGUGCUUCAAUUUAAUAUAUCUUCCCUUGUCGAAAAAAAAGAAACAUACACAUAUACUAGGCUUAUAAGUAGAAAAAUAAAAAUCCUUCAAAACUGGCACCACUGGCCAAAAGCAAGCGCGGCAAGGCCAUGCCAUAUUUUCUAGUGUGAAAUGAAGUCCUCAGUCCUCACUACCACGGGUGACAAGGUCGCUUGGAAUGUACGGAACAGUUGUCACUAUCACUCAAAUAAAAAAUAUAUAGAGGUGAAAUAAGCAUUUAUUUGAUUAAAAAAACAUAUUAUGUCAAAAAUUAUAUGAAUUUACUCAUUACUAGCCAACAUUUAGAGAUCCAUUGAGAAAAUUAACAGUACAAUAAUAGAAAUAAUGAAAUACGUAAGUUUCAAAAGAGUAUUUACGCCUUCUGUCCUAAAAUAAGAAUUUUUUGACACAUUAGUAGUUGUGAGAAGUGAUCAUUAGUAGUUGUGAGAAGUAAUCCUACUGCUUCUAAUCACUCAUAUUAGUUGUGGUUGAAAACUGUGCGGUCUGUUACACUGAAUUUUGUUUCCAUAGGUUAGCUAUAUAUAACUAUAAGCAUAUUAAAGUGGGCCAAGAACUGCGACGCACAGGUUUUCCUUGGAUAAAUAUGACAAUGUGCGCAUUCCAUAUGCAUAUUCAGAUAGACACACACCCAAAUACAUACACAUAUACUAGGACUUACAUAAGCAUAAAAAUAAGAGUCAGAAAAAUAAGAGUCAUUCAAAACUGGCACCACUGGCCAAAAGCAGGCGCAGCAAGGUCGCGCCAGUACACGAAGGAGAAUAGAAAAGUAAGAGAAAAGGAGUAACGGCAUAUGUCGAGUUGUCGACGAGCGUAACCAAUAAGCACCCAAUUAACAAUACGUCCACUGAACAUUGUCACAUUAUCAAAACUGGAGCGCAUUAAGGGAACUGGUGCACACAUGUUCUGACACGCUGAUAAUACUUGUGACCGUGCCAAUCUUACAGGCUUCAAAAACCACUGCCAGAGGGCAAAGGAAAAUCCUAAUUGCGUGUUGCAGUGCCUUAUCCACAAGUAUUCAGACCACUAAAACUUUGCAGGCGCGCUCAAAAUCCUCUAAUAGUCUAAUCUGUGGCGCUGGAAGAUGUACACAUGGGCUAAUGGUUAUGUACAGCUUGAAAAUUUCAGCCUGGCGACAGCAGCUAACAGUAUCAGAUAACCAAAAAGUUAGCAUCCAGUGGACCCUCCGCCAAGUUCUUGCCUUUAGUAGUGUGCCACGGCAUCCAUAUCCUCAGGUUAGUUCAGGAUUUCAGGCAGUCAUUACAGGAGUCAGAGAAGUCAUUGUACCUGAAAUUUACACGGGGAAACCUAUUAUGGCAAAUGGAUAGCUGAGCUAGGGAUACUGGUAGUGAUGCUAACUGAGGUUUAAAAUCACAGGUUUGGCGCCAUAAAAGCUAUCUGUUUGUGACUUCGCGGAAAGUUCAGAAAUCAGCUAUACGACAACUAUAGCUAGCUAUUUAGAACCUUCAUGCUAAUGCACAAGAAUCCUCCUUUGUGACAUAUGAUUUAUAUAAUUGUAAACGACUAUCUAAGAAAGCAGGGAAUUAUGUUUUCACUUUUGGAAUCAGCUUAAAAGGAAUUGGCUACGAAAAAUCUGAUACAUAUUGGGAAUACAUGCAACCUUACUAAGCCAAAUCAACUAUCAGCACAGUAAUUGAAAUAAGGUGUUAUAUGCAGAUCCCUAGGUGCACAAAUGUACAGUGUAUGAAAGUUCACAAUAUAAAUAAAAUCUUAGUCGAAAAAAGGAACAACGACAUGAUACUAACAGCAAACAGGCUCAAAAACAUGAUGUGCGUGACUGCAUCUGGAAACCGUCAUAACUACAUGUGAAGCUGAGAAAUCAUUGCUGCUCUUAGAUCUAGAGAAAUUAUCAUGGUGAGAAUUUACAUCUAAAGAUGCAUGAUGCAAAAGAUGGUAUGACAUUUGACAGCAGCAAACAACGUACAGUAAUGAAAAACAGUAAAGUUAUCAUGUGAAAAACCGUAUCAAUCAGUUUCAGCAUGAGCUCUAUGCCUGAAAAAAAAAAGGAAGAAUAAUCUACAAGGAUCUGCUCUUCUUAUCACAUACAUCACAUGAGUGCAUGAACUCGACAUGAUAAUCACUCGCCCUCCAUACACCUGAAUACUUUCUUCAUAGCAAUGUAAAAUAAACAUGAAGUUACUUCAAAAUAAAAGGAAAGAGCAGAAAGUUCAUGCCCUAGAAACUUUACACAGAAUAUAUGCAUGGGCAGCACGAUUCAAGAAUAAAAAGAAUACUGAAAUAGAAAAUAUAAAACUCGUGGAUGCUGGCAGAUGAAGGAAAAAUUACGAGGUCAAAGAGCUGCAAGGAUAAGGGUAAGCUCAGCCCUUACCUAAAAUUCUACUGAAAUAUUAAAGCAAAGAACACGCGCUACCCUGUUCUUCGCGUAGGAGUUCUUAGCACUGGAUUAUCCUGCAACAUGGUCAUACGAGUCAUUUUGACACAGAUACCCAUACAUAAACUUCAAAGUCAAGAACCAAGAUUGACUACAAAUACCUGCAACAUUGGGUGGUAAACCCACUGACUCGCAAACCCAUGGGGUUCUGCCUGCACCUGAAAUGUUUUAAACAAGGUGUCAGUAAUUCUAAUAUGGCAAAGAUGCAAGGGAGUCCAUUGUUGAGGAAAAAAUAGGAACUCAAUAGUUGGAAACAAAGAAUAUUAUAUGAUGUUAUAAACAUGUGGCCAAUCGUAUGAUAGGAACCUGCAUGAAAUUGUUCUGCUGCAUCCUUUGGUGGCUGGGUACUUGAUGUUGGUGAUUAAUAUCCAUUCCAAAAUGAUUACCAAAUGAGAGAUUUGGUAUUCCUUCCUGUGCAAGUUUGCAGCAAGAGUUUUCAAAUAUAUGUGAGUAUUAAUAGCAGUGGCAGACAAAAAAAAUUAUGUACCAUUAAAUCAAUGCCUCCUUGCACUCCCAUGUGAGGACCUUCAAGAUGGGAGGCAGAGGGCGGCCCUUGGACCAUAUUUGUAUCGUCUGUGACAAAUGAUGACCGCAGAAAAUCCUGCUUAACAAGAAUAUACAUGAACCAAAAAAGUGUAUUAAUAUAAUUAAAACUGAAGUGUGAGGUUUGAGGCUCGUGAGUCAUGCCUUGAGAAAAUAAGGUAACUAAGACUAACCUGUUCUUUGUUUGGCUGUGUUACAGUUUCACCAUUAGAUUCUGUCACUUUCUUCGGUGGCCGGCCGCGACGUUUUGCAUGGGCUGACUGAGAAUUCUUUACACUCUCUGAAAACUGGGGAUUAAAAAGGCCUUGACCAUUUUCUGGUGCAUCAGCCUCAAAUGAAAGAAGCGUUGACUGCCUGUCUCUAGCAGGUAGUCCAUCAUCCAGAAGAGAUCUUUCCGCAUCUCUCAGUAACUUCAGAGCAACAAGGUACCUACUCUCAGAUACAAACCCUAGAUUGAGCAACUGACUACAUUGACUGAACAAAUAAUCAGAGCGCUCAACAAUUCCACUAAGGGGCAUUUCAUUGGGUUUGUUUGCUUUAGAAUACAAUUUUUUAUAGUCCCUUCUCCAGCGAUCAAGAACAUAAUCUGAUGGGAUCUCAAAUAUCUCCUGCAACUUCAACACAGAUAAUGCAUGUCUACAUAGGACGCCAGUGAACUGAACGAAACCACAUUCACACUCAAUUUCAACCUUCCCUUCUUUACAAAAGUAAACUUCAUAGGUCCUGCUCUCUGUGUCCUUUCCAUCUUCCAUGUACGAGCAUUCUUUUACUUCAAAAGUGACAAGCCGACCAUCAACUUUAAUUGGCAUACCAUCACAAUACAUUGUGGCUUUCAACUCAUCCUGAAAUUUUCUGAACAUGUUUAUUGUGUAGGCUUUGGCCAGCUGCUCUUCCAUGUAGAACUUCGUUACUGUUAGUGGAGUCCUAUGGGAGGAUUCUUCAUCUGCUUGCCACUCCUUCUUGUAUUUGUUCUCUAAUAUCAUCUCAUAUUUACUGAAAAAUUGUUUCAAAGAAGUUUUUGGGUACACAAAACCAUCAUAGUACGAGGAAAUAGACUCCCCAUGCUGUGAAAUAGACAUCCCUGCCCAGAAUUUGUCUCUGAGAUAUGCAGGUGCCCAGAGUUGGCGAUGCUCAUAUAGGGAACUGAGGCACUCAUUUUCUCCAAGUCCAUGCUCAUCUAUAAUCUUCUUCCAAUCCGCUUCAAACUCUGGGAUCUUCAAAGACCCAUAUGUUACUUUAUUCAGUGCUUUCUUGAUUGUUUUAAACUCUGCAUGUUCUUUCAAAUUCUCAGCUACAUCUUUCAUAAUACGAUACAGGCAAAGGCGAUGUCUAACUUCAGGUAGAACUUCUCGAACAGCAUCUAGAAUAGCAUUGUAAUGCUCAGUAAUGAUUGCCAUUGGACAGCGACCCUUCAUGCAUGCUAAAAAUGCCCUAAAUAACCAAGCAUAACUGUCAGCAUUUAGAUCUGAAAGUAAACCAGUACCAAACAGAACAGGCUGACCAUGAUUAUUCAUCCCAGUGAAGAAAACAAGUGGCAAAUCGUAUUUUUCUGUCAAGUACGAGGUGUCAAAGUAAACAACAUCAUGACCGAAGUAAUCAUUUGCUGCCCUUGACCUAGCGUCACUCCAGAACAAGUUCCUCAAACGCCCUUGAUAAUCCAAAUCUACUAAGUAGAAGAAAUAAGGAUUCUUGUUCUGCAUGUUCCCAAAAAACUUCUGGAUAUACUCGUCAUCUCCUUCCCCAAAUUUAAGUCUUCCUAUCUCAGUAAAGUUCCCUUGCUCUUUUUCAGCUGGAACGUUCCUGCGACCCUUCAACCGUGAAGCAGGUUCCCCAUUCUUGGCAUCUGUUAGCUUCUUGUAACAAUUAGUGAGUGCCACAGAGGACUGGUUAAGUGGAUGGUUGUGCUCAAGCUUAGCAUCAUCAAUGUGAAGCCACCUAUCUUGCCUUAACUUUAACGAGAUCCUUGCUGGGCAAUUGAUCUUGGUUGACUCUCUAGACAGAUAGCACGCAUUUGCUCUCCCUCUCCCAGCUCGACUACAACCAAGCACCAACCUUCGGCACACCCCCGACUUUAGAUACGAUGACUUCAGAAUGAUCGCCGCAAACCCAGAAUCCUCGGCAUAUUGCUUAUAGUACUUGAGCGCAUCAUCAUAAGUUUUGAAUCUCAGCCCGAAACGUGGCGCGUUCUCAUCCACCUUAGCCUUCCCACCAUCCUCCUGCCCGCUGUCGUUAUCAUCCACGAGUAUCACCUCCUUGCCCUCGUGCUGAGGCACCUCCUUGGCCGAAAUCCCUCCCAAAUUCUAGCAAAAUAAUGCAAAUCAUUAUGAGUUUCUACAGCAGCCAGCACCAAAACUAAACAUUUUAAGCUAAUCCAAACAUUUCUAACCUGGAGCGCCUCAGCACUUUUCAGCACUGCUUCAUUGCCAUGUUGCUCUUCGCCAUUCCCAUUCACGAGAACAGCCACAUCAUCAAUUGUCGCCUCCCUCGCCAACUCCUCUAACAAGGAGGCAGCCUCGACGUCGGACAUGGGGGUUCAGCUAAACUAAACCCCAAAAAUGUGGAAACUAAACUGCAACCGCAACCGCAGCUUGGCUGGAUUGGCCUCUCACGCUGGAGAAGAACAGACGAAUCAGACCAUGAAAAGCACACAGCAAUCAAAUCCGCAACAAAAAGGUUGCCCAAAACAAAAACAGUUACUAGAGAAACCACUCCAACCAAGCUAGGGUUCAGUGGCGGAGCACACUCUAAAUUUUAGGUGGGGCGAACAUGCGAGACAAAAUUCUUAGUUAAAAAGAUCGUGCACGCAUGCCACGCAUUCUCAUUGAAAUCACACAAAUAAGAGUACAAAUGCUUAAUAAAUUGUUGUUUAAAUAUUGGAGAUGGUACCUCCUAUAAAAAGGUAGCAAAGUCUUUAAUGCCAUAAUAUAAUUCUUUAAUUCAACACAAACCAGGAUCCAAGAGCUACACGAACCAAACCUUUCGAUUUGAAAACAAAUCAGUUAAUUCCUAUUUCCCUGUUGCUAAAAUAAAUCAUCACAUGACAAAAGGUGGAGGAGAAAGGUGUGCCCGCCACGAUGCGCAGCUUCGACACAGUAAUAAUUCAAGGACUUUACUAACGCCUGCACAUGCAAGAUUUGGGGCGACAGCAUCCACAGUCCAGGUUCAAUGAACCGAACUGCCCCUGCCACCGCCAGCCGCACCACCACAAGCCGCCCUCCACCCGCCAUUCGCUAACUGAGGAAGCCGCUCGCCUCACCAUCAGCCCUUCCCACCGGUUAUCGUCCGCCGCCUGCGGCGCCCACGCCGCCUCACCUCGCCAUCUUCUAUCCGCCACCGCCGACGUGCCUACUGCUGCUGCCAGACACUCUAAGCCCACCGGCCAACAUCUGAGGCACUAGCUGGACCCCAUUUUUCAAGAAAUUCCAUAACAGAAAAAUAUGUGCAGGUGAAAGAUUGACAGCUUAGUGCAGCAUAAAAGUAACAACGAACAACAAAAGGUCACAGGUUGGUGGUGAGAGAUGACCACUCACAUCUUCAUUGCUGCUGCAGUGCAGGGGCCACCAGAAACUCCUUGGCAACUGACUGCACCUGCACCAUGGCUGGAUUCACCUUGCUCACUGAAGACGACAAAGGAUGGCCUAAUUGGAAGUUCAAAACACGGAUGAAUUGGGUUAGCAACGAAGCACAUUGCGUAGCAAUCCGGACCUAGAAUUCUAACCUACUGUAUAUGCGUAGCCAAAACUCCAGUAUGCAACUAGGUAACACAAGUACAAAAUUCCCCAAACGAUUAGGUACACAACACAUUAAACUCAACAAAUAAGUCUGAAACUUGCAUAAAUUACAAAAUGAAUAAAUAGUGCAAACAGAAGAUUAUCAUAAUAGUGUAGGGAUUUGGCUUCCUCAUGGCCAUGAUUCUAGGGGUGGGUGUUCGGGUUCGGUCUCAGUCUCGACCGAACUAACCAGACUUGGCAAAUCAGCACAGAAAAUGACCCAAAUUAGCAAGAAUCGACACAAAUCAGCACGGAUGAAAAAAAGGUCAACAUGAUGGAAUACAAGACAAAGCAAAUCUCGGUGCCAAGCUGCAUCACGUGCCGUCAGACGACGGCCGAAUCUGAGGGAAAAAGGAGCCGCCAGUUGCGGCGCGGGCGAGCAAACGGCAGCCUGGAGUCUGGAGGGGUGGGGAAACGGAGCUUCGAUGGAUGGAUGGAUGGAUGGAAUACCACGCCGCCUCACCUCACCACCCUCGAUCCGCCACCGCCGCCAGACACUCUAAGCCCGCCGGCCCGGGAGCCCUCCCCCGACCACCCCGAAUCGGAAACCCUAACCCAGUCACCACCAAGCCUCAAUCCGAGAGAGCAGUGAGGAGCAGGAGCAGGAGGAGGAGGAAGAGGAGGACGCCCACCUCGUCGCCGGCCGUCUACCACCACCCACCAGAGUUGGGACGAGCACGAAGCGUCGGAGGAGAGAGGAGCGAGCUGUUGACAAGGACGGGACGGAGAAGGUGCGGCCGGCAGGGGAGGGACUUCGGGGGUGUUUGGUGCCAAUCUCCUACGAUGAUUAAACAUAAAUUAAUUAUAAAAUCAAUUGUUUGAUACUAAUUAGGAUUAUUAAACAUAGAUUAAUUAUAAAAUCAAUUGCACAUAUACUAAUUUGCAAGAUAAAUCUAUAAUGCCUAAUUAGUCCAUAAUUUGAUAAUAUGGUGCUACAGUAAACAUGUGCUAAUGAUUAACCUCCAUCUAUGUAAUUAGUUUUAUAAUUAGAUCAUGUUUAAUCCUUCUGAUUAACAUCCGAAUAUUCGAUAUGACAUAAAUUUUAGUUUGGACUAAAGAACCAAACACCCCCUUCAUACAUUACAGGUGAGAGGGUUCGCGUGCGCCACGAGGAGACGUACACGACUGCAGGCUUAGAAUUUAAGUUCUCCCACGAAUAUGGGUACAGUACAAUCUCUCUAUCUCUCUAUUGAAAAAAUCAAAAGGGAGAUUUUUCUUACUCCGUCCUGUGAAAAUCGCGCCUUGGCUCUCGCUCGGUUGAUUCCUACCAUCAGAUCGCUCCGUCAACCUCCACUCUCCUCUCUACCCUUUGUUUUUUUAUCCCUCUGUCGUCCUCCACCCCCACGUUCUGAGGAAAAAAGGAGCAGCCACCAUCUCGCUGCCAUCUAGUGCUGGCCACCGAGUGCGAGCAAUAGCAAAAUGCGAAGAGCACGGAGGACGCAUGGGCAACCACCGGUGCCGCCGUUGCAGGAGCCGCUAGUUGCGGCGCGGGUGAGCAAACAGCAGCUUGGAGUCUGGAGGGGUGGCGAAAUGGAGCUUCGAUGGAUGGAUGGAAUCCCACGCCACCUCACCUCACCACCCUCGAUCCACUACCGCCGCCAGACACUCUAAGCCCGCCGGCCAUGAAGCCCUCCCCCGACAACCCCAAACCGGAACCGAAAACCCUAA